AAACACGCGUGGAGCUUCUCAAGCACCCACUUCUUCACCUCUUUUUUCUUCUGCAUUGCCUCCAAACUACUAUCCCGACUAGAAUUCACGUCCCCAGCUCCACCGCCCUUGGUGUCUCUGCAAUGCCCAUCACCCCAAAUCAAGGCAGGUCCACCAGAUUUCGAGCUAACAGCCCGCCAGAAAAUGGCAUACUUCCAAGACCCACCUAGACAACCGCCUAAAUUGUGACUCACUUAGACAGAAAAUAGAUAACUUUCAUUUUGCAUUUUAUUUUUCUUAAUAAAUUACAAGAGACUUGUUAAAUACUUAUAUGAACACACGUUAUACGCUUGUUCCUCAUUUUUUCAUUAUGUUUCAAUACUUCAUAAUAUAUAUGUCAUUAUAUUUUGUAAUUUAUGAUGAAAUUAUGUAUAUUUCAAGUAUAAAUAGACACUUAUUUACACGAAAUAUAAUGCAUUUACUUAAAUCCGCCUAGUUCGUCUUGUCACGCCCUGAUCCCGACCUACAUCCAGGAUCGACGCGCGACAGUAGACUGUAGGGGGAUGCCAGGAAAUACAAACUGAAAUACUGAACUGAAAACAACCAUAAUCACAUCUGUUUAAGGAAAAGUAUAGGGGUAACCUAACACUCCAAGCCCUUUGAACUCAGGUUGCUACCCCAAAGCUCCUCAUAUCUACUACCACCUGCACAAUCGCCCCUACACCGUGGGAAAUGGUGCAUCGGGCAAACAACAACCCGGAUAAGCCGCAAAGCUAAUGUGAGUGACAAUAAUGCGACGUAUGUGAUGACGUUAAAAACCAACCAUCGAUUCAGUUUAGAAACGUUAAAUAUAAUUUUUUUUUCCUCCUCUUGCGGCUAAAGUUUGUCUAAGCCACUACCCCCGAUGUCAGCAUUUGGCUUUGGAGUCGGCAGCAAUCCUUCUUCAUCUCGUCAUUGUCUUUCUUUUCCUAUUUUAGGUAGUGGUCGAUCUCUCACUUUGUCGAGGAGAGUCUUGUGGUAAUUGUGGUCACUUUGUCUUUCUGAGGAGGAGAGAUUACGGUUCUAUAGCAGUUAUGAUUUAUUACACACCGGAUCUUAAGGGAACAAUUAUUGUUCAAAGUUCUAAGGUGGUGACUUUGUUGUUUGUGUGCUUGGCAAGAAUUAUGCGGAGGAAACUCGGCAUUUGUUGGAGUUGACUUGUAGCGUUUUUACUAACGAUUACAAGAUCAUCAAAGGGUGACACUGUCUUGCCUUCGUGUGGUCAUUUUAGUGGUUCAAAGGAUUCACAAUCAGGUUUUCUUGUCGUUACAAAGUCUUCAGGUGAUGGUACAAUGUUUAACUUAUGUUUCUUGAUAGUGUUAUUACGUCCGGCUCAUAAGGCUUAGACCUUGUGAGCUUAUCUUUCCUGUUCGCUAGGAGCAGGUCUCUCAUGAUUGAGGAAUCGUACUUCUGAAGAGUUUAUUUUAUGUUUUGACGGUUUUUUUUUUUGUUUGUUUUGGUUGUGGUCUCGUUGUUUGUACGCCUAACAAAGGACUAUGACGACAUUUUCGUGAUGUCUCAUAGCAAGGCAUCUUUGCUGAAGGAGUGUCGUCUUUGUAAGUUCAUAAAAAAAGAUGCAAGGUUUUGUCGACGAGUGUUUCUUUCUAUUUGGCUAGAUGUGGUUAUGUAGGGUAAGUUUUGUAUAGUCUUUUUGUUGUGUUUGAAAUUGUAUUCCUAAUGGAUGAUGUUCUUCGUUAUAUUUGAUUAAUGACCUUACCUUAAAAAAAACUUUAUAUUCCUUAUUUAAUUUACAAAUAUUACUGGCUAAUUAGUACAACAACAACAACAACAACAACAAAGCCUUUUCCCACUAAGUGGGGUCGGCUAUAUGAAUCCUAGAACGCCAUUGCGCUCGGUUUUGUGUCAUGUCCUCCGUUAGAUCCAAGUACUCAAGUCUUUUCUUAGGGUCUCUUCCAAAGUUUUCCUAGGUCUUCCUCUACCCCUUUGGCCCUGAACCUCUGUCCCGUAGUCACAUUUUCGAACCGGAGCGUCAGUAGGCCUUCUUUGCACAUGUCCAAACCACCGAAACCGAUUUUCUCUCAUAUUUCCUUCAAUUUCGACUACUCCUACUUUACCUCGGAUAUCCUCAUUCCCAAUCUUAUCCUUUCUCGUGUGCCCACACAUCCCACGAAGCAUCCUCAUCUCCGCUACACCCAUUUUGUGUACGUGUUGAUGCUUCACCGCCCAACAUUCUGUGCCAUACAACAUCGCUGGCCUUAUUGCCGUCCUAUAAAAUUUUCCCUUGAGCUUAAGUGGCCUACGACGGUCACACAACACGCCGGAUGCACUCUUACACUUCAUCCAUCCAGCUUGUAUUCUAUGGUUGAGAUCUCCAUCUAAUUCUCCGUUCUCUUGCAAGAUAGAUCCUAGGUAGCGAAAACGGUCACUUUUUGUGAUCUUCGCUAGAUUGCUCCGGUCAUUAGUGUGGAUAAGUAUAUAAAUGGAUAGAGAUAGGAAAGCAAACACAAGAUGUACGUGGUUCACCCAGAUUGGCUACGUCCACGGAAUAGAGGAGUUCUCAUUAAUUGUGAAGGGUUUACACAAGUACAUAGGUUCAAGCUCUCCUUUAGUGAGUACAAGUGAAUGAUUUAGUACAAAUGACAUUAGAAAAUAUUGUGGGAGAAUGAUCUCGUAAUCACGAAACUUCUAAGUACCGGGGUGUGGUAUCGUCUUGACUUGCCUUAUUUGUCUCAUAUGUAGAUGUGGCAUCUUUUCUGGAAGUACUCUUCCUCCAUCCAGGGGUGGUAUCUUUAACUGGUGGAGAUGCACAAGGUAAUGUAUCAAUUUCACUUGAAGCUUACUUGUAGUUUCAGGCUUGGUCAAGCGCGAUACAAACCAUGUAGUAGGAGUCCCCCAAGUCGCCGAGCUAGGGGAUCUGCUGAAAGAGGUGACAGACAAGGUAAGCAAUCAGAGCUCCGGCUGAUUGUUCACAUUCUCCCUAUCUUGCAGGCAGCAUGAAGGACAAAGAGAAGAAAAAUGAGAAGAGAUGAUAUGGGAUACUUUUGCUUUUGAAGAAGUAACUUUCCACAGGCUUAUUCUUGAACUGGGCUGGAGGGUUUUCUGGUUUCCUCCAGAGUAUAAGGCCGACUGAAGAAUUUGAGGGUCAAAACAAGUCCAUCAAAUCUAGAGUACGUUUGACCCUGCUGAUAUGGGAUACUUUUGCUUUUGACAGAGUAGUGGAUGUAUCGGCACGUGUGCUAUUACGCUUGUCUCCACAUGCUUCUUUGUAUCCUUCUCACUUGCUCUAUCUGUUCAUCAGGCAGAUGCGGUAUCUUCCCUGGAAGCAUAAGAUGUUGAAGAUGAGUACUUGAGAGCAAUGCCAGGUAAGUACUCAGGUAAGGGGUUCCAGGCAGUCAGUUCCUGGCUGGAAGCUUGAUUCCAAGUGCUGACUGAUUGCUCUCUUUCUCCUUGUCUUGCAGGUAAGAACAAGGCCAAAGGAAAAGACAGGGAAAAAGCAUGAUAUGGGAUACUCUUGCUUUUAACCCUGAUGAUAUGAGAUAUUCUUGCUCUAGUAUAGCUUGUUUGCAGAGGUAUUAUCGGGGGGAAAGAAAGCUGAAUAUUUCGAAAGGCUUCGUUGGGAGUGCCCUCUCAGAUAAGAGGAAGGGUUGAGCAUUUUUGCAGGUCUGCCUGUCCGUUGGGGAUGGAGGUCGACAUAUAUAGGAGUCUCCCUAACAUCAAGUAAUAAUGCUAUUCCUUUACCCUGCUUGGUCAUAGCACGGUAGUGGGAGCUGUCAGCUUCACAUGUUUUAACUCUGUCAGAGCACUUUGAAAAAGUGGUCUGUGGUAUCUGGAAAGCUGAUGUUGUGUGUGAAGAUUACAGACAAGCUUUAUCCAAGGAGAUCCAGCUUUUGAAGUUGGAAAAGUGGUGCCUCUUCGGUUUUCGAACAAGCAAUCCUGUCGGGGAUCUGGCUCUCGAGAUUCAGAGAACGAUGCCUCUUCGAUUUUUGAGAAAACAAUCCUGCUGGGGGUCUGGCUCUCGAGAUUCGGAGAGCGGUGUCUCUUCGAUUUUUUAGAAAGUAAUCAUGUUGGGAGUCUGGCUCUCGAGAUUCGGAGGGCGGUGCCUCUUCGAUUUUGGAGCAAGUAAUCUUGUUGGGAGUGUUUUCUCGAAUGUGAGUAAAGGUUGGGCAUGUUUGCUAGUCUACAUUGCCACGAAGCACAGAGGUUGACACACAUGGACUUUCCAAUUAUCCAGCAGUGGUACUGUUCCUUUACCCUCUCUUCGAUUUUUGAGAAAGUAAUCAUGUUGGGAGUCUGGCUCUCAAGAUUCGGAGGGCGGUGCCUCUUCGAUUUUGGAGCAAGCAAUCUUGUUGGGAGUGUUUUCUCGAAUGUGAGUAAAGGUUGGGCAUGUUUGCUAGUCUACCUUGCCACGAAGCACAGAGGUUGACACACAGGGACUUUCCAAUUAUCCAGCAGUGGUACUGUUCCUUUACCCUCUCUUCGAUUUUUGAGAAAGUAAUCAUGUUGGAAGUCUGGCUCUCGAGAUUCGGAAGGCGGUGCCUCUUCGAUUUUGGAGCAAGCAAUCUUGUUGGGAGUGUUUUCUCGAAUGUGAGUAAAGGUUGGGCAUGUUUGCUAGUCUACUGUGCCACGAAGUACAGAGGUUGACACACCGGGACCUUCCAAUUAUCCAGCAGUGGUACUGUUCCUUUACCCUUGUGGGUAAUAAUAUGGUAGCUAGACCUUCAAAAUUUAUGUGUCUAAACUUUGUUAGUGUUGUUUCUUUGCUAUUCUUUUACCCUUCUUGGUCAGAGCGAUGUAGUGGGAGCUGCAAGCUUCACGUGUCUCAACUUUGUCAGAUAACUUUGGCAAAGUUAUCUGUGGUACCCAUGAGCUACUGUUGCGUGUGGGAAGUGGGUGAUUGAACAGUACGAUUCAUGUGCUUUCUACUUUACCAGAAAUCUUCGACAGAAUGCCCAUAAUUUCCGCAGAGCUGAGUGUGCGUGUGACAGGUGCUGACAAGGCUGGAAAAGUAUGUGCCUCUUCGAUUUCUGAGAUCGGCCCUCGUAGUCUCUGAGCAGCCCAGCUUUUGAGAAAGCAAGCCUCUUCGAUUUCUGAGAUAGGCCUUCGUGGUCUUUGAGCAGCCCAGCUUUUGAGAAAGCAAACGCCUCUUCGAUUUCUGAGCAGGCGCCUCUUCGAUUUCUGAAGCUUCGUCAAGUGCAGAUUUUUAUAGGGGCUGGCAUUAAGUUCCAAAGGACACUUGAAUCUCCACCAGUAGAAGCUCCAUUCUUGCACUUCUAAGAUCUUGAUUUGUCUGACCUCUUCUCUCUUCAACACCUUUGAAAAUGUCUGGCCCCUCCGACCGUCGUUUUGACUUGAACCUUGUUGAAGAGGCAGCCCCGCCUUCUCCAGACAACAUAUGGCGCCCAUCCUUCGUCUCCCCUACUGGUUCUCUUACCGUUGAGGAUUCCGUGAUGAAGAAUGAUAUGACCGCUGCGGUAGUGGCCAGGAACCUUCUCACUCCCAUAGAUAACAGACUACUUUCCAAACGGUCUGAUGAGUUGGCUGUUAAGGAUUCUCUGGCUCUCAGUGUUCAGUGUGCAGGUUCUGUGUCUAAUAUGGCCCAACGCCUAUUUGCUCGAACCCGCCAAGUUGAAUCAUUGGCGGCUGAAGUGAUGAGUCUCAAACAGGAGAUUAGAGGACUCAAGCAUGAGAAUAAACAGUUGCACCGGCUCGCACAUGACUAUGCUACAAACAUGAAGAGGAAGCUUGACCAGAUGAAGGAAUCUGAUGGUCAGGUUUUACUUGAUCAUCAGAGAUUUGUGGGUUUGUUCCAAAGGCAUUUAUUGCCUUCGUCUUCUGGGGCUGUACCGCGUAAUGAAGCUCCAAAUGAUCAACCUCUGAUGCCUCCUCCUUCUAGGGUUCUGUCCAGUACUGAGGCUCCGAAUGAUCCCCCUCCGAUGCCUUCUCUUUCUGGGGCUCUACCGACUGCUGAGACUUCUCCUAAACAACCUUUGUGAAGGCUCCCUCUUGUUUGUUUAUUUUGACUCAUGUAUAUGUACAUAUUUGUAACUUAUCAGGGCUAUCAAUAAAUAAGUUUUCCUUCAUUUCAACGUAUUAUGUUAAAUACACCAAAGCCUUCUUCGCUAAGUUCUUUGAAUUUUCUUUUGUUGAAGCUUGUAUGUUGAAGCUUUGUGAGUGGAGCAUGUAGGUUGAGGUAGUGUUCCCUUAAUUUCCCGAGUGAGGAAAACUUCUCGGUUGGAGACUUGGAAAAUCCAAGUCACUAAGUGGGAUCGGCUAUAUGAAUCUUAGAACGCCAUUGUGUUCUGUCCUGUGUCAUGUCCUCCGUUAGAUCCAAGUACUCUAAGUCUUUUCUUAGGGUCUCUUCCAAAGUUUUCCUAGGUCUUCCUCUACCCCUUCGGCCCUGAACCUCUGUCCCAUAGUCGCAUCUUCUAAUCGGAGCGUCAGUAGGCCUUCUUUGCACAUGUCCAAACCAUCGUAACCGAUUUUAUCUCAUCUUUCCUUCAAUUUCGGCUACUCCUACUUUACCUCGGAUAUCCUCAUUCCUAAUCUUAUCCUUUCUCGUGUGCCCACACAUCCAAUGAAGCAUCCUCAUCUCUGCUACACCCAUUUUGUGUACGUGUUGAUGCUUCACCGCCCAACAUUCUGUGCCAUACAGCAUCGCCGGCCUUAUUGCCGUCCUAUAAAAUUUUCCCUUGAGCUUCAGUGGCAUACGGCGGUCACACAAUACGCCGGAUGUACUCUUCCACUUCAUCCAUCCAGCUUGUAUUCUAUGGUUGAGAUCUCCAUCUAAUUCUCCGUUCUUUUGCAAGAUAGAUCCUAGGUAACGAAAACGGUCGCUCUUUGGUAUUUCUUGAUCUCCGAUCCUCACCCCUAACUCGUUUUGGCCUCCAUUUGCACUGAACUUGCACUCCAUAUAUUCUGUCUUUGAUCGGCUUAGGCGAAGACCUUUAGAUUCCAACACUUCUCUCCAAAGGUUAAGCUUUGCAUUUACCCCUUCCUGAGUUUCAUCUAUCAACACUAUAUCGUCUGCGAAAAGCAUACACCAAGGAAUAUCAUCUUGAAUAUGUCCUGUUAACUCAUCCAUUACCAACGCAAAAAGGUAAGGACUUAAGGAUGAGCCUUGAUGUAAUCCUACAGUUAUGGGAAAGCUUUCGGUUUGUUCUUCAUGAGUUCUUACGGCAGUCUUUGCUCCUUCAUACAUAUCCUUUAUAGCUUGGAUAUAUGCUACUCGUACUCCUUUCUUCUCUAAAAUCCUCCAAAGAAUGUCUCUUGGGACCCUAUCAUACGCUUUUUCCAAAUCUAUAAAGACCAUGUGUAAAUCCUUUUUCCCAUCUCUAUAUCUUUCCAUCAAUCUUCGUAAGAGAUAGAUUGCCUCCAUGGUUGAGCGCCCUGGCAUGAACCCGAAUUGGUUGUCCGAAAAAAAUAUAUAUGCAAUAAAAUACAUGUAUACAUCCAAAAUACACAUACACGGCCAAGCAUACACCUAUUUUUACUUGCCACACACCCCUUGUUAAUUUCAGUUUUUACAUCUUCUCCAGUUUAUUGCAUCCGAUGGCUUAAAAUUGAGAGGAGGGUAUGAAAAGCAAAAGGAAUAAUGUGUGUGUGUGUGUGUGUGUGUAUUAUGCACAUUUCAUCGCUUGCUUGUGACUUUUUUAGAGUAGGUGCUUCAGAUGAUCUCUGAAGAGCUUCCACUCGUUGAUUAUAAUCAGUUGCAAUGGCCGUUGCCGCGUUCAGGGGAUGCACGGAUUGGGACCAGAAGGUGGCACUGAACCUCUAGCCUGUGGCAGAAGCGCCGUCUUUGGAACAAAAGUCUUCGGCUUCAUCGUGCAGCCCAGAGGUCGAGCAGCAGCUGUUACAUGAUCAGAGGGUAAUUUGGCGGUCAAAAUGAUCAAGAGAAUAAGCAUCAAUAACUUCAUAGCGUGCAUGGUUUUAUAUGGUGACCGAAAAAUGAUGUCGAAUGUGCUUUCUCUCUAUGGAAAGAUGGAAGAUAAGGUGUGUGGAAUAAGCUUUCUUGUGCUGAAUUUAUAUAGAGAUUGAGUUAAGAACUACAAGUGGGACAUGAAUUCAACUUCGAAACUGCUAAGAAAAGGGGGGCUGACCGCAUGAAAGAUACACAAUUUGAGACAUUCUUAACGAACAAGUUAAGGAAAAAGGAAAAAUAAAAGGAAGCCAAAUUACACAAUUUAUGAGGAAAUUGUUGGAAUAGGAUCCUCUCCUGAUCCUCUUUGUGGGGAUCCGGAUGAUCAAUCAAUCGAGUUCGUUCAUCGUACAUCGUGCGUUUAGAAAUUAUUUUGAAUUUUUAAUUUUGAAUUUAAAAUUGAAUAUAAAUAGUACUUAAUGAAAUUAACCGUACGAUGUACGAUGAACGGACAUGAUUGAUUGAUCCCUAGAUCACCACAAACUGGAUCUGAAGAGGAUCCUCAUCCGAAAUUGUUUACAUUUUUUUAGCCCGCCACUUUGGUCAAAAGAAACCAAUUAUAUAUAUUAUAUUUGAGGAUUUUAAGGUAAAAGAGUCUCACAUUAUGAAAUGAAACAGAUUGAACUACUUCUAAUAUUGCCAAUUGAUUUUAUGGUGGAACCCUAACUUUCUUCAUAGAAUCAGAGCACGUGCUCCAUGUCACCCAAUUCUUGUUGUCCAAGUGUUUGACUUGAAAAUUCGCUAUACGUGAGGGGUCGUGUGAAGAUGUGAAGGUAAAAGAGUCUCAUAUCAGUGAAAGGAGAAACAUUAUGAGGGUUUAUAAGAAGUUAAAUUACUCUCCAUAUUGCCAAUUAGCUUUAAACUCCAACUUUCUUCAAUAUACAUAAGUGUUACCACACACUAGGAUUGUGUAUCUAAGUAUAGUGAUAGAUAUGUGUUUAUGUUGGAUUUAUCCAAUAUAAAUCAACCUUUAAGUGGUCUACUACAUGUAAUAGGAAUGUAAUAUUGGAGAAUAAUGUUAAUUGUGAUUUGAUCUCUUAAAAAUAUCAAUUCUAUAUAAGGUGUCUUAUAUUGGAAAUAUGAUUGAUGGAAUCCUUAAUAAUAUAUGAUUAUGAUAUUUUACUUGAGAGCCAAGAAAGGAGAGUUUUAGCUUUCCCUUAUGGAUGGAAUCUAAGACUUUUUGGCUAAUAUAUAAACACUGGUCCCUGCUAACCCUAGACACGACAACUAAGGCUUCCCAUAGAGCAUUGUCAUAAAGCUAGGAGUUUACAGAAGAGUUGGUGUUUUCUGUUUGUCACGGCAAACAUAAAGAUUGAAAUUUUAUCGAUCACGUCUUGAUUGCAUGGCUGCUACAUCUUCGACAACUGUCAUUGGAAUCAGGUCAGUCACUCAUUUGUUUGUGUUUUAAUUGUAUAACCUUGUAAGGCUAACAAUUGGUAUCAGAGCCACUGGUUAUAUGAUUAAAACCUAUUAAGUUUGAAGUUUGAUUAUAUAAUAUUUUCCUUUUUGGAUUGCGGUUUUGAUCUUAAAAUUCAAAUUGUGUUCCGGGUCGAUGAGGACUUCUUGAAUCAGACACAUCUGCGGUCAUGAACGAGAUCUACGCCCUGCAUUGGUUCAAGGACGUUCACGUGAGAACCGUCCGUGUAUUGGUCGGUAACCUUAUUCCAAACGUAGGCUUUUCUAAUUGAAGCACCUAAUGAUGAUAUCAAAUUAACUAUAAUAAAGGAAGAUUGAUAUAGUUGAUUCAUUAUUUUAUGGAAUUGUAUAAUUGGAAUACCAUGGUGCUUAACGUUUUCUAUUUCACAUAUGCAUCGCAUAUGAGAUCUUGAUGGAGGUGGGUUAAAGAGCGGAUAAAGCGCCGAGGCAUAAAAAAACACGGUCGUCAGUAUCAUGAACUCUGGCAUCGCAGUACACACGGUCACAUCUCCACUCUAAUUGGUUCCAAACCCCAAAGGCUGGAGUAGGACCCCCACCAAAUAUCAACCUAGCUAUUUGUGCAUUGAUGGUCUUAAACUUUAACUAACGGACGUUAAGUUACUUCCAAGACAUGUGUAGCCUUGCAGGGAAUCACAUAUUUUGCUAUCGGAUAUAUGAAACAUAAAUUGGUAAACUAAUCAUUGUUGAAUGGUAGGUUUUCAAGCACUUCAAGCUUUCUUUCUUGUAUUUAGUUCUCAUAAAGAAAGAUUGGAAUCGUUUGCUCAUCUUUACUGAAUUAAUUAUGACUGGAAGAAUAUGGCAUGUUUUAAACUUUCUAUUUCGAUAUUCAUGCCAAUGUUUUUGGUUGAAUUGAUUUAGUGGUAGAUACAACUAUUUUGGCUAACGUUGUUGUCAAUUUUGUAAGGAUAUACAAAUAUGUACUUCUGUAAUAAUGUUGUCAAGAAAGAAUAUGAAACAUCUCAAGUUAGCAAGCUCGGUAAAGUCUCCUAUCAAAGCAAACAAUUUUGAUCAUUAUAUGUGUCAAUUGCGAAUUAAUUAGUUGAUCAUGCAUAUGGUUAGUUUUGACUAUUAAGUUUUAAACUUGGUUAUCAAAACAAAGAGAAAAUAUAUGUUUUGAACAUGAUUAAUUCUUAUAUGCAUAUAAGUGGCAUAUAGAACGAGGGAAAAGUAGAAUUUUUAAGACAUGCCAAGAUGCAUGCAUAUAAAAGUGCAAAUCUAUCUUGUUUGUUUGCGGCUAAUUUUGUUAGUGCCACAUGAGAGCGAGCUUGCUGGAAUCAAAAUCUCCAACCGCAGGUUUAGGGCGGGUUAUUACUGCCACACGCGAGAACACCUGUGUGAGGUGGGUCCUGGGUGGACAGGCGACAAGGGGACACUAACCACCCUUCAAAUGCCUCACGGAUUAUUGCAGGUUCUGUUUUUGCAUUACAUGAUUAUGUGUAGUAAAUAUAUAGACUGAAUUGGAUAGCCAUGUCAUUGGUUGCUGUCGGAAAUAUCUAAUAUGGAUUCAAUUUUAAGUAUGCAAGCAUGGAGCAAAAUUGACAUAUGGCGUGUUUUAUUAAAAGGAUUGGGUUGUCCUAUAUUGCUUUAAGCUUGAGAUGAUCUUAUAUAAAGACACAAAUGUGUUGAUUAGUAAUGCAGUAUGCUAGCACUUAAGUAUGAUGGGGGAUUAAUUCAAGUACGGUUUAUAAUGAUAUUAACUCCAUACGGAAUUUGCAUGACUAAUCAAAUUAGUUUUGUCUACAAUUUUGCUUUCCUAUCUCAGUAUAGUCAUUUAAUUGUACAUGACUAAUGCAUAACUUAUGGAUUGACUGAGAAUGACAGAAAGCAUCCAAUGACAAGAAUGAGGGUAUAAUACAAGUGAAUAAGGUUUGUAGUAAUUAUGUGACAAUUCUCAUUUGUAUUUUUAUCUAUUCUUAUAUGAGAAUUUUGGUUGGUCAUGUGAUUAUAUAUAUGUUUACAAAGAAGUGAUGAACAUAUGAAGGCAUGAGGUAUGUAAUCCAUUCAAAGUAUGUGGCUUAAUUGAUAAGCAUGAAUUUCCAAACAUGUAUUAUUGUUUGUGGUUUUUCCUAUGCCUAAAGAAUUUAAACAGUGCUUUGAUUAGUAAAUUUUUAUGUGUCAUAAGGGGAGAAGAAAAUAAACUUUUCAAGGCUAAUGUAGGGCAUAUAUUGGAGAUGUUUUCUAUGGAAGAAAAGAAUUUUGGUUGUUCCUUUUAUUUAAUUUGGUAUUUACAAAGCUAAUGCAUGAUUUUAAUGCUAUGUUUAGUAGUUUUGUACUACGGAAAGAAAUAUAUAAAAGGAAAGGAACCCAUUUGAUAUAUAUUUGAGCGAUUUAGCUUUUAAAUUAAAGGAAUGUAUUGUUCUUUCCCAUUACAUAAAUAAUUUCUGUUUUAAGUAAUUGACUCCAUAAUGAUAAGUAUUGACAUUCGUGUGGUGGAAUAAAACUUGUUCUAUAUGUGAUUAAUCUCUUUCAAGUAUGCUGUCAGGUUUCUUGAGAUUAAUUUAAUGUCAAAGGGAGUCCUGAAGGAAUUAGUGCCAUUUGUUGGCAAGACUUGACGCUCGAAUCAGGUUAUCAUAAUUUUGUCACUUACAGUUGAUUAAUUCAUGUGACUUUUUGUAUUGUUUCAGGGCGAAGUUGAUAAAUGUCUUUUCAACUAAAGCAAGCCACAACGACUUAGUUGAUGAUGAGACUGUGUUUUUGAGUUACUUCAGUCAACUUUGCAUCUUAAUUAGAAUAAAAGGGAUAAUCUUCUUGCCUACAGGUGUGGAUUAUUUCUUUUAGUUUAAUUAAGAUGGCAUAGUAUGGGUUUUAUUUUACAAAAGUUGUGAAAAUCUUCAUCUUGCCUACAGGUGUUGAAGUUUUUCAUGAAGGUACUUUUGUGACAUAAAAUCUAGUACUAGAAACUAGUUAAUUUUCUUGCCUACAGGUGUAAAUUAAUUUAGUUUCAUGAAGUCUAUUGGGGACAAAGUUCCAUGCCAUCAGUUAAAAUAUUUCCACUAUGAGCCCAUAAUAGGUUGUGGUUUUAAGGCAUGGAAAUCGGUUGCAUCAUGACAUAUUUUAUCUCUUCAUGAGACUUGUUGAUGCAAAGUAUUGGACCCAUGAAAGUUAAUCAAGGAUUGCUAAGGUACACAUUUGUUUAAGUCUUAUGCUUGUAAAUCUUUUCAAUUGAAACUAUGAUGUCGGUUUAGAGGAUGAAUUUUGACUACUAAAGUUUCUUUUGGACAUCGAAAUUGAAAUGAUAUGAAAUUGAAUUUGUUAUGGAUGCAUAAAUUCAUGAUAGAUGCACAUAAUUGUUUCUGGCAGAUUGCGUGUCUUGAAUUAAAUCGGGUGAAUGACACGUCUAAUGGUCACCAAAUGACCUGAAUUUUGGAUAUGUUCAACAUAUAGAUGUCUACUAUUUGUCUGCAAAUUUUCGUAAUUUUCUGCCAUCUAUGUUAAUUAUGGUGAAUUUACUACUAACCCAUACUCGUAUAGACAGUUUUUACUGACAGAUUGUGUUGGUCUUUUUGAGACGUCACUUUAGACUACUAUUUUGACCCAAAAUAGCUCCAUAUUUUUAUUUUAUGAAUAUUAGUAUGUCUAUUUUGAUCAGUAUAAAUUUGGUAGCAAUCAAGCUUGUAAAUUAAUUAUGAUUAAUUCUAAAGUGAGUGUACCUUGCUACUGAAAUUCUGGUUGACAACUUUGUGUUGGUUGUAAUGUCUAUUUUAUUGUGUCUAAAAUAUAAAGCAAUUUUAUUUAGGUACAUUUUUGAAAGAGUGUUUGCCCAAGUGGGAGAAUUAGUGAACGAAAAUUGGGCUUCACACUCAUUAACUUAUUUGCAAGUAUAAACUCCGAGAACUUAGUGGGAGUUAUUCUAAAAUUGUGAGCAUUAAGUGGACUUGCAUGAAUCUAUUAAAGCAUUAUUCUAUCUUCAUGAAUUUGGGUUACUCGAAUAUCUAUAAUAUGUUUAAGUUACAUGCGUACAUUUUUCUGUUACUUGCAAUCAUUUGGAUUUCGGUUGAUCAUUUGUUUUGGGGCUCAUAAGGACUUAGCAUGAAUGUGAACUUAUUAAUACAUAUAAGAUGGUUGUUGGAUGCAUGUUUUGUGUAACAGCGGUGAAUGCUUUCAUUCUUUGUUGUACCUUUCAUUGAGGUAAUAUGCAUUCAUUGACUAAGUAAGGCUAUUCCCAAAGGCAUAUUUUCAAAAAUAUGAUUUAAGUAUUGAUUUGCAAAUUAAGUAAUGAUGUUGCAGAUCAGUGGGAGUUUGAGUUUAGUAAUGCCUUACAUUUGCAGAUGACCUAUAAGGUAUGUGUAGAAUCCAUGUAUUCAUUUUAAUCUCCAGUUGGAUUCAUUAAGUCACAUUUUUCGUGUGCUAGUCAAUUAUCUGAUGAAAUAUAUAUCGGAUAUCAAGUUGUUAUCAAAUUGCAUAUUAAAUGGCAUGGCAUGGUUUGUGCACUGCCUCAGUUGUGAGGAUUUCCAUCUUGCCCGCAGGUGUUGGAAAUCACUAUGAAAGUAACUGGUAUGGUGCAUAGAUCAAUGUCAAAAACAUAUUAAUUCAUCUUGCUCACAAGUGUUGAAUUAAUUUGUUUUAUGAAGUUUUGGGAUAUUUUACUUGGACAUGUGCCUAUUUGGUAUUUUCAGUUGUGUCCGUUGGCUACAAACAUUGUUUGUAUUGUUACUUAUCUAAUGAAAGUAACGCAUGACUGUUUUGGAGAUGUAUUCACACCUGCAGGUUAUGGUCGUUUCAUUAGAUGAAGGAUAUUUGCAUUGGCAAACUAAAGGCUUUGAAGAAGCAUAAAGUGUAACAUGUGUGUUACAAUAAGGUGGACCUGAGAUGAUAUAAAGUAAGACAUUUUGGUUAAUUUAAAGUUUCAUCUCUUGAUCAUAAUUUGUGUUUCAUGUAAAUGUGGAUCUUAGCAUGAGUGAUUAUGAAGGUUCUGGGUUGUGUCAACCCUACAACCUUGUUAAUUCCAUGUUAAGAAAUGCAUUUGACAGAAGCUACAUUAAGGACGAGAUGUAAUCACUGUUACAUGGCCACUAAAGUGACAUUAGUCUCCAAUCUCAAGUAUAAACGUGAAUAUUACAUUUUGUAGACCAAGUGGGAGAAUGUUGGAUUUAUCCAAUAUAAAUCAACCUUUAAGUGGUCUACUACAUGUAAUAGGAAUGUAAUAUUGGAGAAUAAUGUUAAUUGUGAUUUGAUCUCUUAAAAAUAUCAAUUCUAUAUAAGGUGUCUUAUAUUGGAAAUAUGAUUGAUGGAAUCCUUAAUAAUAUAUGAUUAUGAUAUUUUACUUGAGAGCCAAGAAAGGAGAGUUUUAGCUUUCCCUUAUGGAUGGAAUCUAAGACUUUUUGGCUAAUAUAUAAACACUGGUCCCUGCUAACCCUAGACACAACUAAGGCUUCCCAUAGAGCAUUGUCAUAAAGCUAGGAGUUUACAGAAGAGUUGGUGUUUUCUGUUUGUCACGGCAAACAUAAAGAUUGAAAUUUUAUCGAUCACGUCUUGAUUGCAUGGCUGCUACAUCUUCGACAACUGUCAUUGGAAUCAGGUCAGUCACUCAUUUGUUUGUGUUUUAAUUGUAUAACCUUGUAAGGCUAACAGUUUAACCUUAAUCUAGAGCGGUUGCUAGACAGAGUUUUCAUGCGCACUUUCGACCUAGGAGAGUUUUGCAAAGUAAUGUGAAGCAAUAAGACAAAAAGGAAAACAUAGGUCAUACGCAUAUACCAAAACUCAGUACACAUUGAUAUCUAUUUCGUUUUUAAAUUUGGGACUUUUGUAGAUAUGAAAAAAUAUAUAAGGAAAAAGAAUAAUAGAGAAGAAGUGGUGAGAGAAAAGAAUAAAUAAAAAUGGAUAAAUACGAAAUCUUAAAAGUGAAAAAGCUUAAAAUAGUUUUGAGUUUGAAUCAGUUUUCUUCUUGUGUAUGCUUCUAAAAAUUCAAAGAAAAAUGUAUUUCUUCCACAUUUUUGUACCCGUUGUUGUCUACUAUAUUCCUCUCUAUUUUUAACACAAAACUAAAAACUAAAAACUAAAAACGAAAAAACAGAAUGUAUUUCAUGCUCUCUAGUUACAACUUCAUACCAAUACACGUGAAAUUGAAAUUCACCUGCAAUGAGGUGUCGAUUUUUGUUGUUUUGUAUGAUUGCCAUUUUUCAUAGCACGCAAAAAUGUCAACCUACGUUUAUACGCGUUAUGAGCGCCGAAUCAGUUUAAUAGACGUGUGGCUUUUGUUUAAUUAUAAUGAGUGCUAAAAAGUAAAUUCGGACAAGUGGUCAUCUACCACAGUGGUGGAAAAGAGCGUUACCCUUACAUCACGAUGUGAGUUCGAACUUUGUCAGCUUCUUUAUCUAACAUCUAAUUUAACAAAUUUAUCGUCUGAAAAAAAAAAAUUGUAAACUCGGUUAUUUUUGUCGGGAAACCUUAUCCUGUUCAUGUUGACCUCACUGGCACAAUGUUUUUUGUUUGUUUUAAUUUGAUUUUGGCAUUUGGGCUUUUGAUUCCCUCACACAAAUGACACCCUUGCUAUGCGCUUUAUGAUAAUAGCGUGCGGGUUCGUUAAGAAGUUUUUUUAAAACGAUCUUAGUGAGUAUGUCUUGGAAAUUCAAAAGUAUUUGAAAUAUUUCUUUCAAGAAGCACCAAUUAUGUAUUUCUUGCAAGAAGCACUGCAAGUGUUUUUCUAAAAUUUAUUUGCAUUUUUACUUAAUUGAUUCCCUAUUUUUACUAAAAAUGUUUUCAGUUAAUUUAAAAGUACUCAGAAAAGAGUCUUUGUUUUCUAUGGUGACAUAGUGAUGAGCAAAGUGCUUACGCUGCAGAUUGUGUGAUGUUUUAUACAGAAACGGACGGAGGUUGAAACUCCUGGGAAAAAGGGCGCUGACUCAUUACACGAACCCAAUUGUCAAGUCAUAAUUUUAGAUAAUUAGAUGAAAUAAAAACUCAAUUUAUGCAACUUCCUUGCAAUUUGUUGGAAGUUUUUAACACUAGUUUGCAGGCCCCCGCUUUAAACGUUUUCCGUACAUCUAUAUUUGUUCACACACACACACACAUAUAUUAUAAAAGAAUGGAAAUAACUUCUUCUCUUCCAUUUUUUCUUCAAUAUACAUCGAUUUCUGUUUGGUUCUAGUUAUAUAUAAUUAGGUAAAUUAAGAAACAUAAAUAAACAAAGUGUAUAAAAAGAUAGGUAAAAAAAAUGUGCAAAAGUUAUACUUAGAUAAAUGAGUUAAUUAACUAGUGAGUGGUAGUUACGUAAGAUUUUUCUAUCCACAAUAUAAUUUAACGAAAUUGGGUUGAAAUCUACGUUUCUAUUAUAACAAAUAGUGAUGACAAAUCACUAAAAUAACAACAAUCAAUUAUAAAACAAACGAGGAAGAGGGAACGUAAUUUUGUUCGUGUUUGUUUCUUUAAACAUGGUUUUAGUAAAGCCAAUUUUAUGCCUGAUUCGCUUGCUAAUUUUGGUUAUUCGCAAAACUAUGAUUGUAUUGGGCUAGAUUUUGUUCCUCCUUUUGCUAGCCAAGCUUUAAUUUGGGACUCUCGUUGACGUAACAUUUGCCCGGAGACUUUGUGUUUUAAUUUAAUUUUCGCACUUGAGGAAAACAAAUGAGAAAAAGGGUACUCAAGUCAAAGCUCAGCGUGUUUAUAGAUAUAUAUAUUGUUGAAAAUGCUGGUGGGUGGUGAAUGCCCAGUGCAUUUGGUAAAGUUUUUAAUGCCCAUGAAAUUUGGAAUAGACUUUGGCAAUUAAGGAUGUCAUUUUUCAAAACAUGCGAUGUAAAUUUUUCAAACUAUAUGAACUUGUUUGUAUAGAGCUGCUCUAUAAAUAAAGCGCUCAUACUAUGGUUAAAGUAGAUAGAAAAACAUACAGCAGAAAACAGAAAGAAAGAAAUCUUUUCCUCCAUUUUUUAUUUGUUAUUCUCUUGUGCUAUCAUUUUCAGUGUGACAUUUUACACCUGCUUCAUUCCAUUUACUAAAAGGUUAUCUUUCUAACUUUGACAUAUUUAUAACACGUUAUCAGCACAAAUCUCUAAAAUAUAACUAUUUCUCAUUCCUCUUCGCCGAAUGCAAAUCAUUUCUCUUCGCCGAACAAAAGAAAAAAAAAAGUUUCCUCUAAGGUUUUUACUGUUCAUCUUCUUUCUCUGCCUCAACUGCUCAGUAUACCCUCGCAAUGAACUGUUUGCUCCAUGCCUGCUUCUAGUUCUCAACCUAACGGUUACAUACAUCUUUGAUUUCUUGUUUGAUAUAGAUAUUGAUUACUAACCCAGUAUUUAUUUAUGUUGAUUUUACUGCAAUCCAAGAUGGUGCGGUACAAUCGCCCAUCUUGAACUGCAAAUUUAAUCUUAUUGCCAUCCAAGAUGGUGUGGUAUCAUCGCCUAUCUUGGACUACAGAUUUAAUUUUACUGCAAAUUUUAGGUGGAGCGGUAUAAUCGCUCACCCUACCCUGCAUAUUUAAUUUGCCUGCAGUUUAAUUUCAUUGCAAUUUUAGGUGGUGCGGUAUAAUCACCCACACUGCUAUGCGUAUUUAAAUUUUUCUGCUACUUGAGUGGUGCGGUACAAUCGCCCUCCUCAUUCACCCUGAAAAUCUCAAUCCAGAAGUUUCAAGUGCUUAUCAUUUUGGCCUGAAGAUCAAAAUGAAAAAUUUGUAAGAACUAGAAGUUAUAACACUAUAUUCCUCCAGGAAUACAUAUUAUUGCAAGUUCUUACACAUCUCAUUUUCUUUCAGAAAAAAAGAAAAUGGCGAACUUGGCGAAGCUUGAUUAUGCUACCCUGGACAUUACCAGAAGAAUUACCUUACCUGGGUACUGGAUACCAAGAUCCAUGUGGAAGCAGGGAAUCUUGGAGAUACCAUCAAGGAAGAGAGCAACUCAUCCUCUUAAGAGCAGGCAAAGGCUAUGAUUUUUAUUCGUCGCCAUCUUGAUAAGGUACUAAAGAGUGAGUACUUAACAGUUGAAAAUCCGUUAACUCUUUGGAAUGCAUUGAGAAGCAGAUACAAUCACUAGACAACGGUGAUUCUUCCAAGAGCUCGCUAUGAAUGGACUCACCUAAAGAUCCAAGAUUUCAAGUCAGGGGCAGAAUACAAUUCUGCGUUGUUCAGAAUUACCUCUCAGCUGAAGCUCUGUGGGGAUACUAUUACUAAGGAAAAUUUGCUGGAAAAGACUUUCAGCACAUUUCAUGCCUCUAAAGUGCUCAUGUAGUAGCAGUAUAGAGCACGAGGCUUCACUGAAUACAACCAGCUCAUAUUUGUGCUCCUGGUAGCUGAACAGAAUAAUGAGCUCUAGAUGAAAAACCAUAAUUCCUGACCUACUGGAUUUGAACCAUUCCCAGAAGUGAAUGUUACUUCCCUCGAACUGAACGCCACAUCCUCUGGUGGCUAUAAUCAUAAACGAGGACGUGGCCACAAACAAGGUUGGUGGAACAGGAAAAGAAAGAACCAUGGUGGUCAGUUUCACAACUAGGUUCCGAGGCAUAAUUCAGGCCCGAGCUUUAAAAAUGUGAAUCGCCACAAAGGCAAAGCUCACAUGAACAAUGCUCCCAGGAACUCCAAAGGAGCCUGCCAUAGGUGUGGUGGCAAUGGGCAUUGGACGCAUACUUUUUAUACCCCAAACAUCUGGUGGAUCUGUAUCAAGCCUCCCUCAAGGAGAAGGGUGUCGAAACCAAUUUUCUCGACCAGGCUAAACCAAUGGAUAUACCUGAUCAAGUGUGUGACUUAUCAAGACAGUUGAACACAACCCACCUAGAUGUUUCAGACUUCAUUAUGGAAAGGGGGAAUGAAGUAUACCGGUCCGACUGAAUCGUUUAUGUUUGAUGUACUUUUGUUAUGCUGAACUUGUAGUUUAAAAUUGGCAUUUCAGAUUCAAUAAAAGUGGCAUGUAAAUUUCUUGUUAUAACUUGCUUUUAACUCUGAUUUCUUUACUCAGAAGGCAUGGAUAAAAACUAUGGUCAUUCUCAAAACAUGAGAAAUGGCGGAGACAUUUGUCUUGCAGACUGCGCAACUACGCAUACAAUACUUCGUGAUCGAAAGUAUUUCUUAAGCUUGAUACUUACAAGAAUAAGGGUAACAACAAUAUCAGGCAAAUAAGAUGUAAUUGAAGGCUCAGGGAAAGCCCAGAUUAUGUUACCAAAUGGAACAAUAUUGUCCAUACAGAAUGCGUUGUAUGCUACUCGAUCUACUCAAAAUUUGUUGAGUUUCAAAGACAUACGUUUAAAUGGAUACCACAUUGAAACGAAAAGUGUAGAAAAUGUGGAGUAUCUAUGUAUUACCUCCAAUGAUACCCAGAAGCGUAUAUUGGAGAAGUUGCGUGGUUUGUUGAGUGGAUUGUAUUAUACAUACAUAAAGACAAUUGAAUCACAUACUGUCAUGAACCAGAAGUUCAUUGAUUCAAAAGUUUACAUGCUUUGGCAUGACCGUCUGGGUCACCCAGGAUCUACCAUGAUGCGUAGAAUCAUUACCAACUCUAAUGGACAUCCAUUAUUGAGUAGGGACAUUGCUAUCACAAAUGAUAACCCUUGCAAAGCUUGUUCUCAAGGGAAGUUGGUAAUCAGACCAUCACAACUAAAGGUUGAUAUUGAAUCCCCAUCAUUUCUGCAAAGAGUACAAGGGGAUAUUUGUGAACCUAUUCAACCAUCUUGUGUUUGGUUGAUGCAUCUACCAUAUGGUCACAUGUUUGUCUAUUGUCUACUCGAAAUGUAGCUUUUGAGAGACUUCUUGCUCAGAUAACUAAGUUACGAGCACAGUUCCCAGAUUAUCCCAUUAAGUCAAUCCGACUUGAUAACGCUGGUGAAUUUACGUCUUAAACUUUUGAUGAUUAUUGCAUGACAUUGGGCAUUGAUGUUGAACACCCUAUUCCUCAUGUCCAUACUCAAAAUGGUUUGGUAGAAGCAUUGCUCAAGCGACUUCAGUAAUAGCUCGCACUCUACUUAUGAAAACCACAUUACCAGUUUCUGCAUUGGGACAUGCCAUCCUACAUGCUGCAUCAUUGGUUUGAUUGAGACCUAUAGCCAACCACCAAUACUCCUCAAUACAACUCGUGUUUGGACAUCAGCCAAACAUUUCACAUUUACGAGUUUUUGGUUGUGCUGUUUAUGUGCCUAUUGUACCCCCGCAACACACUAAAAUUGGACCUCAGCAUAGACUGGGAAUUUAUGUGGGUUUUGAUUCAUCAUCUAUCAUUAGAUAUUUGGAACCCUUGACAGGUGAUAUGUUUACAACUCAUUUUGCUGAUUGUCACUUUGAUGAGACGGUCUUCCCAUAAUCAGGGGGAGAAAAGACCGUUCCAGAAGAAUGGAAAGAGUUGACAUAGGUUGUUCCCACCUUGUCUCAUUUUGAUCCUCGAAGCAAAUAGAAUCGUUCAUCUUCAAAGCAUUUCCAAUCAAAUGCCAGAUGCAUUUAAUGAUGCUAUGAAAGUGACAAAAUCACAUAUACCAGCUGCAAAUGCACCUGCCAGAAUUGAUGUCCCUAUUGGACAAAAUAAAGUGGUAGCGAAUGAUUCAUCUGGUGCACGCUUGAAGCAUGGUAGACCUCAAGGUUCAAAAGAUUCAGCCUCUCGAAAGAGAAAGACAAGGGCACAGCUGAAUCCAAAUGAAAUCAUUCAGGAAGAGAGAAUGAAUGACAAAUCUACAAUUCAUGAUUUUGGACUUCCAGAAGAAGAAAAUAUCCUUGAUGAGACACAUGUCCCUGAAGAGACAGCAGUACAUGAGAGCAAAGAAAUCUCUAUAAAUUAUGCAUGUACUAAUGAAUUGUGGGAUCAGAAUGAAAUAAUCAUCGACGAUAUGUUCGCAUUCUCAGUAGCCACUGAAAUCAUAUUAAGUGAUGAUCUUGAGCCCCGCUCUGUUGAUGAGUGCAAACAGAGACAAGAUUGGCCUAAGUGGAAAGAUACAAUCCAGUCAGAAUUAAAUUCUUUGGAAAGGCAAAGUGUUUUUCAACCAGUAGUCCAAACCUCGCCUAGUGUAAACCCCGUGGGUUACAAAUGGGUAUUUACAAGGAAACGCAAUUAGAAAAAUGAGAUUGCAAGAUAUAAAGCACGACUCGUUGCACAAGGUUUUUCACAAAUACCUGGAAUUACUUAUGAGGAGACGUACUCUUCUGUAAUGGACGCAAUUACGUGGUAUAAUCGUCUCAGCGAGUAUUUGAUCAAAGAAUGAUACAUCAACAAUGUCAUUUGCCCUUGUGUGUUCAUUAAGAAAUCCAAUUCUAGAUUUGCUAUAGUGGCAGUUUACGUUGAUGAUAUGAACCUAGUUGGAAUUCCUGAAGAGCUCAAUAAAACUGCUGAAUAUCUGAAAAGCGAAUUUGAAAUGAAAGACCUUGGAAAAACAAAAUUUUGUCUCGGCCUGCAGAUCGAGCAUUGUGCUAGUGGAAUUUUGGUCCACCAAUCAGCUUACAUUGAAAAAAUUCUGAAGCGAUUUGGUAUGGACAAAGCUUAUCCACUAAGCACGCCAAUGGUCAUUCGUUCUUUGGACGUUAAGAAAGAUCCAUUCCAUCCAAAAAAAGAUGAUGAACUGGUCCUUGGUCCAGAAGUACCAUAUCUGAGUGCAAUAGGUGCUUUGUUGUAUUUAGCACUGCGAAAUCUCGUUUUUGGAUUUCACUGUUAUAAUCUACGUAUUUGCAUUAUUGAAAUUUUAUAUUAUUUUUCGAAAAUUUAUAUUAAUUUAUUGAAUUUAGAUUUCAAUUAAAUUAGUUACCAAGAGUGAAGUUUAGAAAAUAAUUAUUUAAAAUUUGUUGACCUUUCGAGGUCACAAGUAACGUUUUCGAAUAGAUCUUAACCACGAACGCAUAGGCGAAAGCCGUUUGCGAGUCCGGAUUAUAAUGGUAUAGUUAUGGCCAUUUGAAAUCAUUUACUAAACUAUAGUUUCAAUUAAUUAAAAUCCCACUUUGUGGGAAAGAGGCCCAAUCAUGUAAGAUUUAAGGUGGACCAAUUAGAAAAGAAAAAAAAAGGUGGACUUUGAGGGUAGCACAGGAGGAAGAAAAGAAAAAGGGGGCGGAAGAAAAAAAAAGAAAAGAAAAGGGGGACUUAGAGGACAGCACGGGAGGAAGAAAAGAAAAAGGAGGGAAGAAGAAAAAAAAAGGGAAGAGAGAAGGAAAAAGGGAGUUGCGAAAGAGAAGGGGAAAAGAACGUUCUUCCACGUUCUUCCGGGCUUUGCGAGGAAAGAAAAAGAAACAGGGAGGAGGUGGCUCUUCCAUAGCUGUUGAAAGAAAAUCCUUCUUUCUUCAGGCAAAAAUCAGAGAGAUAGGAGUUAGAGAACGUGAUUAUGAAGGAAGGAUUCAAAGAUUUAAAGGGUAAAUUCCUUGUUACUUCAUUAUCUUGAUUUUCGAAUUUAACUUUCUUAAGUUGAAUUGAAACUGCCAUGAUAUAUUGGAGUUCUUAAUUCUAUUUAGGGUUUCUAUCAUUCAAUGAACUAGUCUAAACAUGAAUUAAAGUUGGGUAUUUUGGAUUGGGCGUGUAGAUCAAAUUUCUUGAUUAAGGGUUUGGUUCAAAAGGUCAAUUUCUUGUUAAUUUUGAGUCAUGUUAGUUUUGGAUGUUGUAUACAUGACUUCUGGACUACCUGUAAAUUUCUUUGCAAAGAAAACUCAAGUUUCGAGUAGCCUUCUUUGGCUCUUAAUUUCUAGGCCUUUAUGUGCUCCUUUGGAGAAAAUUUUUAGUUUGUUGAAAGUACAUAUGUUCAUGGUCGUAACCCAAUUGUUUUCACUCAGAUAUGUUGAGUUUUGGUUGAUCAAAACCUUAUUUAAACUUGGGUCGCGAGCUGCCAAACAGCAGCAUAAAAUUGGGUGUCCAGUUUCAAGACUCUGUUUUACUUUUGGCAUAACUUCCAAUUUAGAGCUCCGUUUUCUACAAACUUUGUAUGCUUUUAAAGUACAGAACACAAGCUUCAAAACCCAUAUAAUAUUACAUGAUUUGGUUUAGUUUUGAAUGUUCCAAAGGGAGCCUAAACUUGGUCCAAUGGUGCUGUUUUCUGCAGAUUUUGUGGAGAAGCAGAGUACUGUUUUUGCCACACCUAGUUUCUUUCCAGAUUCCUAUCUAAUCUUAUUUACUACUAAUUUAGUGAUGGUAUUAAUAUCAUUUGUGGAUAUGACAUGGUUUUAUAAAUGUGUUUUCUAUUAAAUGUGAUUCUUUAUAAUUGGCCAUCGAUCUAUUUUUAUUAAAUGUGAUUCGAAUUGCAUAUUGAAAUGUGAAUUAUAUAUAUAUGCCAUAGACCCAUGUUAAUUAAAUGUGAAUUCUAUUGAAGUGUUAUUUUAUUUUUUGUCAUUGAUCUAUUUUCAUUAAGUAUGAUUUGACUUAUGCAUUGGAAAUAUGGUUUGUAUUGUAUGAUUGGAUUGAUGUGAUGAAAUGCAAGGGCUAGUAGUGGACCAUUAACCAUUGUUAUGGGGUUUGUUGCCUUCGAAACAUGUUUCAACCCUCGUGUCAUUAUUCAUCCUCGUUUCGUUGAGUCUUUGUACAUUGAGUAACUUGAUCCAUGUCUUGUUUUAUUGAUUGGUGUUACACAUUCUACUCCGCGAUUCUGUUGAAUGAUGAUCCAGAAUCGUAUUCUGGUUUGGAUUCCGUUAAGUGAUGGUCCGGAAUCCCUUCUACUCCACGAUUCCGUUGAGUGAUGAUCCGGAAUUGUAUCCUGGUUUGGAUUCCAUUGAGUGAUGGUCGGGAAUCCCUUCUACUCUGCAAUUCUGUUGAGUGAUAGUCUGGAAUCCCUUCUACUCCGUGAUUCCGUUGAGUGAUGUUUCGGAAUCGUAUCUAACUUGGGUUUCAUUUAGUGGUGGUUAUGCAUUGUCCUCCGCGAUUCCGUUGAGUGAUGGUCCGGAAUCAUAUCUACUUGGAUUCCGUUAAGGGCUAGUCCGGAAUCCCUCAGACUUCGUGAUUCUGUUAAGAGCUAGUUCGGAAUCCUUCAUACUUCGUGAUUCCACUGAGAGAUGGUUCGGGAUCGUGUUCACCUUGGAUUUUAUUGAGUUUGGAUCGAGAUAGCUUCAGAGAUGUAGGCUUCGGCCGAACUGUGUCGCUCUAGCCCUACUUUUCAUGGUGUUGUAUGAUAUUAUGAUUAUGAGCUGUUGUGAUUUGAUCCAGACGAACCGUUGGAUGUCUAGGUGACUCCUUCGGAGUUGUUAGAGUUCCUUGGUUAAAUUUGUGAAAUGAUAUGUUACUGCAUUCAUUGAUUAAACAAUUAAAUGCUAAGAUCAUGUAUCUUUGAUUCAUGAUUAAUUAAUUGAUGUGAUUGUGGAAUGACAUUGGGUAUGAUUGAGAUUAUUAUGAUUAGAGUAAUUGAUUAAUGUGACUUGAGAAUAACAUUGUGCUUCGUUGGUUCUUUGAUAUGUUACAUACUAUGAUUUGCGGUAGUAUGUGAAACAGAGUGAUUUAUAUGAUGGAUGAAUUGGAAAGUAUCUGUGUGAGAAUGGGUUACAUGCGUGUAUGAAAUAUGAUAAUUGUUGUUAACGUAUGGUUGAUGUGUAAUAUGGUAUGGUGCCUUAUGAUUUUCUGUUAGAAGUAUUUUAUGGAAAGAUUAGAGUUAACGAUUGUGGAACUACGAAUGGCUUGAUCCCUAUUGAGUGUACGUAGGCAGUCUAACGAGGAGGUUAGAUGCAGCCAUAAAGUAAACGAAAAAUUACUUUGCAAUUUGAUUCUCGAGUUGUGAUUUGCCAUAUUCCGAAGAUGGGGUAUGUAAGUUAUAUGAGUAAUUGGAGACGUUACGUGUCGAUCCUGGACGUAUGUCGAGAUCGGGGCUUGACAAGCACAAUGUACUAGACCAGAUAUAGCCUUUUCAGUCAACUUGUUAGCCAGGUAUAGCUCUGCUCCAACAAUCCGUCAUUGGAAUGGUGUCAAAGAUGUAUUGCGAUACCUUCGUGGGACAACAGACAUGGGUCUCUUCUACUUAAAGAACUCCACAAAUGACCAAGUCCUUAUUGGAUAUGCAGAUGCUGGUUUCCUCUCUGAUCUGCAUAAAGCCCGCUCACAAACUGGAUAUGUGUUCAAGAAUGGAGAUACAUCAAUCUCAUGGCGCUCGACAAAGCAAACAUUAGUUGCUACAUCUUCAAAUCAUUCAGAAAUAUUUGCUUUACAUGAAGCAAGUCGUGAAUGUUCUUGGUUAAGAACAAUGAUCCAUCAUAUUCGGAAUUCAUGUGGUCUACCUUCAAAGACAGACACUCCAACUGUCAUUCAUGAAGAUAAUGCAGCCUGUGUUGCCUAAAUGAAGGAAGGAUUCAUCAAGGGCGAUAAAACUAAACAUAUAUCUCCAAAGUUUUUCAGUGCACAUAAGCUUCAGAAGGCUAAAGUUAUUGAAGUCAGACAAAUCCUAUCUAAUGAAAAUCUAGCAGACUUGUUCACCAAGUCCCUACCAAAAUGCACGUUUAAGAAGUUAGUGCAAAGUAUCGGAUUACGUCGACUUACCAAAUAGCUAAAUUUGGAGAAUACGAAAUCAGGGGGAGCAUCCAUAAUACAUGCAUGUUGUACUCUUUUUCCUUCGAUUAGGAUUUUUUCCCACUGGGUUUUUCCUAUCAAGGUUUUAACGAGGCAACAUAAGCAUACUUAACACUAUAUCAACAAUCCAGGUAAAGUUGUACUCUUUUCCCUUCGCUAUGGUUUUUUCUCAUUGGGGUUUUCCAAGCAAGGUUCUAAUGAGGCAACUGAUGUUGAUAUGUGGGCAUCCAAGGGGGAGUGUUGAAAAUGCUGGUGGGUAGUGAAUGCCCACAAUGCAUUUGGUAAAGUUUUCAAUGCCCAUGAAAUUUGGAAUAGACUUUGGCAAUGAAGGAUGUCAUUUUUCAAAACAUGCGAUGUAAAUUUUUCAAACUGUAUGAACUUGUUUGUAUGGAGCCGCUCUAUAAAUAGAGCGCUCCUACUACGGUUAAAGUAGAUAGAAAAACAUACAGCAGAAAACAGAAAGAAAGAAAUCUCUUCCUCCAUCUUUUAUUUGUUAUUCUCUUGUGCUAUCAUUUUCAGUGUGACAUUUUACACCUGCUUCAUUCCAUUCACUAAAAGGUUAUCUUUCUAACUUUGACAUAUUUAUAACAUAUAUAUAUAUAUAUGUAAUGGAGUAUAAUUCUCUCUCCUCUUUUUUUCCCUUCCCUUCCUUUUUAUUUGAACAGUUAUAUAUAUAUAUAUAUGUAAUGGAGUAUAAUUCUCUCUCCUCUUUUUUUCCCUUCCCUUCCUUUUUAUUUGAACAGUUACGGUUAAGCCAUGUCAACAUCUUAUAUUAAUUUUUUAUAGCAAGAGAUAGAUACUUCUGAUUCUGAUCCUGAACAACGACUCAAACCUAAGCGGGCAGCCCCAACCAGGAAAAGUACAAGUGCCCAAACCUCCAAGUCUUCCAAAGCUACUUCUGCUUCAAAGACCUCUAUUGCUGCCGUGGGUAAGAAAAAACAAAAAGCCCUCAGUAAGUAUCUUUUCCCUCAAUCUUUCAUCCAUACCUUACGCUUGGGAACCAACGGUUUGGUCCUUUUUGUAAUCAAGACCUUCGGUAUCCAAAUAACCCUCUUUGGUUUUAAAGGACGCUCCAUUGGAUGUAGAAAAGCAGCGAAGGGCCAAAGAUUACCAGGAUGUGGUUCUUGGAGAAUUAGAGGUAUAGACUGCCCCUAUUUUCUUAGAAUUCUUCCCUCUUUUUCUUUUUCUGAUAUCUCUUUCACCCGAUUAUCUGUAUCAGGAGAUUCGGGCAGAAAAGAUCUCUCCGCCCGAAACCUUUUCUCCUUCCGCCCGAUCAAGGCAUGCCCCUUUUUUCCAAGCAAAACCCACUUCGUUAGAGUUGACUCCGAUCUUUCAAUUUGAUCAUUCAACCGGGCAGAUGAUGCACUAUGUGGAAGAUGACAGUGAUUCAGUGAGUUUUUGUUCCUAUCAUCCCAUGUUUAAAACUCUUUUUCUGUACUUACUAUCCUUCAUUUCUUUCAGCCUACCCUGGUACAAGAAUUUCAGCACGUACCAACUUCUACUUUUAGAGAGCCAAUAGUUCCUGAGAUCCAUGUAGUGUCUGAGGUGACUAAUCCACAGGUUUCUCAGGCACUCUUUACUAAUCCGCCCAAGGUUCCUGAGUUACAUGUUUCUCAACCUCAAUUUCCUCCACAAGUAUAUUUGUGAACUUCCCGUUUUUUCUCUUCUUUAGCUACUGGCCUUCACUUCUUCUUUUACUUUUGCAGGCUUCUGUUGAAGUCUUGGGUACUUCAUCUCCUACCCCAGUAGGUGAAGAUAACCCCCUCUAACAAUCACAAGAAAUUACUCCAUCUCCACCUCUUUCUAGAGCUCCGGGUUUAUUUCAGGUAUAUUGACUUUUUGUAUUUUAUCUUUUCCUGGCUUGGACAACCUCUCUCUUAUCAUUUAUGUCUUGUUUGCAAUAGGAUUCCGGAGAGGGCUCGGGCAAGUCUCAUCCACGCUUGGUGCGUAAAUGAGAUCUUCCACACCCUCAUUCGAUCUUCGAAGUUACAGAUGCUUCUAUCUCUAGGCCUGAACAGCGAGCCAAGACUAUUGUAGCAACUUCUUCCACUUCUGCUCCUGCUUCUUAGGACCAUCCCACUCCACCUCCUAAAGUUGUCCCUACUGUUAUGACUGAAAGUGUUAGAGAUUUGCCCCCGACUUCAUCAACAACAUCGUUGCCCGAUCUAAUGAAGAAGUUCGGUCAGACCAAAAACAAACUACAAUCUUCUCCAACAUCUUCUGAGCUUCCUUCAUUUCAGCGUGCUCGCAAUCUUUUCAAGGACUAGACAAAAAGAGGGUUCACAGCUUCUUUUAAUCUUAAGGUCCUUUAUGAUGCAGAAAAAGCCAUUUCUGAACUUCACCAAGCUGAGUUACUGCCCCCAGCUCAAUACAAGUCUUUUAUGAGUUUCUUCGAGAAUUUACGAGCAUUAAUGGAUUAGCAUCUUAAGGCAGAGCGAGCAUCUAAUAGAGUAAACUGCUUUCAAGAAAAGCAUGUGAAGAGUACAAUCGUGCUCCGACAAUUGGUAGAGAAUGAAUCAACAAUGGAAACAAGGAUUUUAGUGGUUGAUUCUGAAAUUCAGAGUUUGGAGGAACAACUUUCAUUAUUCAAGCUGAAAAGAUGACAUUCACCAACCAAUUCUCCCAGAAAGUAGAGGAGAUGGAGAAAGCCUCUUAAGAGGUUGAGGACUCUGAGAAUCAACUAGUAAAUAGCAAUAUGUACUUAGGAGAGCCAGAUAUAAUUUUUGCUGUUAUGCCAACUUACUUCUCUAGAAUAGUUGCUCUAGCCGAAGAUGUAAAUUUGUUGGGUUAAGAUUUCUGUAAUCCCCUUAUGAAAUGGAAUCUUCUUUAAUCCGCAUCCCUAUUUUUGAUUUUCAAUAGCAGAAGUUUCUUUCCUCCUUUCUAAUUUUUGAUCAACUUCUAGAUCAAUUAUGGUUUCUGUUGGGGAUACCUCUAUCUCAUGUCUCUGUUGGUAUUGAUUUGUACAAACAUCCACCCCUUUAUUACAGCUGUUUUGGACUUGUCGGGUAGUUAGAGAGCUCCCUCCAUAGGAUUAUUCAUCCUACUUUUGUCUCCCAAGUGGCUUUUUGCUUCUCCCUUCUGGCCCAUGUUAAGCUGAUCACGUUGAAUAGGGCUUUUGGGAAAAGAUCUGUGUCAAUCAUCAUGUUGGUAUGAGGUUUCUCUAAUAGCAACUUCCCUUUAACCAUGAGAUCUUGUAUCCAAUCUCUGAACUGGACACAAUUGGUGAUAGAGUGGUUGAAGGUGUGGUGCAACUUACAAUACUUUUUCCCCUUUAACUCCUCGUGUUUAGGUAGAUUCUUAGUACUGUCGGGCACAAUCACUCUUGCUCUUACUAGCUCCUCAUAUAUUUCUGCAGCUUUGGUUAAGUCAAAGGAAUAACUCUGGUAUUUUGGAGGUUUCAUGGGGAUAAAUCCUCCAUCAUUCAUCACUACCUUCUGAUCUUUAACCGGUUGGACCAAUCCUUUUACCAUCAAGGGUUUAAAGGGAGUGGUCAUCUCUGCCGCAUACAUGUCUAUUGCUUCUCUAAGUUCUCUCCCAUGACCAUCGUUUUCUUCUGGUCGUUCCUCAAACUCUACUUGGUGAAUGGCAGCUUUAUUUCGAUAGAAAGGUGGUGCUUUAGAGGAGUGUUUCAGUUGUUGGUCUUCAAGCAACAAUUUCUCAUAUUUGGUAGCAGCGAUCACCAACUCUUGCAGUUCAUUAAACUAUACAUCAUAAAACUUCUUUCUCAAGGGUAGACUUAAGGCUUUCUGAGCAAUAGCUAUAAGUUGGAUAUGGUUAAUGGGAAACUAGCAUCUCAUCCUUAUCCUUAUAAACCUCAUAAUGAAAUCUUCUAUAGAUUCAUGCUCAUAUUGUUUCACUUCGACUAGAUCGUUAAUGGUCAUUUCUGGCUCCAUCCUGUAAAACUGCUCAUGGAAAGUCAUCUCUAUUUGCCCCCACUUAGCGAUGGAAUUUGGGGGUAACAAAGAGUCCUAUUGAGAUGCUAAGCCUACGAACGAAUUCCCAAAUAACCUCAUCUUAUAAUUGGGAUUGUCUUCGAACGCCACACAAUGGUUGGAGAAUUUAAAGAUGUGAUCCCUGGAUGACACAUUAUUGUCCUUUCCACUGAACGUUGGGAAUGCGGGCAUUUUGAAGUUAAGAGGAAAGGGAUUUUGUUCAUCAAUGACCUCUGGGUAGGGCUUUUGAUAAGCAAUUCUAAAUAGUGGGCGAGCUUGUGGUUCGGCAUUCCUUACUACCAUUCUUCUUAAUUCAUCUAACUCAUCUCUAAGUUGUUGAUUGGUUGUAUUAUUAGGCGGAGUAUGAGGACGUGGUUCCCACUUCGGGCUACAAUCAUUGCCCGAGGUAUUCUCUUUCCUUGUGUCAGGCCUCCUCCAUUUAGGUUCUCCUCCCUUAUCAGUCAUUGGCGGCGGUCUAUAAGGAAGUGGUUUGUCUACCUUGGCGGGUUCUCCCUUCCUACUAGAUUCCCCAAUCAACUGAGGCAUCCCAUAUUUUGCUCUCUCUUGCCCGACCUGCCCCCUAUUAUUUAGUGAAAACAGGGGGUCGGGUAAUUCUGUUACCAGAAUUUCUUCCAAAACCAGAUGACUCGCUCUGGAUUCUUCCUUGUUCUUCCCUUUAUCCUUCUUUUCCUCAAAUAUAGGAAAUAGAGGAAUAAUUGGCUCCUUCACGAGACUGGCUUCAUUUGUCAUUGUCCUAGCAUGAUCAUUUUCUAAAGUAGGGUAUUCCAGAUCUAGCCUUUUUUGAAAAUUUCCUGUUAAGGAAUAGAGUCUGCUUAUGUCUUCCCUUGUCUUUCGGGAGUUUCCCUCCAUGCUCUGAGAGCUUCUUUCCAUGCUUUGGGAGUUUCUCUCCAUGCUUUUUAUAACAGCCAUCAUGGUGGCUUAUAGGUCUUUCUUUGUAACUUUUCUUUCUGACUUCUCAGAAUAAGUCGGGCUUUCUAUUAAGACGAGUCCUUGCAAGUCUUCGGGGAGAUUUUCCAUGCUGGAUCUUGGUGUGUAGUGGGGUGAUUUCUGUUUUGCUCCCCACCUGAAGGUUUGAUCCUUCCUUCGCCUUAUUGGCAUAUAAGAUGAGAUCCCACCGGGCAUGCCAAAACUAUGUUCGGGCAGGAAUAUCACUGGUGGGCGUUCCUGGUUCGAGCACACAGCUCCCUGAGGAGUUGGCACUUUGGUUGAUUGUCGGUCUCCUGCUCGUUACAAUGCUGCAAAAGGAGAACAAAGUUAGUUUCAAAAAUGUGCCUAUGCAAAGCCUUAGGUAUAGGCUUUGGAGGUUCACAAUCAAAACUAACAUUAAGUUCUUACGCGUGCCACUACCAUCUUUGUAUGGCAGAUGUAAAACAAGUGUAUUUAAGCUGAUUACUUGCGCCCCAAGUUACUCUGACUUCUUGUUAUCAAAUGAUUAUCGUAGAUGGGUUAAGUCUACAUUAAGUUCUGUUUUAUGCCUUGAGGUCAAGGACUUUUGUUCAUCUUGUAUGCUUUAAAGAGUGAAUAUCCAGAUAUGGCUGAAUUGUUUUAUUUCAAUAGUAAUGCCUAAAUGAUACGCUUUGAACCACUAAAAGACUGGAAAUAACUUGGAUAUAUAUCGAAUGAUGCAUGAUAAUACUAGAUCUAUUAGGUAAGGAACAAAACAAAGGGAAUCGAGCUAGAUUUAACCUUGUCGGGCAAGGUUGAAUCUUGUACACCGUCACUUCUUUGUAAGUACAAAGGUUUGGGGAGAAAAGGGAGUGAAUGAUGAGCAGGGUGAACAUAAGAGAAUCAAUACUACUAUGGUUGAAAAAGUAGCAGAGCUAUUAAAUUAGACAAAAGAUGGCUUUUGUGAGGGCUGAUCCUGAAAAUGAUUGAGGUUGGGGGCUGACUACAACUUCGUAGGCAAAUCUGGCUUAAGCAGAGUUUGUGUAGUUGUUUGUUUGAUUGGUUGAGUGUCCUUGUCUCUGGGCCUUCUUCCUCCUUUUAUAGCCGAAUUAUCCUGACUGCUUGCAACUUGGCUCCUGCCCGAAAGCAACUGAGGGGUAGUGACUCAUCAGUAAUUUACGUACUCUGCCAUUCAGAAAAUGCUUUUGGGCUGAGAGUAGGCUAAUUUCCAUCAAAUGUCAUUUCUUUCAAGCUACUAGCCUUUGCAUUUAAUGUGGAAUCAUCAUUUUGCCUUAGGCUGGGCGAAUGGAUAUGAUGCUUGUCCUUCGGGCAGAGUCAUGUCUUCUGGGCUUCCUUUUGGGCUUCUCUUCCUCCAACCCAAAAUUCAAAUAUUAACCCAAACAAUAAGCACUUGAAGUGCUUUUGAAACCACUAAACAUUUUCUUUAAAAACGUUUACAAUUAAAAAAACCCUAUAUUACAACUUCAUCCGAUACAAACUCUUAAUAUAUUGUAUAUAUUCUACUUUCGUUGAUAGUGAGAGUAAUCAAAUGCCUCUCUUUUUUUUCUUUUUUUCUUUUUUUUGCUACAAACAUAUGGUUUGCUACUCCCCUAUUAGUGAUGAUACACAUCUCUCUCAAAGAGAUACGGUUAACUAAAAGCUUACGUCGUACUAGAAUUAGAUCAAGUGACUGCACAAACGAAACUUGAAUAUUGCAAGGUGUACCUCUAGUUAAUGUUCUUAACAAUUUAUAAACUUCUUGUAAACCAAGAUCAAAUUUUACGGUGGUAAAGUUGUAGCAAUUCAUUCAUGAACAUUAAAGUACAUGGAACACCAUCGCAUAGUAUCGUGGCAGAUAUUAUUGAAUAUUAUAACACUUGUUAACCCUAAUAGCUCUCCUAACCAACACGAGGAACCUUAGUGACGACUCCGCGUUCAUUAAUCCAGACCCAGACCUUAUCGCACCCUCUGUCCCUGGUGGUCGCAGACCCUUCCAGUUACACGAUUGCCCGAACACCGUGAUUCUCUUGCUCUAUCUUUGCCGCCGCAUCUUUCCCAUUUUUUCCCACCAGCUCUGGCCAUGACUUACCUGCACCCACACAGACACACACAUAUAUAACAAAACAAAUAAAUAAACUCAUGAUGAAGUACCAGUAAUCCCACAAUUAUAGUAGUUUUACCUGGACACUCUGCCAUUCUAGCUUUUUUCUCACACACUGAUAUAUUUUGUGUUAUCAAACUUUUAUGGGUUGGUAUUUAUAGAUAGAUUGGAGGGCUUCAAGUUUGGUUCUAAAAGUUUCAAGCAUGCACGCAGUCGUGUCAAUGUAUAUAUGCCGAUGUGUUCGAAUGAUGACAAUAGCUAGAUCUAGAUGUCAAUCAAUUGUGCGAGGUAUGUUCAUAUGCCUUUCGUUCGUGCAUGUAAUGUUGUUGUGAUUUGUGCAUGUUUGUGUUAAAUAGCUCCAUAUCCACAUGCAAGCUCAUCCAAAAUCAAAUCAAAAGGUAUCAAAUUGAUAUUUACAUCUAAUUUGAGCGGCUCCGUUUGGAUUCUUCCCCAUCAUUUCUUUGGACUUUAUAUAGUUCAAGAAUUUUCGGGGGUUUAUUGCCACGCGCUGUUAGUGAUCUACAUCAAUGUUAUGAAUUUACUUAAAUUUAACAUUAAUAAUAUAACUUGGAUUCAUAAAAUAUUAAUUUUGUUGUUCAUUAUAUUAUAACAUUUUAUUAUUACUAUUUUUUUAAGGAAAUGACAUAUAUAUUUGAUCCAAUGUAAAGGGGAUGAUAUAAAAUUCACAUAUAUGAAUAACAUGACUCUUAUAUGGGUACUAUCUAAAAAUUAAAAAUGAUAAUCUCUAAUGUUGUAAGACUUACCAUGUAACACAUUCUGUGAAAAAUAUGAAAUUAAAAACAACCUUAAAUCACAUUAACAACAUUAGAACUCUGAAAAAUCUCAUAAAUUUAAGAAUCGCAUUAACAACACUAGAACUCGACAAAUCUGAGAAAUAAUUUAGACUUACCCAUGUAGCAUAUCCUGAGCAAGCUUCCAUAGUUCAUCACUGUUCUAAAAAUCUCCGCCUAACAUCGCCUAGACUUUGCCUAGGCGUUAAGUAGUUGGCCACUGUCCCGAUUAAUCCUUAGGUGUUUGAAAAUUAAGAAAGUGCACAUAGACCUACUUAGGCACCCACCUAGACCACGUAGGCGCUCGCCUAGCCUGUCCAGAAUCGCCUAGGUUGCGACUCUCACAUAGACAGAAAAUAGAUAACUUUCAUUUUGCUUUUAUUGUUUUAAGUAAAUGUUUUUAAUGAACACACAUUAUUGUUGCCGUGAGUAGUAUUAAAAAGGGCAUGUAAUUAUAUUGUAAAUAUUAGAAUCCUUUAUUAGGAAGGUUAGUUGUGUGUCUUUUUGUGUUUUCCUUAUAAAACAAGGAUUGUAUCUUGUAUAUAUAGUCUAUUUUGCAAUACAAUGAAAAUUAAGCCGUAAAAUUCAAUUUGGCAUCAGAGCCAAGCGUAACCCUAAAGUUCCCACCGUGCCGCUGCUACCGUAAAACCAGAAGAAAAAAAAUCUCUGCAAAUCUGUGAUCUCUGCUGCAACUUUGUAGCGAGUCAAGAUUGCCCGUGUGUGUAUUGUUGCUAUCGUGGGAAACAAGAAUCACAGCAGGUUUAGUUUUUUUGUCGCUGCCUACCUGCAUCAAGACCAGUUAUCGUGUAGUGUGUGUGCGCGCGUCGUGCAGUGUGCUUGUCGUGCAGUGUGUGUUUGUUCUGCAAUUGCUGGGAUAUAUGUCGUGUAAGAGCUACAGACAUGGAAGCUUUCUACUGCUGUCGUGAGUAAGUCAAACUGUGCAGCCGUGUGGUUUUUUGCUGCGAUUUCCUCUGCAGAAAAAAAAGGCUGAUGUGGUGUGGUGUUAUGAUUGUCGUGUAUUACUGUCUCGUGAGUUAUUAUAAUGACGAAUGCAGGUUGGAUUCUAGACUCGGGUGCAACCGAUCAUAUGACUUUUGAUAAGAAUUUAUUUACUAGUAUGACAACCAGUUCAUGAAAGUGUAUUGCAACUGCUACCGGAACAAUAACACCAGUUUUGGGGGCCGGCACUGUGAACCUCACGCUAGCCCUUCCCCUCCAUCACUGCCUACUUGUUCCCUCAUUGUCUCAUAAUUUGUUAUCUAUUCCUCAAGUUACUGAGCAAUUAGACUGUGUUGUACAUAUGUAUCCACUGUUUUGUUUGCUUUAGGAUAUUCAGACCAAGGAGAUAAUUGGGCAUGACACUAAGAGAGAGGGGUUAUAUUAUGUGGAGGACGUCGUUCCUGGCAGAGCUAAUGCAGUUUGAGCAUCCCGUACCAGUAAUUUACAUGAAGUUUGGUUAUUGCAUCGUCGGUUAGGACAUGCUUCGUUUGGGUAUUUAAGGCGUAUGUUGCCUAGUUUAUUUCAUGAAAUAAAAGAAUCAGACUUACAUUGUGAGGUAUGUAUUCUCGCGAAAAGUCAUCGCAUUUCGUUUCCUCCUAGUAUGAAUAAAAGAUUGUUUCCUUUUGAACUUGUGCACUCUGAUGUCUGGGGUCCCUCUCGUGUUAGUACUUUGUCUGGAAUUAAAUGGUUUGUUACCUUCGUUGAUGAUUGCACUCGUGUGACUUGGAUUUAUGUGAUGAAGAAUAAAAGUGAUGUGGGUAUGGUGUUUCGAUCAUUCUCUCAAAUGGUUGCAACACAAUAUUCCUCUGUUAUUAAGGUUUUCCGCUCUGAUAAUGGAGGUGAGUAUAUUGGUUCCGAGUUGUCCGGCUUUCUUCGGGAUCAAGGAAUUCUACAUGAGACUACUUGCCCUCAUACCCUACAACAAAAUGGGGUUGCUGAAAGAAAGAACCGUCAUAUCUUGGAAAUUGCUCGUGCCUUGCUCAUUGGUGCAUCUGUACCUAAACAGUUCUGGCCUGAAGUUGUCACCUAUGCCGUGUUUGUGAUUAACCGUAUGCCAUCCCGGGUUGUGGAUUUUCGUACACCUCUCCAAGUAUUGACAGAAUUUGUUCCAGUAGUGUCAACUAAUACUCUUUCUCCUCAUGUAUUUGGGUGUGUAGCCUAUGUUCAUAUUCAUAAGAUUCAUCGUAGUAAGCUCGAUGUUUUUCUGGGAUUUGCUCCUCAACAGAAAGGGUAUAAGUGCUACCACCCUGAAACUCGUCAUAUAUAUGUAACUAUGGAUGUUACCUUUUCCGAAUUUGAGUUCUUUUAUGCUUCGACUCCAUCACCUUCCGAUCACCCGGGGGAGAAUAUGAGUGGUGAUCUUGGGUGGUUGGAAAUAUGUAGCUCAGGGGGAGUAUUUAUUGACAAAAAAAACUAUGAAAGCUCUCGGCAAGACACUAUCGAGAAUGAAGACAGUGAAUUUCGACAAGACACUGCCGAGAAUGUGAGUAUCAUUCAGCCAAGUAGCACCGAACCAGUUGAGUCUUCUCGGCAAUGUGCUACAGAGUGUGAUGGAGAGUGUCAGUAGGAAGCUGCCGAACCAGUUUCACUGCUCCAGCAACCAUUAGCUACCGAACCCCCAACCCCCUCUCUCUCAAGCUCAAUAGUGCCACCCAAUAUGUCUUCUUUAAAUAUUCCUGAGGUAAGUACUACUAAUACUUAUGUAACUAAUCCAGAUAAUGUUAUGAGUACAUAUAAGUUGCCUCCAAGGAAAAAUUGUGGUGUUCCUCCUGACAGGUUUUCUCCUGAAGGAAAAGUGAAGUAUCCAAUAGCUAAUUAUGUGUCAUGCUCAAACCUUGCACCAGAACGUCAAGCCUGGGUAUAUAAGGUGGAAGCAAUCAAAGCACCAACCCGAGUUGAGGAAGCCUUGAAGGAUCCUAAAUGGGCUGCUGCGAUGGAUGAGGAAAUGAUGGCACUAUAUAAGAAUGAUACAUGGGAGGUAACGGAGCUACCUAAAGGAAAGAAACCAGUUGGGUGUAGAUGGGUCUUUACGAUCAAAUACAAGGCAGACGGAUCGGUAGACAGGUAUAAAGCAAGGUUAGUAGCAAAAGGUUAUACUCAAACUUAUGGUGUUGAUUAUCAGGGGAUUUUUUCUCCAGUAGCGAAGAUGAAUACAGUACGAGUUCUGUCUUUAGCUGCAAAUUUGAAUUGGCCACUAAAACAGUUUGAUGUAAAAAAUGCUUUUCUUCAUGGGCACUUGGAAGAAUAGGUAUAUAUGGAUUUUCCUCCAGGGUACUAUGCCGAAGGGAAAACCGGAGUAUGUAGGUUGCGAAAAUUACUCUGUAGACUUAAGCAAUCGCCUUGUGCGUGGUUUGGUAGAUUUACCCAAGUUAUGAGGCAGAUUGGGUAUUAUCAAAGUCACUCGGAUCAUACACUAUUUGUGAAACGGAGAAGUGGUAAAGUGACAGCCUUAAUUAUUUAUGUAGAUGAUAUGAUAAUAACAGGUGAUGAUUCAGAUGAAAUGGUCAAACUGGAGAAGGAUCUUUCUGCCGAGUUUGAGAUGAAGAGUUUAGGUGACUUGAAAUAUUUCCUUAGUUGCUCGUUCGUCCAGAGGUAUUUUCUUGUCUCAACGGAAAUAUGUUCUGGAUUUAUUGAAGGAAAUAGGGAUGCUUGGGUGUAAACCCGUGGAUACUCCCUUUGUGGAGAAACAUUACUUGGGAAUUUAUCCGGAUCAAGAACCAGUGGAUAAAGGCAGAUAUCAGAGACUGGUAGGAAGACUAAUUUACUUAGCACAUACCUGUCCGGAUAUAGCCUAUGCAGUAAGUGUGGUGAGUCAAUUUAUGCAUUCACCAAGUGUGGAUCAUAUGGCAGUUGUUAUGCGGAUUUUAGCUUAUUUGAAGUCGGCUCCAGGAAAAGGAAUUCUGUAUAAAAAUUCUGGUCAUCUGAGGAUUGAAGGAUUUACUGAUGUUGAUUGGGCAGGUGAUGUAACUGAUAGACAAUCUACUUCUUGAUAUUUUACGUUUGUUGGUGGAAAUCUGGUUACUUGGAGGAGCAAAAAGCAAAACGUGGUGUCAAGAUCGUCAGCUGAGUCCGAAUUCAGAGGAAUGGCACAUGGAAUAUGUGAAGUCCUUUGGUUACGUAAGUUACUUGAUGGUCUAGGUUUCAAAGUAAAGGAGGCGACAAGUUUGUAUUGUGAUAAUAAAUCUGCACGGGAGAUUGCAGAGAACCCGGUACAACAUGACAAAACAAAGCAUGUGGAGGUUAAUCGUCAUUUCAUUAAGGAGAAGCUGGAGAAAACAUUGUUUCAAUACCAUUUGUGAACUCGGAAGAGCAACUUGCGGAUAUCCUCACUCAUGCUGUUUGUAGUAGAUCUUUUGGUGACUCACUUGUUAAGUUGGGCAUGUAUGAUAUCUAUGCUCCAACUUGAGGAGGAGUGUUGCCGUGAGUAGUAUUAAAAAAGGACAUGUAAUUAUAUUGUAAAUAUUAGAAUCCUUUAUUAGGAAGGUUAGUUGUGUGUCUUUUUGUGUUUUCCUUAUAGAACAAUGAUUGUAUCUUGUAUAUAUAGUCUAUUUUGCAAUACAAUGAAAAUGAAGCCAUAAAAUUCAAUUAUUAUAUGGUUGUUCCCCAUAUUUUCAUGAAAUUAUGUAUUUUUAAGUAUAAGCAAACAUUUCAUUUAUACGAUAUAUAAUAAAUUUAUUUACAUCCACUUAGGUCUUGCCGCCACCUAAGCGCCAAGCCCCCAUCUGUCGUCAAACUAGUGCCUAGCGUACUUAAUAAACUUUCACUUUAUUGCUACAUUAAAGCUAAAGAAAUUUUUGGAACCACAAAUUUGGCUCAGUAAAACUUUAAAAUCCAGGCAGAGACCAAUAUCAGAGAUCCAAUUAUUUGAAAAGAGAUAUAGGCUUGUAGCUGAAAAAAAGGUUCUAAAUACUUGGGUUGAGAUCCUUUUCGAAUUCGUCUGUACCCUUUAAUCUUAGCCAUUCACAUAGAUAAUGUGGCCAGGAAUUUGUUUUAAUAUUUUUUUAGGGUGUGGCCUUUACACACUUAUUUUAAUUCACUCACACACUAAACUAUUAUUAAACAAUCAAAAAAUACAUGAGAGGUAAAAGUGGGUGGUAAAAAUCACCAAUUUUUUUAAGUUUUCCAUGCAAAACGAGGGACCCCUUAGUCUAUUUUCUGACAUCAGAAUGAACUAGCGCCUUCUUUUGGCCCAUGCAUUUCUCUUCAUCUUUCACUCUUUGGGGCAAGAAUUUUUCUAUGUACCCAAAGAAUGAGCUGAUAUACAAUGUGUUAUAAACAUAGUGGAGGGACACUAAAAAGUAUAUUCAUCCCUGUAUCAUGACAUAUAGUAUACCAACUCAUGUUCCGGACACACUAAAAAAUCUCUCUUUUUGUGCAAUGUGCAAAGACAACUUUGCUUCCAUUAAAUUAAAGGGUUAAUUGCAUUUUACACCACAAGGUUUGUAGUCAUUUGCAAAAUGAGUCACGAGAUUUCAAUCAUCGCAUAUUACACCAUGUGGUUACUGAAUUAGAUCAAUUUAACCUCUUCGUCAAUUUCAUCAUCUAAUUGGAUAUUUAAUGUUGAUGUGUGAUAGUAUGGGCUCGCCUUUGAAGCACAUGUUGACCAUCAAUUUCAUCGUUUAGUACUUUACUCUUUUAAUCUUGUAUGAAAAUGAAGGUCAACAUGUGGAGCGUCAGCAUUUGGAUUUGUUGUAUUGAAUGGAGAGUCGCAUGUAAUAACCCUUUUGAAGGCAGCUAAAACAGCAGAAAUCCGAAGGUCGCAACUGCAUAAGAGAGCGGGAACACCCUACAUCCAAAUCUACCAUCCUAAGAAGAAGACAUGGAGAUCUCUCAUAACAAAGUCACCUUUCCAUUACAGCUUGGAUUUCAAUACUGCAGCAAUGAGCACCAUUCGCUUGUGAAUCUUGAUUCUUAUUGCUUGUACUUGUGUUGUAUUGAUAAUUGUACCGAUUGAUGUGCAGCGCUGUCUAUAUUGGUUCAUCGGGGUCAUUGCUGCUAGCAUAUUUGUAUAGUCUUGAAUGUACAGCUAGCAGACCGAUACAAAUACCUCACCUGUUAGUAAAGCGGUAAUUAGAUAAGGUUGAAUACAUUUGAGUUUCAUAUAUUGUAUCAGUUCUUUUUCCAGAGAACAGAUAAGUAUGUGUGUGUGUGUGUGUGUGUGUGUGUGUGUGUGUGUGUGUGUGUAAUUAAGUCCUGUUGAAUACCUUUGUUGCUUGUGCACCAAUCAAUCUUUCCCCUUUUCGUGUUACAUCUAUAGUUGAUCUGUUUAUUAUGAUUUCCAAGUCCGGUUUCUGGGUUUGUAGCUUCAUCGAGUAUUUACUCCUCCGUACUUGAUACUUUACAACCAAGGACAGAAUCAGACUCUCAUUUUCCCCUCCCUUUUGAUAAGAGUAAGUAAAACGGUUUGUGUUAGAAACUCUAGCCGUUUUCCCAUCAAAUGAAGUCUUUUUGGAAAUUUCAACCAAAAAAAAAAAAAAAAAAAAAGAAUGUCGUGUAAUAAGUGAAGUCUUUUCAGAAGUUCCGACCAACUAAAAGAAAGGUGUAAAAGAGAUGCGCGGGCAAAACUUGAGACUAAAAUGCAGAAAAUCCAAGUAAAGAAACGUUUCCACCAAUUUUGAUGAGUUCCCCAAUUUUGUAAUACAUGACGAAGCGACUAGUGCGGCUAAAGAAGAACCGACUGGCCGUGAAGAAUGGGGCAUAAGUCCAAACUCAAACCAGAUACAGCGUUAAACCUCAACAUGUAUCGCAAGUUUCACUUUUAUACAUCUAUGGCUUCAAACUUGAGAUAUAGUAAAUUCAAGUCCUAACAUACAAUCACCAAGUCAACCCAAAAUAUUUUAUUAACAUUUCGGUCAAACGUUCGGGAGAAAAAGGAGAGAAUCUGCUUUCUUGCCGGAGAUACAUUCCUUUGUAUUAGUCGCACUCAUCAUGUAACAUGUAGACAUAAAAAGAUAUAUCUCUACAACACUCAUCACGUGACCUGUAAACAUAAGGAGAUAUCUAUGUUGUAGGUCUCGAAGUGAAGGCAUUGCAAGGUCCAUAGUAAGUGCAAAGAAGCAUACAUUGUGGGUCUGAUUUUGAUUUCUUUGUGCCCCAAAGUGCAUGCCAAUAAUAUAAUGAAAAAUUAUUUGCAAGACUUGUGCUAAUACAUGUAAGGAGAGAUUCCUACUUAAGAAAUUUGAAAAUUUUGCUUUGAAUACUACUAUCAUAGAUCAAACUCAUUUCUUCUGUUCUGACUCCUGAUCCAUUUAAAUUUUAAUGCUUUCCACAAUAGAAAAAGAGCACAUUCGUGCAUAUAAAUACCCAUAUAUCUAACCCUCCACAUAACACAUCCUUCAUAUUUUUAAGCUAGCUAUCUUUGUUUAAUAUCUAUAAGUAUAAGAUCAAUAGAUCACUAUGAGGUUUCUUAAUGUUAUAUUCACAGUUACAACAGUUGUAUUUCUCAUGAGCAUGAACUUGCAUGAGGCUAGUGCGGGCAGCGUGCUGCCUGAUGUGAACGGAAACUCAGUAAGGAUGAUGACGACGAUGAGCAAAGACAUCAUGCUGAUGGAGUCGAAGCAGAGGGCCGACCAUCCUCCUCCCGGUGGAUCUAAUCCGAAGGUCCCUGCUAUGUCGAAUGAUCUUGAUGGUGCAACGAUCAACCAGAGGAACUUUGCAGGCCACACAACUACUCCGCCUUCUCCACAUGAUGCAUACCCUCAUAAUGCCGUGGCUAGAUCACCACUCGGCGUGGCUACAGAUCAUAAAUCAUUUAGUUGAUUCACAAUAUCUACAGAAAUCCCAUCCUAAUAAGAUACAUCAAAUGUGAUAGAAAAUAAACGAAUAAGUAGAGGGGAAAAACCUAGUUUAAUUUUCACAUUUGUUUUCAUUAUACCUUUCCUUUAUCUGUGUUUCUUCUUGAAUAAAAAAAAUAGACGAAUUCUCAUACAACUAUCUUAUUUCUUCUUUAUGCAGUAUGAGUGUCGAGACUAUAUGAUAAAAAAAAAUUUGGUGGGAAUAAGACAUUUUAUUCAAACACCAUGAGAUGGUCCAAUUAACAGUUUAAAAUACUCCAUUUGAAAGUUAACAUAAGCGUUCGGAACAAAAGCAUUUUCAAAAGAUUCACUGCCCGAGCACUAUCAUGGGGCAAAACAAAGAAAUAAACAAAAACACAUACAAGUGUUUACAAUCAUAUCGUGGAAAUGUCAAGUUACACUUGAUACACUGCUGCAGUGAGCCUCGGUAAAAAACCACCACAUGAGACAAAUACACCUAUCCAUCUUUAGACUCAUCCAGUUAGGAAAAUACAGGUAUCUAUCUUUACACAUGAGACGAGAAACAAGUAUAGCGCAAGCUUUAGACUCAUCCAGACUAGGAAAAGGAACCUGAGACCUCUUCAAUCCUAUCUAUCUACCAGUGUAGCUUCUUGAACGAUCAUAAAACAUGUAAUGCUUUGCCGACCUCUCAUCUGCAUCCCACUGAAAUCCGAUGGAGUCCACCAUCACAACCAUUUUAACUUUCCCGCGUCCGCCUUAGGCAACUAACGAGAUUCAUAACACUCAUUUAAUGUUUACUGUGAAAAGGCAAAUGUUCGUCCAAGUAUAGAAUUGUUCGUGACAACCCAAAAUAACCUUGGUGCAACAACAUUCCGGUUAUAUACAUGAUCUGGGUGGAGCAGAAGGCAGUGAUCAAACCUAUACAAUUCAGAAGAUACUUAAGGCUAGCUAGGAAUUUGGGUUUUAAAUUUUUUCAGGUAAAUUAUUAAGAAGUCAAAUUAAAUACUCUUCCUUGAUCAAGUAACCUUUGCUUCAAAUUUUCAAUUACCAUGUUAUGUGUCGUCCGAUUAAUGUUUUUUUGAGAGACUUUAGGCAACGAAAUAUUUUUUUACGGGCAAAGUAACCUUAGUUGGGCAAAGGUUGCGCACCAAGGGGGAAAAUUGGCACAUAUUAUGCCACAUUUUGCGCGACGAAAAUUUGUUUGUUGGCAAACAUAUUCUCAUCUUCAAUUCCUUCGAUGAAUUUCGCAGUUUGCAAAAUUGACUUCAACAAUUCAACCAUCAAUGUAGUUGGUAGGUCUAUACUCAUGAGAUAUCAUAUGCCAACAUCAGCCAAAUGCAAGUUUCCGGGAUUAGGUUAGGAAACGAAAAACGUAUUGUAACACCCCACCCCCAUUUUAUUUAAAAAUGGUUUUUAAUUCUUAAUUGGUGUGCCCAAGGGGCCCACCUUCUGUUUUUGUGUCCCCCAUUCCCGUCACUCUUCCAUCUCUCUCAGCCCUCUUCGUUCUCUCACUCUCCCUCUCUCUCUCGACCUCACUCUUCCAUCCUCAUCGUCAAACCCACACACACACCCACCACCACAACCACCUAGCUACGACACCACCAUCACCUCUGGAACUUUCUUCUCUCUCUCCCCCGUCUCGGCGAAGCUCCAGGACACCCAGAGAACACCCAAGUCUCCCCCGACGACUCUGGCUACUUUCGAGGCAAUUUCCGCCAAACCACGGUGAGUUGGCCAGUGUACAAGGUAUCAAUCUUUUCGUCUCGUUGAGUACUACAACUUUCCUUUUUGUUUCACCCAAUUUCGUUGAGUAUUGAAGAAGUUAUACUCAUUUGAAUCUUACCUAGUUUCUGGCAACCUCCGCGGCGUUCGAGGCGUUUUCCAGCCAAACCACUGCGAGUUAGAUGUCUUGCGAGGUACCAUUAUCUUCGUCUCUUCGAUAACUACAACUUUUGUUUUUGUCUCACUUGAUUUCGUUGAGUUUUGACAAAGUUAUGGCCAUUUAAAGUUUGUGUAAAUUCUGGCCGAAUCCGGCCUUCUAUUUCGAAUGGGUCCGGCGACCCACAUUCUAGAAAACCCAAGCCUUUUAGGCCAUUUAGAACUGGGGCUUUAGGCCCGUUAGAUCUGAGCCCAACCUAAACCCAUUUUCCUUUUAUUUUGUUUUAAUUUUAAUUGUUUAAUUAUAAAGGCCUUUGGGCCAUGUUUAAAUUAGGGCCUUCGGCCCGUUCCCUUGUUGAACCCAGAAACCCUUAGGCUAAAAGCCUUUGGGCCUUUUGAACCAGGGCUUUAAGCCAUUUCCUCUUUAAGCCCUAAAACCUAGGGCCCUAACCCAAUAACCCUUUUAGUUAAAAAACUUAAGCCCAAACUACCUAAACCUAAACCUAACCCAAGUCCUAACCUUAAACCCUAGUCUGCCCAAAACCCUUUAUGGAGAAUAUUCCGUUAGGGAAUAUUCUAUUAGGGAAUAUUCUAUUGACGUUUAAGAAAUUUAUCCGGGACCCUUCUUAAGGUAAUUCAACGUCCUAAACCCGUUUCCGACGUCCGUUUUCCCAAAUUCAAUUGUUAUAAUAGGGUUUUAUUAAUUGGACCCCUUAUGUGCUUAGGGGCAAUUAUUGUGGCGUUUCCAUCUUCGCUAGUUUGCGUGGCUCUUCAGCGAUGAAGUAUCUGUGAGUGGACCCUUUCUAAAAAUGCAUGUUUUAAUAAUAGAAAUGCAUACAUGGAAAAGCAUGAUUUAACAAUUAUGUUCUAUGAGACGCUUCGAGAUAACAUGCUUAUUGAGGUUAGUUUGAAUUAUUACUAUUUUUCCUAUAACUUAUGUUCUUAUAGAGUAUUCGAUGGAUGAUGAUAUGAUAUUUAGAACAUGUUUCGAACACCUCUUUAUAGUAUAGAUGAUGGAUGACUUUAUACUAUGAAGUUGUUUUUUAAUAUAUAUAUGUUUAAUGGUUUUGUACUUACCUAGUGGUCAUUUCCGCUACGAGACAUAGGGAUAGAUUCCGGUCCGUCUCGGGCGAUGGUUUAGUGUUGGCAUAGGGCCUGGAGUGUGUUUCCUCUGGCUAUUAGCACAGAGACGGGGAGCCAGCAUGGGGCCUGAAUUGUAUUUUCCUUUGACUAUCUGCUUAGAGACGGGGAGCCAGCAUAGGGCAUGGGGGUUAUCGGAUAAUUCACUAGUGAUUAUUAUAUAUACAAGUUAUGAUUUGAAACAUUGCACGGCAUGCUAGGUUUCAGAAAACCAAUGUUUAUCAUGAUAUAUGUGUUUUCAUAAAACCUGGGGGUUAGUACGUUGAUAACUGUUUUACUAUUUAUAUAUCAAAUUGGUCCACUCAUGUUUGUUUUGCACCCCCUUCAGGACUUAGAAUUGAGGCAUACAAUCCCAGCAUCCAGGCACUUCCGCAUCGGUAUCUUCGAGUCCUUUCGAUGUAAGAUCCACUCUUGUGUUCAUUCAAUUUUUAUAUUAAUUCUUUUAGUGUUCUAGAUUAGAUGUGUGCUCUGAACACGUUCCUUAAAUGUAUAUUCCUUAUUAUUUUGCAUUUAUAAGUAUUAUCUAUCCCUUGUUUUUAGCAUUUGCACUCAAUAAAUGGCUUUCGUCACCCUCGGAUGUCGGCCAGCACGUGCAUAUCCUGGUAUUCGGGGAAUAUCGGGGUUGGUGUGUGUCACGUAUCAUUAUGAUUUAACGGUUAUUUUGGCUCUGAUUUUGAUGAUUGUUACAACUACCAGCCAGGAAGUAGGUUAAAGUGCAGAGAGUCUACAGAGGCUUGGCCUCGAAUCGGAUCAACCGCGUAAUGCAAAACAAGAUCGUGAUUGUUUACGACUCAUGACAUUGUCGAGCGGGCCUCAAAGUCAAUAACCAGUUGACUCACAACAUUAGAGUCAUCCUCCACUCCAAGCGCCCUAUAGUGGGCGCUUCAUGGAAUAAACUUCGCUCCUAGGUGUAGAAGGAGAUGAUGAGACAGAUCUCGGUAUGUGUGGAUUUUUUUUACUUUAUUAAUUUUACUUAUUCAAUGUAUUUUUUAAAUUAAUACACUUUUUUUUUCUAUUUCAUGUCAACUUCACCAUCAACAUGGAGUACCCGAUAUGUUUGAGUACUUAAACCGAGUGUGGACUGAACGAUACAAGGAGUGGAAAUACAAGUUACAUGUGUACUACAACACUUGUGCAUCUCUUAUUGAACCUCCUACCUCCAUUCUCGAGGUUUGCGGAGAGGUUAGCUGAGUAAUUAAGAAUUUAUAUAAUUAAGAAUUUAAAAAAAAAAUUAUUUCUAAUUUUCUGUUUUUUCAAAUUUAAUUUAUUUUUUAUUUAAUUUAUUUUUUAAAUUCACAUUGGAAAUCGGCGACAAAUAAGUCUAACCGAGAAGUGAAGCAGUACUUUUAUCACUCUGGUGCUCGAGCCCUCACUUUCUGGGUUGAGGAACAGCAAGAGAAGGGUUCGUGUUUUCCAGAAGUUUAGGCUUGGGGAAAAUGCAUGCCAAUUAUGGAAACCAAGUGACUCACAACAUUUAUGCAAGUAUUCCAUUCAAAAUUUUAAUUUCAACAUUCAUUACACUUAAAAUUUUUAAAUUCAUGAUCAAUAGUCUUAGUUUAUGCUUUUUUUUUGUAGGCUUCUAUGUCGUAGAAGAAGGAUAAGUAUCUCACCAACCUCUCGUAACAACAACCAGAUGAGUUGACACCUGAUCAAAAGGUGUCUAUAUAGUUGCUGAUGAACAAAGUUAGGCAACAGAAAGGCAAAGAGAUACGUGGGCUAGGAGUGGGUUGAGUUCAAGACCUUCAGGGGUCGAUCUUCUACAUCUAGGUCUCGGACCCCAUACAAGACAUCUUCCAGACUACAACAUAUAAAGAUGGAGUUAGUGGCCCUGUGCCAGCUAGGAAAGAAGAAUGAUAGCAAAAAGAAGUUGUGCAUUUGCAGGAAGAAGCUCGGGAAGAAACGGCACGCCAUCGAGGGGAAGAGUUUCGGCGAUACAUUGUGAGGAUGUCCUAGGCAAUGACAGCCCUUUACAUUCGCCUCCCCAAUCCUCCGAGCGACCUUCAGGCGCCAUCCCCACCAGCCAAUAUAAUUAAACUAAUUAAUUAUACCAAGACAAGCCCUAUGCGACUCAGCAUUUGGAUUUGUUGUAUUGGAUGGAGAGUUGCAUAUAAUAACCCUUUUGAAGGUAGUUGAAUUAGCAAAAAACCACAAGUCUCGACUGCAUAAGAGAGCAGAAACACUUCACAUCCAAAUCUACUAUCCAGAAAAGAAGACAUGGAGAUCUCUCAUAACAAAGUCACAUUUCCAUUACAACUUGGAUUUUAAUACUACAGUUAUGAGCACCAUUCGCUUAUGAAUCUUGAUUCUUAUUGCUUGUACUUGUGUUGAUUGAUAAACUCCCACUGACACUAGUACAAAAAUAUGUUUGCGCGACAUCAACUUGCACAACGAAACAAAUUUCGUCAUGCAAAGUAUGUUUGCGCAACGUAAAACACAAAACGUCGCCCAAACAGCCUUUGCGCAACGACACUUUGCACGACGAAGGCUAGCGUCGCGCAAAACAGCUUUGCUCGACGCUAGCCUUCGUCCCACAAAGUGCCGUUAUGCAAAGGCUGUUUGCAUGACGUUUUGUACGUCGCGCAAGAUUUUAACUCCAAACCAAGAAUGCUUUACCCUUUUUUCCCAACUUUGCGUGACGAAGGUGUGCAUUCGUCAUGCAAAACAGCUUUGCGUGAUGAAGACUACCGUCGCGCAAAGUUGUUUUGCACGACGAAUGUACACCUUCGUCGCGCAAAGUCAAUGACUUUGUGGUAUAACAUAAGAUUUUGUGGUAUCCACUUGUGUAAAUAUUUUAAAUUGACGAUCGAAUUAGUUCAUUGUAUUCAUAUAAGAUCAAGGAGUGUAGCUGUAAAAAAAUCAUCAAAAUCGGAGUUAAAACUACCGUUAAAUCAUGAUUUUUUGUUUAUAACAGUUGAAAAGGUUUGUCCCGUUACUUGAUAUCUAAAUGUUUGUUUUUUGCGAUUUUUAGCGUAUGCGAUCUCGAAGCAUUUACAAACAAUUUUUGAUGGUUCGAUCGUUUGAACUAGUUUCGUAGAAAACGUAUCCCAUCAAAACAAUAGAUUCACUAACACUUGGAGUUUAUUUAUACUUUCAUUAAGUAUAACAUAAAGAUUUUUUGGUAUCCAUUAGUGUAAAUAUUUUAAAUUGAAGAUCGAAUUAAUUCAUUGUAUUCAUAUAGGGUCAAGGAGUGUAACUAUAAAAAAUCAUCAAAAUCAGAGUUAAAACUACCUUUAAAUCGUGAUUUUUUGUUUAUAACUGUGGAAAAGUUUUGCCUGUUACUUGAUCUCUGAAUUUUUAUUUUUUGUGAUUUUUGGCUUAUGCGAUCUCAACAGAUAUACAAACAAGUUUGACAGUUGUAUCGUUUAAACUAGCUUCGUAGAAUGCGUAUCUCAUCAAAAUGAUAAUUUCACUAAAACUUGAGUUUAUUUAUACUUUCAUUAAGUAUAACGGAAAGAUUUUGUGGUAUCUACAAGUGUAAAUAUUUUAAAUUGAAGAUCAAAUUCAUUUGUUGUAUUCAUAUAGGGUCAAGAAGUGUAUCUGUAAAAAAAUCAUCAAAAUCAGAGUUAAAAUAACCGUUAAAUCGUGAUUAUUCAUUUAUAACCAUCGAAAAGUUUUGUCCCAUUACUUGAUCUCUAAAUAUUUGUUUUUUGGGAUUUUUUGCGUAUGCAAUCUCGAAAUAUAUACAAACAAGUUUGACGGUUUGAUCGUUGAAACUAAUUUCGUACAAUGUGUUUCCCAUCAAGUUCAAUGGUAUAUAUAUUUACUAAGUAGAUUUUAAUUUAUUUAUUUUGUACUCAUAAGCAAAAGGGAAAAAAAAAGAAAUUUGCACAACGUAGGUGAACCUGUGUCAUGCAAAGUUGUUUUGCACGACGCAGGUGCACCUACGUCGCGCAAAGUUUUUUUUUUUGUUUUUUUUGUUUUUGGCCUUUUGCUUUUCUUUUGGGGUUCUUACAUUUCCUUUUUCUUUUGUGGUAUUCACAUGUGUAAAUGUUUUAAAUUGACAAUCGAAUUAGUUCAUUGUAUUCAAAUAGGGUUAAAAAGUAUAACUGUAUAAAAUCAUUAAUAUCGGAGUAAAAUAACCGUUAAAUCUUGAUUUUUGGUUUAUAACCGUCGAAAAGUUUUGUCCUAUUACUUGAUCUCUGAAUGUUUGUUUUUUGCAAUUUUUAGCGCAUGCGAUCUCGAAAUAUAUACAAACUAGGGGUGGGUUGGAAAAACCGAAAACUGAAAAAAACCGGACCGAAAACCGAACCGAGGCCGAAAAAACCGAACCGAAAAAAAAAUUGAACCGAAUCUGGUUGGUUCGAUUUCGGUUUCUGGGGUUCGAAAACUGAACCGAACCGAACAUCUUCAAAACGACGUCGUUUUAUAAUAUUUUAUUAAUUAAUAACCCUAAGUCUAAAACGGCACCGUUUUAUUCCUAAACUAAAACUGGUUCCCGAAAGUAAACCAACCCUAGCCCUCCUCCUCUCUCGUUCUCUCUCUUGUUUUUCCCAAUCCCCUACCCUCCCCAAAUCGCAGUCGCACUUCGCACUUCGCACUUCGCACGCAGCCUCGCAGCAACCUCCUUCAUAUGUCUCUCUCUCUUAGCAGCAGCCCUCUCUUUGUCUCUCUCAUUCCCCCUUGCAGCAGCCUCACCUCAUAUGUCUCUCUCGCAGCAGCAUCCUCUCUGUCUGUCUUAGAGAUUCGCAGCAGCAUCCUCUCAAUCACAGCAAAAGGUUAGUUUCACUUUUAAUUUUCAAUUCUACUUAUACAGUUUUAGAGAUUUGAUUUGUAUUUUAGUGAAUAUAUUGAUUGAGUUGUAAUAACAGAUUGGGUAUUUUUAUGCUUCAUAAAGUAAUUGAAUUGAGUUCCCACGAUUGAUUGUGCUUCAGAUUGGGUAUUUUUAUGCUUCGGAAUGUCACUGGGGCACAUAGGUCAGAAAUUAAGUGAGCAAACUGUACCGUGUAGGCUUUAUGGUUUUUUUUAACUCAUAAAGUUGCAACUGCUGCAGAGGUAUCAAUUGAGUUCUAAAGUGAGGUAAAUGUGAAUUAAACCAAGGAUUUGAAGGCAACCUAUGAACCCAAGAAAUUAAUUAUUAAUUACUCACAAGAAAAAUAAUAAAGAAAUUAAGAGAAAAGAAGAACAUAUUUGUAUUGCUGAAAAUUUGUAUUUUUUUUUUUUUUGGAGGUGAAUUAAUUUGAUCUAAGACAUGUUAACAUGCACACUAGCAUUCUUGCUUCUUGGAACCCCUGUAGGCUUUAGCUAAAGCUAUAGAUAUAUAACAGACAUAGGUCAGAAAUGAAGUCUAGAAUUCCCAAAACUAACAUUUAGUCAAGGUGUGAAUUUGAGAGCUGGUAUCAACCAGAUUGCGCUUCUAAGCAUUGCUGUUGGCCUCCCGGUUUGUUCUCCCUCUCUCUCUCUCUCUCACACACACACCCACACACACACGUGCGCACAUAGCUGAAGCAUUUUGACUGAGUUUUUAUUAUAUAUAUAUAUAUAUAUAUAUAUAAUGGCUGCAGGUUGUGUAUGUGUGAUUCAGUUUUUAUUAUAUAUAUAUAUAUAUAUAUAUAUAUAUAUCAUGGUUGUAGGUUGUAUAUAUAUAAUGGCUGCAAGUUGUUUAUGUGUGUGUUUGAAACAAUAUCCCUAAUGAAGGGAGUUUGGCUACAGGUUAUAUAUAUUGUGAAGGGAGUUUGAUUCUUGCCUUCCAUAUUUUGUCGUGAUUUUGUAUCAUUGGCCUUUCAUAUUUUAAUUAACAUUUACUUUUGUAUAAGUUUGUAGUACUUACUAUCCUCUUAUUAUUUUGUUUGAAUUAGAUGAAGUCAAAGGUGUCAAAGGUCUCAAGGGCCUCAAGCUCAAGUUCAAACUCAAUGAGAUCAAAAUCAACUAGCCCUCAUCAUCAAACGAACUCAUCUUCGAGUAUACCAUCGGAAGUAAGUACUAAGUAGUCAUAUCUUUCUAUUACCUUAGCCCUUAUGUUUAAUAAUUAAUUCAUUAAUUGUAAUGAUAAGAGUGAGUAACCAACCAUAGCAAAAACCUACCAUACCCAUCUUAUUUGAAUAAUUAAUUGUAUGAUUCUCUUAUUUUAGAUGGACAUUGUUGGUGAAUCAACUCCGCCUCAAAACGCCGUGAUGGCACCUCGACAAACCCCUACUUCUCUUGGUGGAUCCGGAAAUCCCUCCGAUGCAACUCCAAAAGAAGGUGACGCAAGUGACCAAGUAAGUAAAGAAGAAGCUCUUUUGGAAUCAUUAAAAAGUCAUGAAAGGUCUUUAGUUUGGGAGCACUUUGAUAGAAAAAUUGAGGGUGGUAGAGUUAAGGGGUUGUGCAAGUAUUGUGCCCAAUCAUAUAUGGCCGAUCCGGAUAAAAAUUGUACAACUAAUUUAAGAAACCAUUUAGCAAGAUGUAGAAGCUACGGUCCUAAUAAGGAAAUAUUUGCCACAAAUAGGCAAAAUAUCUUAACCUUUGCCAGCACGAAAGAUAAGUUAGAAGCUAUAGGUUUUUCUCAAGAGGAAGUAACUAAGGCUUGUGUUGAGAUGAUAAUUAUAGAUGAGUUGCCUUUUACUUUUGUUGAGGGAGAAGGUUUUCGCCAUUUUUGCAUGCAAGCAUGUCCUAUAUGGAGAGUGCCUAGUCGUAAGACAAUUGCUAAGAAUGUACUUAGCUUGUUUUAUUCCGAAAGGGAUAAAUUGAAGAGUCAAUUGAAGACAUUUAGGGUGUGUCUAACAACGGAUACAUGGACUUCUAUUCAACAAACCAAUUACAUGGUUCUCACCGCCCAUUUUAUUAAUGAUGAUUGGAUAUUACAUAAAAAGAUUUUGAACUUUUGUGUCAUUCCAAAUCAUAAAGGAGAGUCCAUUGCUCAACUUUUGGAGGAAUGUUCAGUGGAGUAGGGUAUAGAGAAAGUGUUAACUAUUACAGUUGACAAUGCUUCCGCAAAUGAUUCCAGUUUAAGGGACUUGGUGCACCGAAUAAGGGGGUGGGGGAUUCCUAAUGCACUCUUGCAUGAUGGAAAAUAUUUGCAUAUGAGGUGUGUUGCUCAUAUCCUCAAUUUGGUUGUGAAUGAUGGCAUAAAAUUGUUGAAUACGGCUAUACAAAGUAUUCGUAAUGCGGUUAGGUAUGUAAGAUCUUCCCCUCCAAGGUUAGAAAGCUUUAAAAGGUGUGUUCAGAAAGUGAGAAUAGAUAGCAAAGGGCUUGUAAUUUUGGAUAUCCCUACUAGAUGGAAUUCCACAUUUUUAAUGUUGGAAUCGGCUUUAAAGUUUAAGAUGGCUUUUGAUAGAUUAAAAGUAGAUGAUGGUCAUUACCUUCCAUACUUUGUUAAAGACAAUCAUGAUAGUACGAGGGAGGGGCCACCUUCGAUGGAUGAUUGGAGUGAGGCGGGGAUAUUUGCAAUCUUUUUUAGACCUUUUUAUGAAGUCACUUUAAAAGUAUGUUGUUCUAAUACUCCAACCGUUCAUACUACUUUUGGUGAUUUGUUUAAGAUCAAAAGUCUCUUGCAUGAAAGGAAAAAUGAUGAACUUUUAUAUGAUCUCCAUGUUGAUGCAAGAAAAAUAUGACAAGUAUUGGGGUUCAAUUGAGGACAUGAAUCAAUAUCUUUUUAUUGCACUUGUGCUUGAUCCUCGCCACAAAUUAGAGAAAGUUGUUGAUUAUUUUGAGAUACAAUUUGGUGAGGAUGAAGAAAAAAUUGAAAGUGCCACAAAUGCGGUGAAGGACUUAUUGAUUGAUCUUUACAAGAUUCAUGAAGAUAUGUCUUUUAGUACACAACAAAAUAUAAGUAGUAGUGGUAGUUCUCAAACAACAAGUGGAGACUCUUCAUCAAGCAUGACCGAAAUAGAAAGAAAGUUGAAAGAAAAAAGUGAAAUGAGAAAAGUAAAGAGAGCUCGGGUUGUGCAUAAUGAUGUCGACAAGUAUCUUUCUGAUCCUAAUGAAGGAGAAGAAGAGGAGAACUUUGAUAAAUUGAAUUGGUGGAGGGUGAAUGGGGUUUCUAAGUACCCUAUUUUGGCACGUGUUGCAAGAGAUAUCUUAGCUAUUUCCGUAUCAACCAUUGCUUCGGAAUCUUCCUUUAGCACAAGUGGACGGAUAAUUGAUCCAUAUCGUAGUUCUUUAAGUCCAAAAAUGGUGGAGGCUUUGAUAUGUACUCAAAAUUGGCUUAGGUCUAUUCACGUUGCAUUACAUCAUGAGCCAACCAUUGAGGAGAUGGAGUUUUGUGAAGAAAUUGAGAAAGGUAAUUUUAUUUAUUGCAUUUGAUUUUGUUAGAUUAUUUUAAAUAACAUUUUAAUUAGUAUCAUUUGUUUUAUUAUUUGUAUGUAGAAAUGGCAAGUGAAAGUUCAAAAAAAGGUGUUAUGUUACCCCCUAGGCCGCCCAACCGUUAGUAAGCAAAUUAGCAUUCAAACUCGAAAUGGUUAAGCGUUGAUCUUAAGAACUUGAAGAAGUAUGUGCAAGGAUGGAACUUUAGAUGUUUAUUGAAUUUAUAAUCUUAGUUGUAAUGUUUAUUUAGGUGUGGAAGACUUCUUGAACUUUGCAAUGUUUAUUUUAGGUGUGGAAAACUUGAACUUUGAUGUGUAUUUUAAGUUUGGACUUUGAUUUGAACUUUGAUGUUUAUUUAACUUGGACUUUGGAAGGCUUGAUUAUAAUUGAACUUUGAAUGGAAUGUUUAUUUUCAUUAUCUUUGUUAGUUUGUUUGAUGAUUCUAUUAGAAAUUUGGAAUGCUUAUGUUGAAAUGAGACUUUGAUUUUAUUUAUACUCCUUUAAAAGAUGUAUUACAAAAUGGCUGCAAGUUGUUUUCUUAGAAACUUUUUUUUUUUUGCUGCUGAAAAAAAAAAAAUCGAACCGGGCUGAAACCGAACCGAACAGUAAUUUCGGUUCGGUUUCCGGUUUUGGCAAAAUACCGAACCGAACGGAACCGAACCCACCCCUAAUACAAACCAGUUUGACGGUUGGAUCGUUGAAACUAAUUUUGUACAAUGCGUUUCCCAUCAAGUUCAAUGGUAUAUAUAUUUACUAAGUAGAUUUUUAUUUAUUUAUUUUGUACUCAUAAGCAAAAAAAAUAAAAAAUAAAAAUAAAAAAAAAAAACUUUGCUCGACGUAAGUCUUUGUCGCACAAAGAUGUUUUGCGCGGCACAUGUGUACCUACGGCGUGCAAAGUUUUUUUUUCCUUUUACUUUUCUUUUGGGGUUCUUGCAUUGCAUUUUUCUUUUGUGGUAUCCACUUGUGUGAAUGUUUGUUCUUGCAUCAAAAUCGGAGUUAAUAUAACCGUUAAAUCGUGAUUAUUCGUUUAUAACCAUCUAAAAGGUUUGUCCCGUUAUUUGAUAUCUGAAUGUUUGUUUUUUGCGAUUUUUGGCGUAUGCAAUCUUGAAGCAUAUACAAACAAGUUUGAUGGUUGGAUCGUUGAAACUAGUUUCGUAGAAUGCGUAUCCCAUCAAAACAAUAGAUUCACUAAUACUAAGAGUUUAUUUAUACUUUCACUCAGUAUAACAUAAGAUUUUGUGAUAUCCACUAGCGUAAAUAUUUUAAAUUGACGAUCGAAUUAGUUCAUUGUAUUCAUAUAGGAUGAAGGAGUGUAGUUGUAAAAAAUCAUUAAAAUCAAAGUUAAAACUACCGUUAAAUCAUAAUUUUUCAUUUAUAGCCGUUGAAAAUGUUUGUCCCGUUACUUGAUAUCUGAAUGUUUGUUUUUUGCUAUUUUUGGCGUAUGCGAUCUCGAAGCAUAUACAAACAAGUGUGACAGUUGGAUCGUUGAAAUUAGUUUCGUACAAUGCGUUUCCCAUCAAAACGAUAGAUUCACUAACACUAAGAGUUUAUUUAUACUUUCAUUAAGUAUAACAUAAGAUUUUGUGGUAUCCACUUGUGUAAAUAUUUUAAAUUGACGAUCGAAUUAGUUCAUUGAAUUCAUAUAGGGUUAAAGAGUGUAGCUGUAAAAAAUCAUCAAAAUCGGAGUUAAAAUAACUGUUAAAUCGUAAUUUUUCGUUUAUAACCGUCGAAAAGUUUUGUCCCGUUACUUGAUCUCUGCAUGUUUGUUUUUUGCAAUUUUUCGCGUAUGCGAUCUCGAAGUAUAUAUAAACAAGUUUGACGGUUGGAUAGUUGAAAUUAGUUAUAUAGAAUGCGUAUCCCAUCAAAAACAAUAGAUGCACUAACACUUGGUGUAUAUUUAUACUUUCAUUAAGUAUAACAUAAGAUUUUGUAGUAUCCACUUGUGUAAUUAUUUUAAAUCGACGAUUGAAUUAGUUCAUUGUAUUCAUAUAGGGUCAAGGAGUGUAGCUAUAAAAUAUCAUCAAAAUCAGAGUUAAAAUAACCGUUAAAUUUUGAUUUUUCGUUUAUAAUCGUCGAAAAGUUUUGUCCCGUUACUUAAUCUCUGAAUGUUUGUUUUUUGCGAUUUUUGCUGUAUGCGAUCUCAAAGUAUAUACAAGCAAGUUUGAUGGUUUGAUCGUUGAAACUAGUUUCGUAGAAUGCGUAUCCCAUCAAGUUGAAUGAUGUGUGUGUGUAUAUAUAUAUAUAUAUAUUUAUUUAUUUAUUAAGUAACUUUAAAUUUAUUUAUUUUGUAUUAUAAUAUUUAAGAAAUUGAAUGAAAUGAAUAUUUAUUAAAUAGCUUUAAAUUUAUUAUUGUAGUUCGGAUUGGAUUUUUUGUCAGAAAAAUAUAUUAUUGUGGGUUUUAUGUAAAAAAAUUGAAUUUGAAAGGAAUAAGGUCACAUUUUCAGUAAAUUUUAUAAUAAUAUAUUUUUUUUAAAUAUAACUUAGCGCAACGUCAAGAUGGAUCGUUUGGGCAAACCAACUUUGCGCGACGCCUGAAUGUACACAAAUGUGUUAAAAUUUUUGGCGGUUUAAUUGUAAAAAAUAGGCGCUUUCUUUAAAUUUCCCAAAUUUGGACAAAAUGGAGGUGCAAGCCGUGCAAUUGGAAAACAGUCGGUCUCUCUUCCCUCUCUCUCACUCGGUCUCUCCCUCUGUCGCAGAAUCGAAGAGGCCGAACGAAACCCUAAAAACCAGGUAAGUCGUCCUCUCCUUCCACCUCCCCAAGCUAUCUCGCACGGCCUCUCACCAGUCACCGCUCACCAAGUGGCCAAUCACCAUCUUUUUCCCCUUCCAUUCGCGUCCUCCACCACCAAACUCCCAUUCGCGUCGUCCUCCAUCGGUUUUCUUUCUCUCACCAUCGUCUUCCACCACUAGCUGCUAAGUGCUCACUUCGCCACCCCAAUCUUAAGGUAAGACAAUUUGUUGAAUUUUUUUUUGCAUUUUAUAAAUUAGGGUUUUGGAUUUUGAAUUUGCAGUUAGGGUUUUGCUUGAUACAUGAUGUGAUUCUGUAAUCAAUUAUUCAAAUUCUGUAAAUGGCCGCCAUAUAUAUAGGAUUUUUGUUUUAAAUAAAAUAAUAUUUUUAAAGAACAUUUGAUAGGCAGAACCAGGCUGGCAUCCAUGGAAAAGGGUUUUGCUUUGGUGAAACACUGUGUUUCCUUUAGGAUGAGUUUUGCUUGGUUGCUAAGGUGAAUUUGGCUCUUUUUAAUUUAUUUUUAAUUUUGAGAAAAUAAAAAUUUCACAUCUGAUAUUUGAAGCCUCGCAUCACAAUACACAAAAUCCUGGGUCUCUCUGCCCAUUUCUAUUUGGUUUUGCUUUAUGUCCUAACUUUAAUUUUCACUUUCCUAACUUCGUAUUAGUCAGAUGAAAAACUAAUUAAACUUAUUCCUAUUUUUGAAUUAGAGGAGCAGCUAGAUUUUCCUGUGCUGUAUGCUUCUGCUAAAGAAGGAUGGGCUUCCACCACUUUCACCAAAGAUCCUCCUGCUGAUGCAAGAAACAUGUCACGGCUGCUUGAUGCCAUUAUAAGUCAUGUUCCUCCACCAACAGCCAAUCUUGAUGCAACUUUUCAAAUGCUCCCCUGUAUGCUCUCCUCUUCCCCUUUAAACUGGAAAUAUGCAGGUUGAGUCAAUAUUAAUUAUGAAGUGCUUUCACUUGAGAUUUCCAUGUGCACAUUUCAAAUUCGAUAGAAGCCGUUGUUCUUGAUUCUUCGUAGAGAAUAAAAAAGUUCUAAACAAAGGCUGUGUUCUUACUUUCCUAUAUUUUGUUCACUAUGCACUGCAUCUUUUUGUCUUUUGUGUCAAAUGCAGUUAAGUUUGUGAACGUUUUGGCGUACUUUCAUUUGUAGUAGUCUAUAAUUCUGUGACUGUAAAACCUGUGUCAUCUGCACUGGCCUGGUAAAACAAACUGGCCAAACAAUUUUAUUAUUUUUUUUUUAAAACUCAACGGAUAAAUGACUAAUUUUUGUAUUUUCCUCUCGUUCAUUUUAUUGUUCAUAGUACUGGCAAAAUUAAAAUAGCAUUUAUUGAUGUUUUUGUAAGGUUUCUAUGAUGGAACGAGACUUCUACCUUGGACAAAUAUUGACUGGAUGAGUUUCUUCUGGCACCAUUCGCAUUGGUGACAGAGUUCAUGGGCUUCGUCACAAAGAUUCUGGAGUUGAGAAAAUUGAAGAAGGGAAGGUUUGUGGUUCUAUAUUUGCCUCAUGGUUGUUAAAAAUCAAGAAGUUUUCUUUUGCACUGGACAAUGUUUGAUUCUUUAUGAUAGUGAGAUUUUACCCAUGUUGGGUUAAAGCUCUUGUAGCGCUCACCAAGCUCUUGUAGCGCUCGCCAUCAGUUUAAAUUUGAUUAAUUAGAUUAUUGAGGCUUCUAGCUUUAUUUUCUCUGACUAAGAAUCUGAUAUGAAAAAACAACCUCUGAAGCAUCUUCGUCUCUCAGAGAACAAUGAAAAGUUUGAUAUAUGUGAUCAAGUGCUGCAGCUUUUUACGUUAUUGAAAGGCUCAACUUCAGAUUGAAAUGUUAAAAUAUUAAAAUAUUAAAAUACUAAUUUUUUUUUUUUUUACUUCCAUCUUCUACAGGUUGUGAAGCUGAUGAAAAAGAAGGGAACACAUAUGGUCGUAAUUGAAUGUGCUGGAGCUGGUGACAUAGUGUCAAUGGCGGGGUUAACAAGCCGCCCUUCUAUUGGCCAUACAGUUGCAAGCGUUGAGGUAUAUUAAUGCAAUCUUGGUUUUAGACUUUACUUUUAGUUUGUCCGCAAUUCCUUUUCAUUUUAUUUUUCUCCUAUUUAUUUUAGUAAAUAUGAAUUAUAGCUUCGUUGUAUAUUUUCCUGUAUCCAUUGUACUUCUGUUCCUACCUUGAGAAGGCUCGAUACUGGGGCUCUCACUAAGUUGUCAUCUCCCCUUGUUGUAGGUAGCCUAUAUCCAUUGUGUUUUGUCUGUCAAAUUAGUUGCUUUGAUAACUUUAGCUACUUUUGUCUCAAGAAGAUGGAAAACAUUAUGAUCUGUAUUUCUUAUUUUGCCAUAGUAUUUUAGCAUCAUUCCAGGGAUUUUAACUUUUUAUCCGUUGCUUUUGAGAAACUUUGUAUCUUUUUAUAACAUGUCAUGGUGGUACAUUCUAUGCAAAACGGACUUAUGGUUACAUCUAAUAGACUAUGACUGCAUUGCCCACAGUUGUGUUGGAUCCACCAACUAUUUCCAUGACUUUUGGUGUCAAUGACUCUCCCUUAGCUGGUCGUGACGGUACCCAUGUAAGUCAUAAUUUUUUCCUGUUUGCAAUCAGUUAUUAACUUAUUAUACUGCUCUACAUUUUAUCAUCAAUGUCCGUAUUUUUCACUGAGCUGUUUUCUUGUUAUAGUGGAAAACACAUGCACUUUAUUUCCUCACUUUGGUUUAAAAUCAUUGAUUUAUGAAUUAUCUGUACUUGAUGCACGCCUCGGAUAAAGUGACGGAAAUUAUAUGGACAAUGUAUAUGGGAAGAGUAGAGAUUUGACAGUUUGUAUCAUAAUUCAUUCUUAUCAUCUUUUUGUUUUCCUAAAUUUGACGUGAGUAGGGUUUGAUUUACAUGUCCUAAAUUUAAGUUUUUUUCAGUGUAUGGGGAAGGUGCGGGUUCGUGAGACGGGUGCUUCCUCUCUCAGAUCGACCACAAGACAGGCAAGCCCUGACGGAGGAAGUGGCAACCCUAAAAGGUCAGCUUGCGGCCCAAGAAGCAGCUCGGGAAGCCGAGAUUGCAGCCCAGUUAUUGGCCCAGGACGAUAAGAUGAGUAUGAUCUUACGAGCCUUACAGAUGUCCGGCCUUCAAAUCUCGAUGCUAGCACCUGAUUUUGCUCCACCUUUGACCUCCCAGCCAGUUUGCCCUGCGAUACCCAGUAGCCUGAUGCAUUAAACCGAGACGACUGAUUGUAGUUUUUUCUUUUAUGUUCGGACAUCUUUUAUGUACAUUUUCAUAUAUUUUAUAAAUAAAUGUUUUUUCUUGGUUUAUUAAUUAUUGUUUAUAAUUUAGGCUUAAAUGUCAACAUGGUCUCUGUGUUUUACUUUAUUGGUCAAUUUAGUUCCUAUGUUUUCAAUUUGGCCAAAUUAGUCCUUGUGUUUAUAUCCGUUAGUCAAUUCAAGACAAUCCGUUAAAUGAUUGUUAAAAUUGACACGUGCUAGGCACGUGAGAGGGCAAAAAUGUAAUUUUAUUGUACACCCACUAAACUAAUACAAUGCAUAUCUUUAAGAAUUGAUGCUUUGUUUCACCCAAUUGAAUACUAUGUGAUUUAGGGUUCAUCCAUUAGGUCAGAAUUUGUGGGGUUGUCGAUUGAGAUUUGGGUGACUACUCUAAAGAAGAUGCCAAGUAGACGAAUUGAACCAAACAACCAAGGUGAUGAUCGUCAUCGGCUUUCAUUAUUAUUGGGGUCUAGGGUUUGAUUUGUUGGAUUUGUUGUGUGCUUUUAUAAUCAAUUGAGAUGGCUUGGUAGAUUGGGUAGGAAAAUAAGGAUAUCACUUUACUUGGUUUUUAUUGGUUGCAACUUGUCUUAUGAAACCAUGACUACCAAAGUUAGCUCCUUUGAAUUUAGAUGCUUUUUUCUAAUAACCAUAGCAUUGUGUAAUCGGCAUAUGCCUUUCUUUAAUAAUAAUGCACUAGCCUCUCUGCACGCACUAACGUGCGUGCGAGAGGCAUUUUUGCAUACGCGCCUCUAAAUGUAUAUUGUGUUAGUUUUUUUUCCAUUGUAAUUGUUAAUGUAUAUGCUUUAGAAAGUACAGUACCAAGUAUGGAGGUGAAUGGUGAAAUCUAGAAGAUGGCUGCACAUAAUUGGAAGCAAUAAAUUUGAAGCUGUUUACGUAAAAUUUUUAUCACUUACCAAGUUUAACUGUUAUUUUAAUAUUUUAAUCUAGAAGAUGGCUGCACAUAAUUGUAAUUGUUUUUAUAUUUUUCCCUUGACUAUUAUAGUUGAACUGUUAUUCCAAGUUUACAUAAAAAAUUUAUCACUUACCGUUCCAGACAUAUUUCUUUCCUUUCUUUUUUUUGUUUUUUUUUGUUUUUUUUUUGUUGGGGUACUUGUUAAAAUGUUGGUCACUGUGGUAAAUAUAUACAAUCCGAAUGUUGAAAUUGUUAUAGACAUAACAGAAUUAUUAAGUGGAUGUUUCCAUUGGUAGUACGAAAGGCAAUGACAAUGUAAGAUAACUAUUCAUUCAAUCUUAAUAGAUGUGUCUUAAUAAUUUGUACAAAAAUAUUCAUACAACGUAUGAAUUUACAAAUAUAUAAUUAAUAGAGACAAAAAAAUAAGAAAUCAUAGUUACCCACCGAUGUUGGUCCUAUGUCAUCUUGGUUUACUUCCGUUUGAUUUUGUACUAUAUUUACUGAGUUCAAUCGUGUUUGAUAAUUGGCAUGUCGUCGCAUUAAAAUUUGAGCCCGCUGUGAUGAAUUCAUAGAUUGUCGUCUUUGCCUUUGUUGAUUGCUCCUAUGAUAACUUUGAUUUGACUGUUGAGAAUUUUGAACAUUUGUUUGUCCGAAGUGAAUUUCUUCAUUGUCGACCGACAUUGAGAAAUUGCCAAAAAGAAUGAAUUUUAUUUUAUUUUUGAAAAAGAAGAAAAAAUAGAUCAUCUCUACAGAAGAGGAAUAAUACAGAUAAGGUAAGAACCUCUGACAUAUUGCGUCUAUCAAUUCCCUCCAUAGUUGAUAUGUUGAAGUCCUCUGGAAAUCUUAAAACUGAAAUUUCAAUUUGGAUGAUUCUUAAUAAAGGUAAAAUUGAAGGAAAAUAUGGAAACAUAGCAUUGAAAUUCAACAAUGGAAAAUGAUGCUUACACAAAUUAGAUCAUAGUUAAAAGAUUCAUGAAAUGUACACUAUCGAAUUGACAGAACACAUGGGGAUUUCGAAAAGGAAAAAACAGAAUAACACAAACUAAUAGGACGGAGCCGAACAUAUACCACCAUAACCAAAAUUAAGACAGUAGGCAUUAACCCAUUUGCAGAUCCGAUUGAGCUAAUUUUCCUGAGCUUCAACCACGGACCCAUUCAUGAAUCCCUAAAUUUACCCAAUCUUAACAACUUGAAGAAUUUAGUACAAAAAUUUAACCGAGCAGUAAACUUCGAAAGCAAAAAGAGUUACGAAAACAAAUAGAAAACAGAAUGGUUAACAUACAACAAAAUUUGUUGCCUCUAGAUUUGCAAGGAAGCAAAAUCUUCAGCUGAUGCAAAACCUAUGUCGUUUGGUUAAUCACAAACGUUUCUUUUAUUAGCAAUCAUCACAAACGCCGACAGAAAAAGACAACUAAAGGACAUAUUUCUCACCGCAACAUAUAAAUUGAGAAACAAAAUGGAACAAAUAUAAGUUAGAAAGAGUACAAAGCAAGAAAUAAUGAAGAGAAAUACAUGGAAGGCACUGGAAGAGCAGAAGAAGUAGGAUUGCAGUGGCACCACCCACCCUCUCUCGCUCGCCGAUUCCUAUUCGGUUUAGUGUGCUCUAAUAAGCCCAGAAAUCUCAACACUCAGACAGAGACAAAUUGUAGAAACAUAUAAGAAAGCAAAUAUAGGAUCCCCAACAUCUUACAUGGAACUUGGUAGUAUCAAUGGGUGGACUUCUUCUUAUCUGCAUAAUUUUCGUAAAAAAAUAAUCAAAUUACUUAAACUGAAACGAUAAAGAACAACUUUGAAACCAAAACGUACGGAUGAUUUCUUGCCGCUAGAUUUCCAAGGAAGCAAAAUCUUCAAACUGUCCUGGAUAUAUAAAAAAAAUAAAAAGAAGAAGAAGUGGAGUGGUUGUGUGCAGAGAGACGAAGAGGGUUAAAACUGAUCCCAAUCAGAACAACCUGUAUGGGAAAAGAAGCAAACAGAGUUUCACCUUUCCCUCGCUAAAAUGCUUCCUCUCUUUUCUCCUUCUCCUUCUCUCCAACCCAAAACUGUAAAACACUUCCAGUAAAAUCAAAUUAAAGAAUCAAACCCAGGAACAAAAUCACAAAAAAAAUGAGAGAAAUUCGAAAGGGUAAUGGAACCCUAGUUUUUUAAAUUGGGAAGUUGGGUACCUGGAGAAGAUGGAAAUGAAGGCGACGGUUUAAGUCACAAAUAGCUUAAUCGAAGCAAGAUCCAGAUGAACAACAAAUGGGUAACUGAGAUAGAGCGAGAGGAAGAUCGGAGCUUACAUGAAAGUUGCUGGUGCGGUUGGAUGCUGCUCCCUUUUCAGAGCUUCGACUCUGGCAAUUGAAAUCAAAUACAAAUUAUCAUCUCUUUGGGUUAUUUCUCCUAUUAAUACAAUAAAUACAAAAGCCUGUACUGAUGAAACAAAUAAAAAUAAAUAAAAAAAUUGAAAAACCAAAAAGUGUAUACCUCGGGAUUAAAUCGGUGGUGGUUUGGAGAGGAUAGAUAGUUAGAUGGGAGGAGCUAGUGACAGGAGGUUCGGCUGGCGGUGGCCGCGGAGGAGGGAGAAAGAGAGGUGGCUGCGGAGGAGGGAGAGAGAGAGAGUUAGUGAGAGACGGAUCCAGAUUCCAGAAAACAGGAUCCCGUAGUGGGUUUUAAUUCUAUCGGCAUGGCAAGAUAAUGGGGUUUCAGUUCGCAAGAUAAUGGGUUUCAGUUUUUGCACGGAAGUUUUUUCCUUUUUUAUUUUUCGUGUUUUUUUCCCUUUUUUUUCGAAAACUGCCGAACGUGGUUGAAGUUGUGUCUUCCACGUUUGUUGUUUUAAAUUUUUUCUACUAAAAUUUUAUUUCUUAAAAAAUGAAAUAUAUUUUUUUUCUGACGAAAUUAGCCUUGGGGUUUUUAUAUAUAUUUUUUCUAUCAGUUUUGAUUUUUUUUGUUUGAGGGGUUUUAUAGUCCAAUUGUUUUUUGUGAAGCCUUAAGACACCAAACUCUCCUUCUGGCUUUCUAAUAUUAAAGAUAUUUCGUUUUAUGUGUGCAGAUUUUCCUCAAGUUAUUGAGGAUUUAACCCAACCACCAUUAUCACAAGCUCAAAUAAAUUAUGAAGAAUCAUUCAAUGAAUUCCCUACGGAAUUGUUUAGUCAGGUUGAUGAAAACAUGUAUUGCCGAAAUGGUUUUAGCAAUGAAUUCUUAUUUCAAGAAGAGAAUUGCUUUGUAUCAUGGUGAGCCUCAAUAUUAUUAUGAUGUACCGACACAAACUGAGGAGUGUGAAUAUGAUGGUGAUGGUGAGCAAAAAUCUGAUACAGAGAAAUCCCUUUCUGAGGAAAGCGAUAAUGAUGGUGACACUGGUGAUUUUGAUACAGACAGUUCCUUAUAUGAUGAAGAUAAUGAUGCAAUGCUUGAAGAUGACAAUUUUGAUUACAAUUUCAAUGACAAUGCAGAUACACCAAAGAGUUUCACUGGAUGCAAUAAGAAACAAAAAAAAAAAAAAAUUGGGAAGCGGAUAUACAAGUUGAGGAUUUGAACAUGGAUGAGAAGCAAUAUAACUCAGAUGAAUUACAUUCACCACUGAACUCUGAUGAAGAAGGACAUGGUCGUAGAUGCAAAGAGUUUAAUGUUGACAUUGAUAUGGAAAACUCACAAUUCGGAUGAAAUUUCCAAGUAAAAAGGUGUUAAAGCAGGCUAUACAAAAUUAUGGAGUCCCAGGGUCAUAUGAAUGUAAGAUAUGGAAUAAUAAUAGGAUUAGGUUGUCUGCUAAGUGCAAGCAAUGUUGCAGUUGGAGGUUGUUUGCUUUUGUGAUGCAGGGUGAAAAUACUUUUCAAAUCAAGAGCUACAUUCCUGGUCAUUCAUGUUCAAAGGUUUAUGUAACAAAAACAUAACUUCAACUUUUCUUUCUGAAAGACAUGGGUAGGAUUAAAGAUGAUCCUAAGAUUAAGAAGACAACGCUUCAGUUAGAGAUAUAUAGAGAAGUUAUGGGAGUAUUGCGAAGAGGUUAGAAAGACAAAUAUAGGCAGCACCAUGAUGAUGAAGGUGGAUCCUCCUUAUUUUCAAAGACUUCAUGUGUGCUUGGAUGCAUGUAAACAGGGGUUUGUAUCUGGUUGUAGACCUUUGAUAGGUGUAGAUGGCUGCCACCUUAAGGGAACAUUCCAAGGUAAAUAAUUACUUUUUAGUUUUAUUUGACAUCAACUCAUGUAGAUGUGGUAUUAAUUUAACAUAACACCUAUAUAUCUAUACGUGCAUAUUAAUUCAAUACCUUGGCAGGGCAAUUACGUGUGGCAGUGGGAAUUGAUGCAAAUGAUAAUAUGUAUCCCAUUGCUUAUGCGGUUGCUGAAUUGGAGACGAAAGAGUCAUGGUGUUGGUUUCUUCAACUUUUGAUUGAGGACCUUGGUCCAGUUAGUGAACAUGGGUGGACCUUUAUUUCAAAUAAAAAAAGGUAAUUAUUUGCUUUAAUUUCUUUGCUAUAUAUUGAAAUGUUAAGAAAAACUUUAUAUCAUUUAUUGGCGUUAAGAGUUGUAUAUAUAAAGUUAUAUGAAAAACUUUUAUGUUGCUUGAUUGAUUACCAAUGUACAAUGUAUACCUUCUUAUAUAUAUAUAUAGGGAUUUGAAAAGGCUUUUCAAUCAGUGGUACCUGAAGCAUCUCAUAGAUGAUGUGUGAGGCAUCUCUAUGGAAAUUUUAAGCAACUUUUUAAGGGUCAAGCACUGAAGGAUAAACAGUGGAGUGCAGCCAUGGCAUCAAAUGAAGUAGAUUUUAAUUGUGAGAUGGAAAAAUUGAAAGAGUUAGAUGAAGAAGCUUAUAAAUGGUUGAAAAAGAGGGAUCCAAAUAUGUGGGCUAGGCAUAGGUUCAGUUUGAAGAUCAAAUGUGAUAUGUUGCUGAACAACUUGUGUGAGUGUUUCAAUUCCUGGAUUUUGGCUGCUAGGGAUAAACCAAUACUUACCAUGCUUGAGAUGAUUAAGUGUAAAAUACUGAGAAGGUUGCAAGUUAAGAGGGACUUGAUUAGUAAAUUUGAGGGUCCAGUUUGUCCCAAGAUCCAAGGAAAGUUAGAGAAGAACAAAACUUUGUCUCGUAGAUUCAAACCAGUGUAUUGUGGCAGUGGAGUGUUCCAAGUGGGGGACUCAUUGGUUGAUCAACAAUCGGUAAAUUUGUGGAUUAAAACUUGUAGUUGCAAGAGAUGGGAGCUCAAUGGAAUACCAUGUAUGCACGCUAUUUCUGCCAUCUUCCACAAUCGGCAACAAGGUGAAGAGUUUGUGGAUGAAUAUUACACUCCAUAUGCUUAUUUGAGGGCUUAUUCCCCAGUCAUAUAUCCUGUCAAGGGUAUGAAGUAUUGGCCACAAGUUAAACAAACACCUGUCCGACCUUCAAUGGUUAAAAAGCAGCCUGGGAGACCUAAAAAAAGGAGAAUAACAAGGGAUCCUGAAAUAGAAAAGAACAAAGAUCCCACCAAAUUGGAUAAGAAGGGGAGUAGUAAAACAUGUACAAAGUGUUGGGAGAAGGGACACAAUAGAGUUGGAUGCAAAAAUCAACCUCGAGAAGCUCCACGUGGGGUUUAUAUAGACAAACGAUGGGCUUAUCAAUUUCAUCAAGAUGGUAGUCAUGGUAGGGGUGUGAACAACAAUGAAGGUAAUGAAGAAACUCAUCCUACUCCUCCAUAUCAGUGCUCCAAUGUCCAACAAAGUGGUGAAGUCUUUGUGCCUCAAGGGAAUGUAACUGGAGAGUCAUCUAGACAUACUCUUAAUAAGAAGUAUGCAAGACCAUCUAAUUUACAAGUAAGGAAUAAUAGGCUUGACUUGUUACUUUUCAAAUUAGAGGUAAUAUUUAAUAUUUUUGUUGUUAAUUUUACUUGUGACAGGUGAAGAAAGUUACAAAAAAAAAAAAAAUGGUACAACUCUACAGACUUCCCAACCAAGUACUUCAAUCCUGCCAAUGUAAGUUAUCCUAUUACAUUCCUUGCUUCAUUUUCUUAACACAACUACCAACCUACACAUAUAUUAUUAGAUACAAUUGUUUAAUACUUACAUUUGCAGUUUCAUCCACCUCAAAAUUUUGUUCAACCAACCAUCACUAGAGGCCCUAGAGGGGGCACUUUGACUACACCAAAUGUGUCAAGGACACCAAUUACAUGUCAAAUAUGGACAAGACCAAUUGGAACCAAAACUUCUUCACAAGCAAACUGGCAUCCAAUGCCACAAACAGUCCUAUGCUCAAUAUGUCUAGCCCUAGAGAAGGCACUUUCAUUAUACCAAAUGUGACAAGGCCAAGUGCAACCCCAACUUCUUUGCAAGCUAGGCUUCCAAUGUCGCAAACAGCCCCAGGCUCUAGCACGUACAUGCCUAGCAUAUCCAGGCUAAGCAUACAAACUACACCUUCAACUUCAAGUACGUCUGGAACUUCACAUUCAUGGAAACCACAUGGCAAAAAUGUUUAUACAACGAACGCAACUACAAGUUCAAAGAAAAAGAAUAUUUGAUUGUAGUUUGAGUUGUUUUAGUUUUUCUUUGGCAGUAAGGUAUCUAUGUGUGAGAAAGACCAUGUAGUACUUGUUUUUGGUGGAGUUCAAAGCAACUUCAUUUUAUACUGUUUGGAAUUAAAGCAUGGGUUUUAAUUUUUACGUUUACAAAAGCAUGGAAUUAGUUUUCUUUGUGAUCUUGCUAGAGUUCACUUUGAAGUUGCUUUUUGUUUUCAUUUGUACAUAUAGGAAUAUAUUUGUGAUCAAGUUCAUGUGCAGAUUUAAUUGGAACAAAUAUAGUCUCAUUUAUACUGAAAUCGAACAAGAAGUCAACAAUAAUCUCAUAAUUAAAAUUUAAAUCAAUGACUUUAUUUAUUUAUGUACUUGUGACCAAGUUUAGUGGGUGUACAAUAAAAUUAUAUUUUUGUCCUCUCAUGUGCCAAGCACAUGUCAAUUUUAACAGUCUUGAAUUGGCUAAUGGAUAUAAACACAGGGACCAAUUUGGCCAAAUUGAAAACAUAGCGACUAAAUUGGCCGAUAGAGUAAAACACAUGGACCAUGUUGACAUUUUAGCCUAUAAUUUAAUUACAAUAUUUAUAAAAAAUUAAAUAAAAAAUAUUUUUGCCAAAAAAAAACAAGGGUUUGCGUGACGCAUGAGUAACAUGCGUCGUGCAAAGUGGCUUUGCGCGACACAUGUUACUUUUGCAUCGUGCAAACCCUAUUGUCACUGCCUUUGCGCAACGGUUAGUGCACGAUGAAGGUACCUAUGUUGUGAAAAGUGUUUUUUCUACUAGUGUGACAAAAAGUAAAAUAAGUUCGUUGUAUUAUUUUUUGUAUCGCUCAAAAGAUAACAAAGUUACAAACAUAAGAUUUGUACUUAUACAAUACGUGCGAAAAUAAAAUAACUGUCAAAGAAAAAAAGAAUUUUUUUUCCUGUAAUGUAUUAUUCUUUAGAAAGAAUAUAUUCAAUUAAUUAAAUGUUUGAAAUGAAAAUCUUCAAUUCGUUAAGUUGGCUUUUUAUCCAAAAUGGUUUUUGAGAUUUGCAUUACUCAUCACUUUGGUUCUUGAUAUUUGAAAUCAAUAGAAGGAGUCCCUGAGUUGUCCACCAUCAAUCAUUUUGGUCAUUCCUUAUAAAAAUAUGUUAAAUAAGGACUAAAUGACAAAAAUACCCUCAAUUUAAUAAACAAAUGGCCAAAAUGAUUUGACAAAAUUGAGGGUAUUUUUGUCAUUUUAUCUUUAUUUAAUGGAGUUUUUUCAAGGAAUGGCCAAAAAGAUUGAUGGUGGACAAACUCAGGGACCACUUCUAUUGAUUUCAAAUCUCAGGGACCAAAGUGAUGAAUUAUGCAGUGAUGAAUUAUGCAAAUCUCAGGGACCAUUUUGGCUAAAAGGCCGGUUAAGUUUGAUAUGUAGAUGCCCAUGUUAGUAUUGCACAUCACUUGACCAUGGCAUGCAUGAAUACCUUGGUCAUCUGUUCUGCAUGCAUUGUUGGAAUCCCACAUCGGUGGGUGAAAAGAAAACAAUGGGGUUACAUGUGAUCCAAACCUCAUAAUCAUUUUAUUUUAAGAAGAACAUGUAAAUGGACUUCAAGUUUUCAAAGACGGGGAAUGGAUUGUUGUGAAGCCUCUUUCUGAUGCACUUGUGAUUAACAUAGGCUAUCAGCUACAGGUACAUAAGUAGAUUCAGUACCCUUCUUGACGCUAAAGAUUAUUUCGCUGGUUAUUAUUGAUUCUAGGCCUCGUUUGGCAGCUCGGACUAUACUGACUAUUUUAUCAGAUAGGAUAAAUAGCCACCAGAUAGUACUGACUAAAUUAGUCGGACAUUUGGUGCAGUAUUGCAUUAAUGACCGUAUUAUUUAUACUGUGUUUGGUAUUGAACCAGAUAGGACAAGAGAAAAAAAAAUUAACAAAUCUUUCUAUGUUUGUUGAACUUUUCUCAUAUUUAUACCUAUUGAAAACCACACAAAUUUUCAAAUAACAGAGAAAAAUAGUAAAUUCCAUACAUCAAAUGCCAAAAUAUAAUCCAACCACAUAUUCAAGUUCAUAAAAUAUACAAAUGCAAGUUGGUUUCAGUAAGAAACAGUUUGUCCAAAUAGCCAAAAUAUAUGCAUGUUGCUUUUAACAAAAUAUAUGCAUGCUGCAACUUUUAACAAAAGAUAUGCAUGCUGCUUUUAACAAAAUAUAUUGUUGUUGGUUUGAAAUGUCAAUUGCGGUUACUUUGUCCAAGUAACAUGAAUACAAAAGCUUUUUUCAUUGCACCAUCCAAAGACAAGAAUGUCCUCUCAUUAUGUGGCUUUUCGAAAAGAAUAUUUAGUGCCUUGAUUUGAUCCUCAAUAGAUAAAUCCAUCUUUGACAAUUCUGAAGCAAUCUCAGGUUUUGGAUCCACUCCUUUCCCAAAAGCAGCUUGUAAAACUUCACCCAACUUAUCCACUGAUUCAAAAAGCAUUUCUUUAAAUGGCACAACAAGAUCAUUAUCAUUAGCAGCUCUCUUCCUUUUCCGGGUACUUGAACUGCUAGACCGUCGAGCAACAGAAGGAGAACUAGUCUCCACCUCAUCUUCAUCUUCAUUAAUGUGCUCAGGGUCAUUCAUCAUCUCAAUAGGAGUUGCAGCUCAUACUCCAGUUGCUCGGUCUUUCCCAAAAAUAACAUUCAAUCUGUCAUACAAUGGAAACAAUUUUCUUAGCCAGCCCUCUGCUUCUUUGUUAACCUGCAAUGCGAAAACAAAUCACAUUAUCCAUAAAAUACAAAUAAUCUUAUUUUGUUCCGUUCAACCUGUCUUCAUAUAAUCAAGCAUCCAUUAAUUUAAUUAACCUAUCAUAAUGAAUGGGGCUAGAGGAUAUGGUUUGGUAGACAUAAUCAUACUAUUAAAUUGUAUGUAAAGGAACAUGUUAAGUAAUCAAAUAUGUAAAGCUAAAUUCUAGUAUUAGGUUAGAGAAUUACUUUCACAUAGGACUGCCAUAUUUCAAUGCUAUCAACCUCAAUACACUUUCGUACAUCAUUCCAUGCAAAACCAGUUUUAUUAACCAUGUCAUAAACUAUUGCAUAAUUUUUUUUUCCACCUCCUCAUUUUAGACUCAAUAUGUGGAACUGCCUUUAUAUUGGCAUUAGGACAUUUCAAAUUAAUAGCUGUUUCAAAUUGAGCCAUUGUUCUGGAUUUGAAACAACCGUUAUCACAUCGCAAAUUCUUAACAACUGCAUCCUCAAGUAUGGACCACAAUGCAUCUUUUCAUGUUGUUUCCAAACCCUUAUACUUCCUUUUGGUUGACUACUUUGUUCACUUUCCAUUCCUAUAAUUACAUACACAAUAAGAUAUCAUAUAAUCAACAAUGCAUAUAAUUAAUAGUAAGUGAUAAAAACCAUAAGCAAAUCAUCACACUUUUUAAGUAAAUACAUAGCCAGGUCACACUUUGUUCAAAUAAAGUAUCAUAACCAAAUACAUAAGAAAUGAAUAUUUGUUCAAAUAACAAACCAUAACCAAAUGACAACAUGCAUAUGUAAGAAAAUUUAAUCAAAUCACACUUGUGCAUUCCACUCAUUGUACAUAUUCAUGGCCAAAGUAUUUCUCCAUGCAGUCCAUUCUUGUGUAAGUUGAACAAUCUCAAUCAUAUCUUCAUCAUCAUCACUACUUUCAGAUUCGUCCAAGUUUAGGAUUUCAUUUUUUAUUGGAUCAGCUGACAUAUGCCUUCUAAUAAGAUUAUGUAAUAUGCAGCAGGUUGUCAUAAUUCUAAGUUGUGUUUUAAUUGGGAAAAAUGAUGGACCUCUUAAGAUGCUCAAACGCAUCUUAAGUAGUCCAAAACAUCUCUCAAUGACAUUUCUAGCUUGAGCAUGUUUCAUAUUGAAAUACUCCUCAUGAUUAAUUGGGAGUCUUCUAUUUCUCCACUGAGAGAUGGUAACGCACUCCCCUAUACGGUGCAAGGUAUCCUGGACCAUUUGUGUACCCACCAUCCACAAGGUAGUAACACCCUAACACAUCAAAAAAUGUAUAUUACUAUAUAUAAGAAAAUUGAGGAUUCAAAUUACUAAUAUAAACAAAAAAUCUAUUGUUACCUAUGGGAACUUUUAAUCCCGAUGGUCUACAUAUCGCAUCUCGGAGUACUCUAGAAUCAAAGGCCGACCCUUCCUAACCUAGGUACACAAAUAUAAAAUUCAUGUCCAGAUUACAAACUCCCAACAUAUUGGUCGCAAUCUCUCCCUUCCUUGAUCGGUAUCUUGGUUUAUCUCGCUCAGGGACAUGAAAGUUAAUGUAAGUCCCAUCCAAUGCCCCCAAGCAAUUCUAAAAAAAAUCAUUAACAUUAGUAAGCUCAAUAUAUUUAAUUACAUUAAUUUUAGAAGUAAUUUUUAUAAAAUAUGAAGAAUACCUCAAACCAACUCCAUUUAGGAUCUGGGUAGGCAUUAGGAAUGGGUUCUGGCACUUUCAAAAGUCUACCUUGUAGCCUUAACACUCCAUGUAGAAUGGAAUUGAAAUACCUACUUAUGAUCUCCACCGAUCGACAAAACCUACUCCCAAUUGUACGAUUCUUGACAUGAUGUGCAAGUAUAUGCAAAAACAUGCAAACUUGUUCUUCAUUGUCACUACACCAUCCAAUUUUACUCUACCGUGGUCACGAAGCAUUUGACAUAAAUAAUGGAAUGUUCUUCUAUCCAUUCUAAUUUGGUUCACACAAUGAACAUCAUCAUAUCCUAUUAUGCUUUCUAAAUAGGCUGACCCUACCAUUCUCCUAACAAAUGUGCGAUUUCUAGGUGCAAGUUGCCGAUUCCGCCUUCUAGCUGAAUUAUGAUUCAUCAUGAACCACAUCAUCAACCAAGUCACAAUAUUCAAGUACCACAACUUAACAAUGAAGCAUGCCACAAUCUUUCUUUCAUCCAUGUCUAGUCAAAAUAUAAAAUAACAUUAUUAGAUAGUGGCAAAAAAUUAAGUAACUGGAGCAUGAAUGCAUAAUAACACUGAAAACGGAAGGAAGCAUGUUAAUAAGUCCUACCAAAAAAUAUGGUUGGAGCAAAUAUGGUCAACUUGGACAUGGGCAUUUUGAGGAUCACCUUGUUCCUCACAAGCUAGAAGCCUUGAGUGACAAAUUUAUUUGUGAGGUGAUCUCUUAGCUGUUAGACUCUAAUAUAAUGCUUUAUUGAUUCAUAUAAAGAUACAAGAAACUUUGGUACUAGUUUUGAGUUAAGUUUCCUGCCUUGUGUUUUGUUAAUUUGAUAUUAUUUUUUUCCAUUCCUUUUUGGCAUCUGUGGUUGUCACGUAUGGUAUCAGAGCUCUUAUGACAUGUGAAAUCUAUCUUCUCUACACCAGUAUUAUUUGUUAAAUUGCAAACCACAUGGGAUUGAUCUGUCUUUAUUGGUCCAUUCCCUAAUUGCUUAAGCCUUUUAGGGUCCAAUGAUUGUCUGAUAAUCAAUUAAAUUCUAUAUUAUUUGAUCCUACUGCAUGGAGCUUACUGAACAAAUAUACAAUGGAGAGUAAUGAAAUGGUUUGGGUAGCAAAGAAGUCUAGUCUAUGAUGGCACUUUGUACGACCUCAAAGCAUUAUAUAUUCAUCACCUCAUGUUGCAUCAAAAUUGAGUGUCAUAUUGCAUCAAAAUUAAGCCGAAACAUCAGAAGAGCAGCAACUCUCCCUUUCUUCUCUAUUUCUCACUCACACUCUUUUUUUCUAGAAGGCAAUUACUUUACAAAGUGGAAUAAAUACCAAUUAACAAUUCAACAACCCUAGUCCGAAAUUAUUCACACACACACACACACACACAGAUAUAUAUAUCCAGAUAAAAAGUAAAAUUCACAUAAAAAUUAAAAAAUGGAUAAAAGCUGAGAGGGAGUGAUGCAAAAACUGAGAAGAACAACAACUGGGAUCUAAUUUUCGGGCCAUAGACGGUGAUGGGGAGUGAGAGACAGAGAACAAGAGCGAAGAGAAAUUGGCUUACCCAGUUGUCCGUAUGGUUGCAUUGCAGUUGCGAGACAGUAAGUGAAACGGGAGCUGCGCCAGAGACAAAGUUUUGUUUAGGUAAGUGAACCUGCACACUCCCACUCUACCCAAUCAUUAAUUCUAAUUAAAGUUCAACACCAACAACAAACCCUAAAAUUCAAAAAUUCUAAUUAGAACACAAAAUUACAUAAUCAAUUGCAUAAUUAGAGAGAAAAUAAUAACUAGAUUCAAUCAAUUGCAAGAAAAAUAGGAGGAGGGGGAAGAAUAGAGGGAGGGGCGGAAUCCCAGAAGAAGAAAACUGAAAAGACGAAUUGUGAUUCAAACGAAGAAGAAGACUGUGAGAAGAUGAACCUGGGAUGAGAACAAGAGGGCGUUUGGAAAGGAAGAGAGAGCGCCUGGAGCGGAAGAAUGUGUCUGGAGAGGAAGCGGAAGACUGCGUCUGGAGAGGAAGCGGAAGACUGCGUCUGGAGAGGAAGAGAGCCCGACUAAGUUAUACCGUGUAAAAAAGGUGGGCCUGGAUUAUUUAAUCCGGUGCCUAUUUAAUCCAAACAGCCACCAAACACCGUACACCGUAUUAUUAGUACUAUCCGGUGCCUUAUACAGUGUGCCAAACAGGGCCUAUAUUACUAUCUAUACUUGAUUACAUAGCGCUGUCAAUAUCAUGUCGAAAUAGGGGCCUGAUGGUAGUUCCAAACUAUGUUCCUCGAUCUUCUCUUAAUUACCAUAUGACAAACUAUUUUUUUGGAUGACAUGGGAUGUAGAUAAUCAGUAAUGGGAAGUUGAAAAGUGCUUAACAUCGGGCAGUGACGAGUUCAAGUAAUGCCCGGACAUCUGCUGCAUUUUUCAUCGCACCUUCAAACGAUUACAUUGUAGAACCUGCUGGAGAUCUUAUUAAUGCAAGCAAUCAACAACUCUUUAGACCCUUUCAAUACAAAGAAUUCAUUAUGAACUAUGUUACGAAGCAGGGCAAAACUGGAGUUGUACUAGAACCCUUUAAGCUCCAUGCUUAGUUAAUUAUGAAGCUGUGACUGGGGAAAACACAAAUUUAUUUGGGUGGCAAUGGUCUCAAAUUUAUUUGGGUGGGUUAAUAAAUAUUGUAAAAUUUGUAAAAUAGAGUACUUUUUAUUGGAAGUACUUGUUAGAAUUCAUCUGUCCCACAUCGACUAGAAGACUUGAGAACAAACCCUUUAUAUAGAAUUACCCCACUCUAACUAAUAUCGAGGCAUUUUGUAUUAAAACCCCACACCUGACAGAUUGAGCAGGUGGCCAAGUGGGGACAGUAUCGGUGUUGUUGGAGUGGGCCUAUGGCCCGUCUACCCGAAAUUUAACAUGGUAUCAGAGCCAGGGAACGUGCCCAUACAUCCACGUGAAUGAGUGAGUCCCCUUUGACCUCGCGCGAAUGAGUGAGCCCCGACUUGGCUCCACGUAGGCCAAGAGAUACCACGUGAAUGGGUGGGUCCCCAUUGGCCUCGCGCAAACGGGUGAGCCCCGGCUUGGCUCCACGUGGUAUGAUUGACAUUAAUUAAUCAUUAAGUUAUUUAGACUUUGAAUUCUUCCUUUGAUCAUCAAGUUACCAUUGUUCAAGGACUUCUUUGAGUUGUCUGUAUGCAGAAGAACGCUUACCAAAUUGGUCGCAACAGCCAAUUAGAUAUCGGUAAGAAGGAGCCGCCGGGCAGUACCAUGGCACAGUACCACGACAACUAAUUGAAUUCCAACAUAUAUUUGCAAAAAUAAUUUUAAUCAACUCAAGAGUUUCUCUUGGAUCUAUAGAUAUGUCAAACCCAUCACAUAAAACAGCAAGUAAAAUCUUUAUUCAAAACUGUUAUCAGUUUCUCUUACAUACGUACCCAUAACAAAAAAAAAAAAAAAAAAAAUUAAAAAUUAUUUCAUAAGUAGGAUAUAACGAAUCAAACUCCUAAGUUCUAAAUAAUCUCAACUUGAAACUCCAUCCUUCUCUUGGUAGUCCUAAUAUUACUUCUUUUACUCAAAUUGCUCCUUCAUUAUCUUUUAUUCAAAUCACGUUUUGGAGCUCUCUUAAGAUCAACUCCAUUAUUGCAAGGUCGGUACUUUUUUGGUGCUUGCAGGCAUGACACAUUUUGUAGUCGCAUUAAUCUGCUUCUUUUAGUUGUUGGGAUUGUUGAACUUACUUCAUACAAAUUGAUAAUUAAAAGAGAUGUGAUAUCCACACACCUUUUUUUACUUCUCACACACCCUUCUCAUUUUCAACCAUCGGAUCAAAUGAAUUGAAGAAGAUCAACGGACAGAAAUUAACAAAGAGUGUGUGAGAAGUAAAAAGGGAUGUGUGGAUAACACACCCCUAAUUAAAAUCGACUAAAGUGUACACUAUUUCGCAUCAAUCAAACACAAGGCAAAUUGAAGCCGGCUAAAGCCGAAAACUCAAGGAAAAUUAAAGGUGGGUGUUUUGAGAAAAAAUUAAAUUAAAUUGCUUUCCAAACCAUAAUAGCACAGCUUAAUCCUACAGAGAAGAGAACGGCUCGACCAAAAAGUCCUACAGAGAAAGGGAGAAAAAGGAAAAGGGUAAGAUGUAAAAUACCUAAAGGUAAAGCGAAGCGCGAAAAGGAAAACUGUGCACCGUUUAACGCUUACUCUUUUAGAUGUCACAUUCCUUUUCUGUUAAAGGUGAAGAUAAACUCCAAAACUUGAUCAAUCUCCCAGUGAGGACUGGCUUCUGAACAUGUUGGAGCCAAUCAGUGAAGGACUUCUUAAUUAAUUACUCUUCUUCAGGGCCGGUCCUGAGAUUUUGGAGGCCUUGUGCGAGACUCAAACAGAGGCCCUUACAAGAUUUAAAUUUUGGUUGCUAUAUUUUCUUUUAUAUAUAUAUAUAUAUAUAUAUUUCUUGUGUAUAAAUUGAUAUAAACGCAAAAGAAAAUAAAUAAAAAAGAAGCAUGGUUUGGUGGCUAUGUAUCUACAUUCUUUAUGUUUUUGGGUUUGAACUUACUUUUUAAAUACAAAAAGCAUGGUGUGGUGGAUAUGUACAUAUCAUAUCACCGUACAUAUAUCAUAAUCAGAACAACUCAUGUUCUUUAUUAUGAACUAGUUAAACAAAUCACUGGUUAUGAUAUUUGUAGCAUCUUAUAAUGAGCUGUAAGUUUUUUUAAUGCAUUUUUUCUCACUCCCUAAAGUGAGAAUGAUUCUAACCCUCACUCGGUUGAUUGUUGUUGGAUUAGUUAGAAUUUGAGAUUCGUGUCUUAAAUCAAUUAAACCAAAUUAAUUUAACGGUAUCAAUAGGGGGAUGAGCAUCACCUACUCACCUCCACUUUAGUGUUGUGAGCAAAGUUUUAUUAUAUAUGGAUGACUAAAUGGUUUUCAAAUAGGAUGAAAAUUAGAUGAUCCUUAAAAGCUGACCAAAAGAAUAAACGAACGAUAUGUAUUUGACUAAAUGAUGUCAUAUAUGAAAAGGGGGUUUUAAAGAUUAUAUCUUCAAACUUUUUAAGGAUUUUAAUUAAUUAUGAUAUUCCUAAUUAUAGAUUUAUCAUCAAAAGUUCUCUUUUAUAAUGAUAGAAAUUAAACUACAAAUAUUAAAGAGAAAAGAAAAAAAAUUAAUGUAGUUUAAAAAAAAGCCCAAAAUGGUUCUACUGGGAGUCGAACCCGUGCAAACACAAACGCAAGUAUCAGCGCUUGACGAUUCCCCUAAGGAAACAAUGUGAAUUGUGUUCACAUUGUUUUUAUAUGUAGUACAUUACAAAAGUUAUUAAAAUUCAGGGGCCCCUAAAAAUCGGGGGCCCUGUGCGGUCGCACGACUGGCACCCCCUCAGGGCCGGCCCUGCUCUUCUUAACUAAUUUUCAAUAUGAUCAACCAAAUACAGUUUGAAUAGGCCGGUUUUGGUGGUUCAGCUGGUUUGAUGCACACAAUAUUAUAUUCUCCCUAGGCUAACCAUUCAUGCUUGACCUGAAUGUUAUAUUCAGGUAGUUUUUCUCGUAUAUUUAGUUUUUGUGUUUUUUUUUUUUGUUUAAGCUCGGGCUUGAAGUAACAUUGUUGUUCUGUUCUGCUAGUGACAAUUGGUUCCAAUUAGAUUGAGAUUGUUCAUGAUAAUCUAAUGUUACUGUCCGCAUUAAAUAUCUAUACAAAGCUUCAAGUUGAAGUGUCGUUGUUCUGCAUUGUCGGUAUCAUUAUUGGAUCUGUUUGAAUUGGAUUUCAAUUAAGUUCAGUUUAGUUGGUACGAGUUGGGACUAAAUGUGUGAUCUAGAUAGGAAGUACUUGGUGCAGCCUCAUAUUCUGGGUGUAUAGAUGCUUAUUACAUUUUCUGAGACCUCACUGGUUGUGGAAUUUAUCUUUGUUGAUUAACAGAAUUUUGACCGAGAGGCGUGCUAAAAACUUGUCUUUUUGGAUUUCCGUAAUUGGGGAUAUAGGUUUAAUGCUUGUGUUACUAGACCAUGCGAAUGAGGAGUGUCUGCUUUUCCGUAACUCGGAGAGGGAGGGAAAUCAGCAUGCAGAGUUGCUACAAUGGUCUAGUCCAGAGCAAGUACCAACCGUGGGACCUUCCUGAAGAAGUUUGUUAUAAAUGUUGUGAAAUCAGGGUAUAAGAAUUUGGAUUGAGUAUGGCCAUUGUUUUCUUGCACCAUGGGAAAAAUAUGUGUUGUAUGUAAGUGUGUGUGAGAGAGAGUCGGAGAGAGAGAAAUCUGACUGAAAGUAUCAAGAUUUUAUUUGAUUAUGAAACCUAAUGUGCUAAUACAACUCUUAAUGAUUUUUUUGUAAGAAUAUCCGAGGCAUUGUGGCUUGCUGGAAAUCUUUAGGUGGCUUGGCCGUAUGUGAUAUAUGACACCACUUUAAUACUGUGGAUUUUUCCGGAAAGAAACAACUAAGAGAGGGUACGCACUUGAACUCAUUCUGAUUUGCUAUGACUUCGUUUGUGUUUAUACUUUUUCAGGAUGAAUGGUAUCUCUAUUUUUCACCACAAGGUGAAUGCAGAAGACAGAGCUUGAAAUCUUCAUGUGUUCAUUUAUAUUGAACUACGAAAAACUUAUUAUUUUGGUUACAGAAAAGUUCCAAAGUUUCACAAUUUGAGGGAUGCGUGAUGACUUCAUUUGGUUGGUUAUGGCAAUUUAAAUUUAUGACUUAAAUGGCACAGGUUCUACCGAGACAUAACGCAGUGAUGUUUUAGUUUACUUUUUCUAUUUGAUUGAUUGUGGUUCACACAAGCAAAAAUCUUGUUUAUCUUUCUUAAGUAAUAUAUUAAAAAUGUUGAGAAAUGCAUGGUUUUAUGGGACUAUCAGUAGUUUAGUAAAAGCAAUUCUCUUAUGGGAUCACAUUCUUUUAUGUUCACUUUUGUGUAUGCUUAUUGAUGUCUUUUUGGACGCAUGCAUCUGCCCCUAGUUUAUGUCCUUUGAAUUUCUUCCCCGUUGUUAUUUAUUUGAUCUUUGAAUGAUAAUUUUAGUUUUUGCUUAUGUUGCCUCCACAUAAUAGUUGAAGUGUUGCUGUCUACUGCAUUGCAGAUAUGACAUGGCUUCAAACCGUUGGCGUAAGGAGUCAGGUAUACCAAGACAGGUCCCAUGCGACUCAGCAUUUGGAUUUGUUUUAUUGAAUGGAGAGUCGUAUGAAUAACCCUUUUGAAGGCAGCUGAAUCAGCAGAAAUCCAAAGGUCGCAACUGCAUAAGAGAGUGGGAACACUUAACAUCCAAAUCUACCAUCCUAAGAAGAAGACGUGGAGAUCUCCCAUAACAAAGUCACCUUUCCAUUACAGCUGGGAUUUCAAUACUGCAGUUAUGGGCACCAUUCGCUUGUGAAUCUCGAUUCUUAUUGCUUGUACUUGUGUUGUGUUGAUAAUUGUACCGAUUGAUGUGCAGCACUGUCUAUAUUGGUUCAUUGGGGUCAUUGCUGCUAGCAUAUUUGUAUAGUCUUGAAUAUACAGCUAGCAGACCGAUACAAAUACCCCAUCUGUUAGUAAAGCGGUAAUUAGAUAAGGUGGAAUACAUUUGAGCUUCAUAUAUUGUAUCAGUUCUUUUUCCAGAGAACAGAUAAAUAUCUCUGUGUGUGUGUGUGUGUGUGUAAUUAAGUCCUGUUGAACAGCUUUGUUGCUUGUGCACCAAUCAAUCUUUCCCCUUUCCGUGUUACAUCUAUAGUUGAUCUGUUUAUUAUGAUUUCCAAGUCCGGUUUCUGGGUUUGUAGCUUCAUCGAGUAUUUACUCCGCCGUACUUAUGAUACUUUACAACCAAGGACAGAAUCGGACUCUCAUUUCCCCCUCCCCUUUGAGAACAGUAAAAUGGCUCGUGUUAGAAACUCUAGUCGUUUUCCCAUCAAAUGAAGUCUUUUCAGAAAUUUCAACCAAAAAGAAAAAGAAAAAGAAAAAGAAUGUCGUGUAACAAGUGAAGUCUUUUCGGAAGUUCUGACUAACUAAAAGAAAGGUGUAAAAGUGAAGCGUGGGCAAAAGUUGAGACUAAAAUGCAGAAAUUCCAAGUAAAGAAACGUUUCCACCAAGUUUGUUGAGUUCCCCAAUUUUGUAAUACAUGACGAGAAGCGACUAGUGCGGCUAAAGAACUGACUGGCCGUGAAGAUUGGGGUAUAAGUCCAAACUCAAACCAGAUACAGCGUUAAACCGCAACAUGUAUCGCAAGUUUCACAUUUAUACAUCUAUGACUUCAAACCUGAGAUAUAGUAAAUUCAAAGUCCUAACAUACAACCUCCAGUCAACCCAAAAUAUUUGAUUAACAUUUUGGUCAAACGUUCUGGAGAAAAAGGAGGGAAUCUGCUUUCUUGCUAGAGAUACAUCCCUUUGUAUUAGUCGCACUCAUCAUGUGACAUGUAGACAUAAAAAGAUAUAUCUCUACAACACUCAUCAUGUAACCUGUAAACGUAAAGAGAUAUCUCUGUUGUAGGUCUCGAAGUGAAGGUGUUGCAAGGUCCAUAGUAAGUGCGAAGAAGCAUAUAUUGUGGGUCUGAUUUUGAUAUCUUUGUGCCCCAAAAUGCAUGCCAAUAAUAUAAUGAAAACUUAUUUGUAAGACUCGUGCUAAUACAUGUAAGGAGAGAUUCAAACUUACGAAAUUUGAAAAUACUAAGUUUUUGAAAUUUGGACAAGCUGUGGAUUUCAGGUUUUGAUAUCUUUGUACACGAAAUAUGAUACUGCAUCCCAUUCUGGAAAAAACGUUCUCUUUAGUUGCAAAACUUCCAAUGUGUUAUCACAUUAUUGGAGCAGAGGGUCUCAUCUUUGUGACACGUAUGCGUACUAAUAGAGUAUUUGAGGAAAUCAUAAUAGAAUGACCAAAUUGAUGUGCAGUGAUAGAUUUCAGGGACAACAUUGAUUGAUUUGGAAAUUGAGAGACCAAAAGGAGGAGCUUGAUCAAUUUUUUUCAGGUUACAUAAAUAGACUUCAAAUUUUUCCCUUGAUCAUUAAGUUAUACCUCGCUUCAACUUCCAAUUAGUAUGUUUUGUGCCAUCUCUUAAAAACGAAUGUUACAUUAAGCAGGGAAAAAAACCCUGGAAUAUCAGAAAAAUCUGUUCAAGAAGUUCUUUGAGUUGUCUGCAUGCAGAAGAACGCUUACCAAAUUAGUCUCAACAGCCAAUUAGAUAUCGGUGUGUAGGAGCCGCCGGGCAGUACUACCUACUUCAGAAUAUUGCCGAACGAAAUUCUACAGAGAAAGGCUCGACAAAAAAAAUUCUACUGAAGAUAUUUUUAUUCAUGACUUCUUGUACCUACCAUAAAACAAUUAUUAAAUCCUAACAGUAACAUAUAUAAUAAUACUUAAACUCUUAAAUCCUAAUUAUUAACUUUAACUCGAAUUCCAUUCUUCUCUUGCGAGCUGUAAAAUACUUCUUAACUCAAUUAGCUCCUUCAUUGAAGCUUUUAUUCAAAUCACGUUUUGGGACUUCCUUAGGCUCAACUAUGUUAUUGGGAGGUCGAUAUUUUUUUCGGUGAUGGCAGGUUUGGCACAUUUUCCGAUCGCAUUAAUCAGCUUUUUUAAAGUUGGUGGAAUUGUUGAACCUACUUUAGGCAUUUUUAUCACCGAAACAAGCUAAAACAUACACUACUCCACAACAACAAACACAAGGCAAAUUAAAGACGUCUAAAAGCCAAGUACUCAAGAAAAUUAAAGGUAGAUGUUUUGAGAAUACUAAGACCUUUAUUUAUACUAUAGUGUGUUAUAGGCUAGUUUUCUUUCCCAAAAGCAAAGGAACACUUAGGAUAAGAAAAAUUAAAGCUUUCCAAACCAUAAUAGGAAUAUAGCUUAAUCCUAAAAAGGGGGGAGAGAACCUAAACACAAAGGAUAAGUCCGGUAACGGAGAGAUGGGCAAAAAUACAAAAAUACAAGACACAUGAUGUGUCACAACUUAUCAAUAAGAAAUAAGCACGUUAAUCAAGACUUAAAUAAAAACCUAAUCUUCAACAACCACGUUAUAUGGUUUACAACAGAUAAUUUAAAUAGAUGGUCUUGCUAACAAUAUUACCCAACCCAUAAUAAAACAAAGAAUACCUUUUCUUUUCCUCAAGAACUUCUAGUCAACAAAAAGUCAAUUGAUUUCAUUAACUCCCCACUGAUAGAAAGUGAAAUAAGUUCUUUGUAUUAUUUUAUCUGUCGCUCAAAAGAUAACAAAGUCACAAACAUAAGAUUCGUACUCACACAAUAUGUGCGAAAAUGACAUAAACUAUCAAAGAAAAAUGGAAUUUUAUUCCUGUAAUGUAUUAUUCAUUAGAAUAACAUAUUCAUUAAUUAAAUGUUUGAAGUGAAAAUCUUAGGUUGUUGAUUAAACUUUGAUAUGUAGAUGCCCGUAUUAGUAUUGCACAUCACUUGACCAUGGCAUGCAUGAAUCCCUCGGCCUUCUGUUCUUAAUAAUUUGGUUGGUACAACUUCAAGGGCCGGUCGGAUUUGGAGUACCGCUGGGCGGGGCAGGAGCCUUCUGCAGAACUUGCUUGAUAAUCUGAUUCAAGUGGAAGUAAUUGACGGUUGUGCCCCUACUCUGCAGAACAUCCUUCUUCAUCAUCGUGGAUUUCCCCUGCCCAGGCAAAAUUCUGCAGGCCUCGUACAAGUGCAUGUUCACAAGAAAAACCGCUACCAUGGCCACCAAAAGCAUAUUCAGAAACUUCAUGCUGUUACUCGUUUGGCAAAUAAUGAUUUUUCUUUUUUCUUUUUUCUUUUUUCUAUCUUCUUUUUUCUUUCUAUGUAUGCAAUGCAAACUAGAGAUGGAACGAAUGAAUGAAUAAAUAACAGAGGACUAUAGAGCUCUCUAUUUAUAUGGACCAACUUAUAGUCUGAGUUGAAUUUUCCCAUAUAUUUUAUGUAGCUAUUCUUUGUUUUGACUAUUGUGUCAAAAGAUCAAAUAUUGAAUGAGUCAUACAAUUACGAGAAGAAAAUGGGUUUCAAAAAUAUACAUAUAAUCACCUCAGAAAAUUCCAUUUCAUUUCGAUCGUUAUUAUAGAUUGUAUUUAUAUAUAGAGAGAUGGAAUGCCUCACAAUAUUAUACAGUAUAUGGAUUAGAGUAAUUAAAUUAACCGAGUGAUAAAGUUGAGACUUGAUCAAUUCACUUGCUUGCUUCGCAAACUGAGAACCGAGAAGUAAAGCUUGGUGGGGAAGCAUUAAUAAUGACCUUGAAAUUAAGUUUGAAUGUUUGGAGUAUGGGAAGUGUGCUAACCUUUUACACGACAUGGAAUACUCUGACAAAAAAAAAAAAAAAUUUGAAUCUCAUGGUAUGACUGAAAGUCCUAUUUGACUGGAAUAUAUCAUGCAUGAUAUGUAGAAUGACUGUGUCCUAAUUAGGUUAAGUAAUCUCUCUUUCUAUGAACACUAUUUUUUAGGAGAUUUUUAAUAAAAACAAGUUAAGCCCAGGAAUCAGGACGCAGUAGAAAUUUUUUUUUUUGGUGUAAUUAAGGGUCAUAUACGUGUUAUAAUAGAAAGUGAACAACAUAAUUAAUGUGUCAUAGAGCUAGCAUAAUACAAGUGGAUGGAUAACACAAUGACACAAUGACGGUUGGGCAGUCACAUCCUAAAAUCUCCCCGAACUCAACCAAGGAAGAAAAUAUCGGUAAUAUCGGAAAUAUCGGUAGUCCGAAAACACAGAAAUAUCGAUGGAAAUAUCGGGAUAAUAUCGAUAUCGAUAAAAAUUACAUGGAAACCACGGAAAUUGUAAGAAAAACUUGGAAAUUUUUAUUGAAACUUUGCAGGAUAUUUAUUUAGUCAAUUAUCUAUUAGUUUAUCACAAAAAAUUGGAAGGAAAUGCAUUGCAUGAUGGAUUUAACAUUAUCAAGUUGAUUAUAUAGCGAGCUGACAAACAUUGUGAGUGUAGAAAAUAUGUAGUAAUUAAUGAAAUAAGUUUAAACACACCAUAAUCAUUUAUAUAUAAUGAAUUAGUACAAUAUUUUACACUUUAUACAUUGCAUGGUAAGAUACAUGAGUAAUUUAGUACCACAUAGAGUUCCUAUGAGGUUCAAAAUUUUCACUAUCUUCAUCAUCUCUAUGUGUAGAGUAAGUGUAUUUUAGCAUAUUUUCACAAAAACAUAAGUGACAUGGUGGUCAAGGUGUUGAAGGAGUAAAAUGGGAGGGGUUCAAAUCCCUUUGGUGUUUUUUUAAAUAUAGAAAUUUAUCCUAGAUAAUAAAUAUUAGCUUGCAAGCCUUGCAGACAUCUUAACAACCAUAUAAAUAUUACAAGCUGAAUAUGUAAUCAUAAACACAUCUGUAGCGAGUUGGAUAAGAUCCAGGUGCGUUGUUGACAAAGGGAGGGGUUCGAAUCCCAACCUACAUGCAUAACAUCAUAAAAUAAAAUAUUAUUAAAAAUAUGGAUGGAAAACACCUUGAAUCAUCAAAAGCUCCAAAGUAGUGCCUCUCUCCAAAUUGAUCCCUCCCCCCCCCAAAAAAAAAUUAAAUCAUACAUUGUUCCCAAGGUGUGGAAAAAAAAAAGACAAUCGAAAAGGAAAUUAAAAAGCUAAACAAAACCUAAAGAAAGAUAACAACAAGUAAAAGACAAAAAAAAAAAUAAAUAAAUAAUGAGAGAAAAGAAAAGAAAAGACCCACUGAAGGGCACCAUGAUGAACCAUGCACUGGGUCAUGAAAACCCAAGUAGAGUUUGGAAGAAAUGCCCAUGGAAGGGCACCAUGAUGACGGGAGAAGCCAAGUCUUGGAAGGAAAGCCCACGUAAGUGCACCAUGAACCCUAGCAAAAAGGAGUAUUAAACAAACAAUUAUCAUGCACUCUCACCUCGAGCCCAGAGACAAACCACUGACAUGUUUUUAUUUCUCCAGACUCUUCCCAUUGCUCCCAAGACUAACCCAAACCAUUUCACCCAUUUCUCUCUUCUCUUUGUAGCUCCAUCGUGCAACUCCCUCUCUAUUGGUCAGCUCUACCUGCAACCCUAAACCAAAGCAACCCACACCUCCAUUCUGCAAAUCUUGCCCUCUCACUUCGAUUGGGCAAACAGCCCAUAAACAGAUCUAAGCCGAUAUAAGUGCACAAAGGUAAACAACCUCUUUUUUUGUUUAGUCAUCACCGUUUCCAGUUUUCUUUUUGAUAAGAAAAGGGAGGAAACUCUCAUACAUGUGUGCUUUCUGUGUAGAAAUCCUGAAAGCCACGGUGAUAGCACAGAUGAAGAGUACGAAUAUCGCGAUAUUAUCGGUAAUAUCGAUAAUAUCGCGAUAUUUUGACGAUAAUUAAAUGGAUAAGUAUGAAAAUAUCGUCUUCUCAUAAAAAUGAUAUUAUCGGCGAAAUAUCGCCGAUAAUAUCGAUAUUUUGUUCCUUGAACUCAACUAAUAGCCGAUACCAAGUUUUUGAUAUUUGGACAAGGCGUGGUUUUCAAGUUUUAAUAUCUUUGUACCCAAAAUACACUACAUCCCACUCUAGAAAAAAAGUUCUUUAGGAAAGGUUAAAUGUUGUCCCGUCCAGAAUUAUAUUAUCUCCAACUGAAGGGGCUAAACAUAGUCGUUCUAAUAAUUUACUAGUUUUAAGUUUAUACUAUAAAUUUAUUGGUUAUUUAAUUAAACUACCGUUGUAUGUUUUCAAAUAUAUCCGUUCAAUUCGAAUCAAUUCUUGUAACUGAGAAACUGGGCUCCAAAAAAGGGGCUAAGAGGGGGCUUACAUUUGGCUAGCCAGAUGCCCCUUUGCUAAAUAAUGGUCAGGUGGGUUCCAUAGAAUUAUAGCCUAGUCAUCAGUUAGAGACGAAUUUUUUGACAAAUCAGGCCAAGUUUUUGACUUUUAGACCUUUAGCCCUCUUUAUUGGAGAUGGCCUUAGUUGGUUUAAAUAUCAUGCAUUAAUAGACCAUGUUAUUUACCAUAUAUAAUUGAGCAAAUACUCAAGGCUUGUGAGGAAUUUGCUAUUUUUUUAAGGUUACAUAUAUAGAAUUCAAAUUAUUCCCUUGAUCGUUAAGUUCUACCUCGCUUUCAACUUAAAAAAAAAAAAAAAAAAAAAAAAAAAAAAAAAAAAAAAACCUGGAAUAUCAAAACAAUUUGUUCGAGGAGUUUUUUGAGUUGUCUGCAUGCAGAAGAACGCUUACCGAAUUAGUCUGAACAGCCAAUUAGAUAUUUCAAGUAGAAACCAUUCACAGAAAUUAAUUCCCUCCAACCAAAUCCUUUUCCACCAUAAAUCCAGAUCUAUUUAGCUAGUCCUCUCCUUUAAUUAGCUCAAUGCUUUUUGUCAUGUGUCCCUUUCCCCUGUCAGUUCAUUCCUUUUGUGGGUCAGAUCUAGGUCUGAUAUGCCGUCUGAGCUACCAUUUGUAGGGAUGGUAGGAAGUAGAGGGAGCGGGAAUACACUUACUAAACAUAAAGGCAUGAGGAAAGUUAAGGAGGAUGGUAGAUCCAAAGUGCAGAGAAGGGGGUACAACCACAAAGUCAAACAACCAAACCUAGGUUUUAAAAUGAGGCAAAAAUUCCCUCGGAUGCUAUCUACAUCAGCAGCGAAGGCCAACUACUCAGCAAACAUUAAAUUGGGCAUUAAUGACGAGGUAUGUCUCAAUAGAAGGAUACAAACCUAGUUAUUACGAUUGUGGUCCUGGUGUACCUACAAUUAGAAUAAAAAAGCAGUGAGAACCAAAGGUGGGAAGAGGAAGAACAGAGAGAGGAACUGGGUAGAGGCUCAACUGUCAUUCUUUUGUACAUUUCGAAUCAAACAGCCUGGGAAUCAAAUCAGAAUCGGAGUCAAAUGGUAGCAGCGGAAGUAGUGGAAUUAGUGAUUCAUCUGGAAAGAAACAUGGAUCUAUCCACUAUGGAACAGGAAUCAAACUAGUGGGUACUGCAUUGGUUAACAAAACCCUAAACAAAUGGGGCUUCCGUAAUAUCCUAAGAUCCUUUUGGAAGGAGUGGGGGGAGAUAGAAGUUAAGUGGGUUAAAGAUAAUACUUUCAUUAUCAUUGUCCAAGAUGAAAGCACUGCAACUUAGAUCUUAAACCAGGUACCGUGUGUGGUCAUGAAGCAGAACUUCUCAGUCGAAAGAUGGGCACAUAAGUUAGAUUUGGAGGAAAUCAACAUGGAAGUAGUUUCGUUUUGGAUACAAAUCAGGGGUGUCCUGCCUUAUCUCAACUCUGAAGAAAAUGUGAGGCGUCUGGCUGCAAAGAUAGGUGAGUUUUGGAACUUAAGGACCCAGCUAAAGCAAGAGGAUUCUUGAGAGUAAAGGUAGCUGUUAAUACCUCGAAUCCACUGACCACAGGGUGCUAGCUUCCGAGGGACAGAUGAGACAUGGAUUGAGUUUUGGUAUGAAAGACUACAUGACUUCUGUUACAAAUGCGGAAGAAUUAGACACCUAAACACUGAGUGUGCGUUUGAAGCUGUGAAGGGGGAGGUAUGGCUGGGUAUAGAGAAUGGACAAAAGCAGCUCCAAUUCGAGACUUAAUUGAAUCUCCAAGACCUCUGGCUCUAUUAUAAAAAAAAUUAUCAUCUGUGAAACUUGAACUUAUAAUCUUUCCAAAAAAAAAAUGGAAAUCUAGAGCCGCUAAUCCAAAGCUCUUAAAAGAAACCAAACUAGGGAAGAUUGUAUUGAGAAUUGGCUAGAGUUGUUGUUGUUGUUUUUUAUUUUUUUUAUUUUUAUUAUGGGUCGAGCGAUAGCGUUAAUAAUUAAAUGUUAGAUUAGCCACCAACGAGAUUUGACCUCAUACUGUCAUGUAAGGGCACAAUAUAUUUCCACCACUGUGAUAAAGGGCUAGAGUUUGAAUAAUAGAUAAUUGGGGGAAUGAUUUUCUGAUUACUCUCUGUCAACAAUAUACCAGAUAUAUAUACGAAUUCAACAUUCAAGCACGCCUAUUUCUAAGGCUAGGAAUCCGUGAUCCACCUUUGAUUUGGACUAAAACAGGAAAUUAAAGUAAAUCCUACAAAUAUAUUACAAAGAUAAUUCUUAACAAAAACGAUAAUGAGCAAACAAAGUGUUUUAAAUAUUGUUGUAGGAAAAUUAAGAGAGCUGUAUUUAGUAACACAUACACGAAAAUUUUGGUAGAAAUAAUUCGACCCCAAAAGAAACUUUUAAAUAGGAAUUGAGGACUAGUGCUACAAAUAGGACAUGAAAGUUUGAAUGUUUGUAGUAUUUGGGUAUGCAAACCUUUUACACGACCUUAUCUAUACUCUAAAAAGUUGAAUUUUAUCUUUGAUCACUAAAGUCCCAUUUGACGAAAUAAUGUAUUAUUAAAUGGAGAGUAACUUAGUGUCUUAAAGAAUAUAAAUUAUGGUUUAAAAAGUCCUCGUUGUAAAUUUUGAAAAUUUGUUGGAUAUGAUCACAUGUAGUUACAAAUUCAAGUGUUGUCUAUUUUUUAUUUUUUAUUUUUUAUUUUUUGGGUCAAACCCUGAGGUAUCUCCAACCUAUCCCUGGCCACAGUUAAAUACCACACUUCCUUCCAAAGCUUUUAAUUAGAGAAAUACUCAUAUUUUUGCCAACUUUGUCCUUGAAUUAGAGAUCACAGAGCAUACCUAACUUGGAAUUAUGUCGUGUUUAUACUGGACCAAUUGUUGUGGUUGUUGUUUAUACUACUAUCAAGAUGACAAACUUUGUCAUAAUUUUUUUUUAAAUACCAUUUAUGUCCCCACAUUGUUUUAUCCUUAGUUGCGAUAAAUAACCUUUAUAUAAUAAGAUUAAGAUAGGAAUUUUUUGGAUUUAAAUUAUUAAAUUAAAUUAGAGUUCUUCCACGUUUUUUUCCAUCUUUUUUCAAUAUUUUUCUCCCACAUACAUAGAACGACUGAAUGUUUGUAAUAUGCAAACCCCUUACACGACUUGACAUAAUACCCGGACAAAAAAAUUGAAUUUUAUCGUUGGCCGCUACAGUCCCAUUUGACCUUGAAAUAAUUUAUCAUGCAUUAUUUGGAGAGAGAAUAAAGCGUCUUAACGAAUAAAAAUUAUGAUUAAUAGAUCCUCGUUGCAAAAUUUUGGAAAAUCAUAAGGUGUUACUAAUUUAAGUGUUGUUUGUAUAUACUUUUUUUUUUGUCAAAUCCGGAGGCAUCUCACAUCCCGAAGAAUGAGACUAAUCCUUAGUGAGGUCUAUAAAAACUAAGGCAUUUCACCCCACCUUUGGCUACGGUCAAAUGUCACACAUCCUCCUAAAGUUUUCAACUAGAAAAUCAUCUAUGUUUUUACCAGCUUCGUGCCUCGAACUCAAAGACCACGAAGCAUACAUGGUUAGGAACUUUUCUACAAGACCAUUUACCAUGAUUGUUGUCUAUACUAUUAUUUAGAGAACACACUCUCUCGGACUUUUCUUCAAAUACCAUUUAUGUCCCCACAGUCCCAUUUUUCAUCCUUAGUUGUACUAAAUAACCUUAAUAUAAUAAGAUUAAAAUAGGAUUUUAUUUAAAAUUCUUCCUCAUUUUUCUCCAACUUCUCUUUCGCUAUGUUUCUCCUACAUGCAUAUCAUGUGUGAGAUUGCUAUUAUAACAAAGAGUUGACUAGUAAUACAUAUCAGGUGGUGCUAUUACAAGUUACACUUAAGAGUUUCUCAAUAAUUUCGAGUAAUAUACUGUGACAACUGUUCGUGGCGGGAAUUUCCGUGGGGAAUGAUUCUUGGCCGACGAGCACACAGCUCCCCGAGAGGUUGGCGCCGGUUGAUGCUUUCUGUCGGGCUUCUGCUUUACUGGCGGGCUUGUCAGGCAAAGCCUGUCGGGCAAGGCUUGUCGGGCAAGGCUGAAAGAGAAGGACAGAGUUAACUUUGAAAGGUGCCUUUGUGGGCUUUGAAUGUAGGCCUUGAGGUUCACGAUCAAGAUUAACUUUGAAUUGCUCAGGCGUGCCACUACCAUCUUCAGCAUGGUAGAUGUAGAACGAAUGUUUGAGUUUUAAUUAUAUAUAUUCAAGAGACUAUGUUAGUUAUUGACAGGUGCCUUUGUGGAGCCUUAGGUGUAGGCCUUGAGGCUUCCAUAAAUAACUAACUUAGUACUCAAGCACAUAAGGUUCCUUUUGUUGAUUAUAUGAGUCUUAUAACCAUCAUACUUCUGAUCACCUGAGCUCAAAGAGCAGAAUGAAUCCAAAUAGGUGCCUUUGUGGGGCCUUGAAUAGGUCUUGAGGCUUCCCAUCAGAACCCCUUCCGUACUCAAUGUUCUUGCCCGAGAAAUAGGAUGAAUCCAAAUAGGUGCCUUUGUGGGGCCUUGAAUAGGCCUUGAGGCUUCCCAUCAGAAUUCAUCCCGUACUCGAACGUUAUAUGGUCAUCAUAAUAUAACAGAAAUAAAACUAAGUGGCAGGUCGAUUACUUGCGCCCCAAGUAACUUCGGACUUCUUGUUUAUCAAAGCUUGUCGUGGAUGGGUUAAGUCCACAUCAGGUACUUUUUUAUGUCUUGAGGCCAAGGACUUUUUAGAGUGAUCAAAUCUUAUAUGCCCGAAGGCUUAGAACUUAGAUCUAGCUUGAACUGUGAAGACAUAUUCAAAUCGGAUUCAAGCGCUGAGAGAGUCUUUUAAUAGCCAUAUUACUAGAAAUAACUUGGAUAUAACUUGAAGUAUACAACAUAUUGCUAGGCUAAUGAAUGAAAAGACAAAAGCAAAGAAGGUCGGGCAAGGUUUAACCUUGUCGGGCAAGGCUGAUCGUCUUGCAAUUUCCUAUCUUUGUGGGUUAACAGAAGGUUUGAAGGCUUAGAAAAGGGGUUGGGAAAUGAGUUUGCAGAAAGAAAAUCGAUACUACAGCAGGUGUUGAACAGGGUAGCAGAGCUAUUACAAAGGGUUUAUCCCGAAAUGGAUGAAGGCUUGGGCUGACUACAGCUUCGUUUUGAAGGCAAAUCUGGCUUUGAGCAGAGUUUAUGCUUUUGUUUGUUUGUUUGAGUGUCCUUGAUUCUGUCUUCUCUUUCUCCUUUUAUAGACACCUUGGCUUGGCCUCCUGUAGCAAUAAUCUUGCCCGAAUGUAGUUUGAAGGAUAGUGACUCAUCAGCUAUUUACUUGUACUGCCAUUUAAAAGUACUUUUUGGGCUGAUUAGCUGGCUGGUCUAUACCACUUGGCCCUUGGGUAGGUGAGCAAGUGGUCUGCAUGGCCUGCACCUAGUCAGAAACGGGCUUCUCCUGUCUUCUGGACUUCGGCUGGGUUUUGACUGGCCUUGACUGGGUUUCUUCUUUUUAGGCUGCUCUUUGGGCCAACUUCCCCCGGGCCCAAAGUUUAAGUUUUGAUCCAAACAACAACUUUUUUUUCAAAUGAAAAUGAUAAUAUACUACUUCAAGCUACAUACACUUAGAAAGGGGAAAGAGUUUAAUCCGAAACACAAUAAAUUGAAGAGAAAUACUCUAUUCACCAAAGCAAAUUCAUCACUUGCAUUAUGACAUCUUUCUAACAUGCAACUUUUCUUUAUUUCAUUACAUAUCAUAUCUUUUGCAUGUAAAUUUUCUUGAUGAUUUCGAAAUUUUAAAACGAUGCAAAACAACAUUAAUUACUUUAAACUCAAACUAGCUCAAUGAGGAGGAGCAUAUGAAUUCUAUUCAAUUAGCGCACGCCAAGUGUUUGAUAUAUGUUUCGAUGCUCCAGAGUCCACAGGCAUAUCAUUCAUGAUAUUGCAUGCCAUUGUAAAAUGAAAACGUUCAUUAUUGCAUGACUCACGUCAAUGCAUAUUAAUUUUAGAUAUCAUGUAUAAUUAAAAGGGUUUUACUAUACCAAUUGAGUCAUUUUUUCGAUGCGACAAUUACAUUGACAUGUGAUAUUAGUUAUCCAUCAAGUUAUAACGUGCGAAGUACUAACACCAAGUGACGGUGGAGCCAUCUCACUCCAAGAUUAGCCUCAAAGGUGCAUUUUAAACCAGAUGCAGAGUCUUCACUAUGCGCACACACAUAUAUAUGGUAUAAUAGGUAUCUCUGCAAACAUUGUCAGAGGUUUUUGUAGAGCAGGUAAUAUAUUUUUGCAAUUCUGCAGUUUAAUUUCUUGUCAAUAAAAUGGCAAUUGCUUUUAAACUCACUGUUAAAUUAAGGACAGUGCUCAGUGCUAUCACACACCCUUUUUUUUUUUUUUUUUGCUAAUACACUUUAUUUUUACAUGUAAGGAAAAAAAAACAAGACUGCAGGCAUUUUCCUGUACUUAUUCACUGCUAAGAAUAUAUAUAAAAUGUUUAAUUUGAUUUAAAAUUAAUACUACUAGUGCUUUUCGAUGAUGGUUGCACUUCGAUGUAGAAUCUUUGGAAUUGGUACUACUUCAAGGUGUGGUCGGAUUAGGACCUCCGGACGGGGUAGUGCCCCUAAGUAUUUGCCUGAUCAAAGGGAAGAAGGGACGAUCCAUCUGAUGCAAAACAUCAUUCUUCAUCUGAUGCAUAAACUUUUCAUCCCCAUGCAACACUCUGCAGGCUUCGGACGAUUGCAUGUUCAUAAGAAAAACCAUUAAAAACACUGCCACCAAAAAUAUUUUUAAAAACGUCAUUUUGUUGGGCAAACAAAGACUAUUUUGCACCUUAUUUUCUGCGGAAGAAGGAAUGAAUGAAUGAAGAUAAAGCUAAAGGUUUUGUUGCGAAAACAAAGAUUUUGCUUCUAUUUUCUGUCUGUGAAAAACAGAAAGGAUCGAAAGAAAUAAGGAAGGAAUGAAUGAAUGAAUAGAUGGGGAAUAUGGGGCUUCUUAUAUGCAUCAAUUAAGACGAACUUUCAUAUGACUUUGAUUUUUCAAUAUAAAUCUAUUUGUUUCGUUGUUUUGACUAUUAAUUGAUGAUUAUGUGCUAAAGACUUAGAAUUGAAUCGGUCGUCAUAUCCGCAAGGGUUUUGGUUUUAGGGUUUCACUAUAUUGUGGACCUAAAUCAAAGCUAAUUAAUUAUCUAACAACACAAUCCUUUCUUGAUGCCCAAAAAUAGCACAUUUUGUUUUACUCUUAAGUUCCUGUAAGAAACAUUUUACUCAUAAUUUAAGUUGAGCUAUAUAGCUUUUUUACUUAAUUAUUCUAGUACAGUAAAACCUCUAUAUAGUCAUAAUAUUGAAACCAAAUCAAAUUUAUAACUUUAAGCAGGUUAUUACUUAAUAGAGGUGCAACUAAAAAAUAUUAUUAUUUUUUACUUAGUUAUCUUCAAUAAAAAUUGUAUAGAUACAAAGAACUAUUAGUUACGUUAGUUUCCAAGAUGUAAAAUUUGAAAAAUAAAAACACGCAACCCUUAAAAUCUAGGAAACUUUAACGAAAAGCACCCGUUACUGUUCACUUUAACGAAAAACCACAUUUUUACACUACAAAGUCAAUCCUGGUACUAUUCAUUUUACCCUUUAUUUUGUCAUUAUCAUUAAAACUCAAAGUUUUCAAACAUUUUUCAUUAGUUUUCCUUAAAAUCUAUUGCAUGUGUGUACGUAUGUAGUACUUAAGUUAAAUGCCUAUCUAUAAACAUGCUUGUGAAGCUAAAAACAAUAUGGGCUUCAACAAGAAAUUGUUCAUAUUGACGAGGUAUUACGUACUCAUAAGCUCAAAGGCAUGAUAUCAACUCUAAAAAAUAAAUAUUGUCUCAAAUAAUUAUAUAGAAAUAUUUUAAUUAAUCUUAAAUGUUUAUUUCUGACAUUGCAUAUUUUUGUACUUAUGGACAAUUAUUAUUAUAUGGAGGCGAGUUUUCUUGAUAAAGUUAUGACUUAUUACCAAUACAUAACUGGCUCCCAGUUUGGGCAAUAAAUUUUUAUGACUAUAAAGAAGGUUAUUCUUAAAUAGAGCAUUAUUAUAAAGAUGUUUUACUAUAUAUAUUUUAAGCCUUUUUUUUUUAUUAAGUUGUCCUGAUUCAAUUAUUUUGUUCUUUUAGUUUUGUUAACAAUUACUAAUACUAUAGAGGUAUUUUGACCAACUCCUGUAGAGUUUUUGUUACUAUUUUCUUGCAUCACAAUUUUGAACUGAGAUUGGAGUUUGGCACGCAAGUAAAAGCGUGUGUAUAAGGCCUUUGAAGUUUGAACGUUGACUAUUUUAAUUGAAGUUUUAGUACGCUGUUGGUGUAGUAUUGGUGUUAUUUGUGAUGACUCAAGUCUUAUUUGACUUCAAAUGCGUCCAAGCGUGUUUAUUUAAUUAACUAAGACAUCUCAAAACUAAUUACCUCUCUAAUUCACUAGCCAGACCUUAGUAUUGUUUUUUCUUAGUUUUAUAGGAUAAAAUUGAAUAAGAAUAAGUCAUGAUGUCUAGAAAGGUUGUCUAAAAUGACCCCUGUGAAAUUUGAACUUACAAUCUUCUCUGGAAAAAUGAAAAUCAGGUGCCACUAAUCCAAAACGGUAAUGAGCGAACAAAGUGUAUUAAAAUAUUGGGUUAAUCUCUGUUUACUAUCCUAAAGUUUCGUAGUUUUCAAUAUUUGAUACAUGAAGUUUUUUUCAUCCCAGAGUCAUACCUCAAGUCUUAAAUUUGGGAUAAUUUCAUACCUCUGUUAAGUUUUCCUUUAAAACUUUUGUUAACUGAUGACGUGGACAAUAACUGAACGUAGGCCUGGCAAACGGGUCGUGUCUAUCAUGUUCGUGUCGUUUUCGUGUAACACCUGUUAUCUUAACGGGUCGUGUCGUGUCACAUCUGUUAUCUUAACCGGUCCUUAACGGGUAAAGUAACCCGACCCGUUAUGACCCGUUAAGAAAAAUAUAUUUUUUUCUUAAAUUUGCACAUACCUCACAUUACCACAUAAAUAUUGCUUCAAAACAUUAAAACAUAUUUGUCAUUUAAGUACUAUAUCUACACUCGAAAAUAAGAGCCUAAUAAAAAACAAGUUUGACGGUUGGAUCGUUAAAAUUAGUUUCAUAGAAUUCGUAUCCCAUCAAAACGAUAGAUUCACUAACACUUAGAGUUUGUUUAUACUUUCAUUAAGUAUAACAUAAGAUUUUGUGGUAUCCACUUCUGUAAAUAUUUUAAAUUGACGAUCAAAUUCAUUCAUUGUAUUCGUAUAGGGUCAAGGAGUGUAGUUGUAAAAAAAAUCAUCAAAAUCGGAGUUAAAAUAACCGUUAAAUCGUGAUUUUUUGUUUUAUAACCAUCAAAAAGUUUUGUCUCAUUACUUGAUCUUUGAAUGUUUGUUUUUUGUGACUUUUGGCGUAUGCGAUCUCGAAGCAUAUACAAACAAGUUUGACGGUUGGAUCGUUGAAAUUAGUUUCAUAGAAUUUGUAUCUCAUCAAAACGAUAGAUUCACUAACACUUUGAGUUUAUUUAUACUUUCAUUAAGUAUAACAUAAGAUUUUGUAUGUUGUAAAUAUUUUAAAUCAUCAAAAUCGGAGCUAAAAUAACCGUUAAAUCGUGAUUUUUUGUUUUAUAACCGUCGAAAAGUUUUGUCUCAUUACUUGAUCUCUGAAUGUUUGUUUUUUUGUGAUUUUGGCGUAUGCGAUCUCGAAGUAUAUACAAACAAGUUUGACGGUUGGAUCGUUAAAAUUAGUUUCAUAGAAUUCGUAUCCCAUCAAAACGAUUGAUUCACUAACACUUAAAGUUUAUUUAUACUUUCAUUAAGUAUAACAUAAGAUUUUGUGAUAUCCACUUGUGUAAAUAUUUUAAAUUAACAAUCAAAUUCAUUCAUUGUAUUAGUAUAGAGUCAAGGAGUGUAGUUGUAAAAAAUCAUCAAAAUCGAAGUUAAAAUAACCGUUAAAUCGUGAUUUUUUGUUUUAUAACCGUCGAAAAGUUUUGUCUCAUUACUUGAUCUUUGAAUGUUUGUUUUUUGUGAUUUUUGGCGUAUACGAUUUCGAAGCAUAUAAAAACAAGUUUGACGGUUGGAUCGUUGAAAUUACUUUCAUAGAAUUUGUAUCUCAUCAAAACGAUAGAUUCACUAACACUUAGAGUUUGUUUAUACUUUCAUUAAGUAUAACAUAAGAUUUUGUGGUAUCCACUUCUGUAAAUAUUUUAAAUUGACGAUCAAAUUCAUUUAUUGUAUUCGUAUAGGGUCAAGGAGUGUAGUUGUAAAAAAUCAUCAAAAUCGGAGUUAAAAUAACCGUUAAAUCGUGAUUUUUUAUUUUAUAACUGUCGAAAAGUUUUGUCUCAUUACUUGAUCUUUGAAUGUUUGUUUUUUGUGAUUUUUGGUGUAUGCAAUCUCGAAGCAUAUACAAACAAGUUUGACGGUUGGAUCGUUGAAAUUACUUUCAUAGAAUUUGUAUCUCAUCAAAACGAUAGAUUCACUAACACUUAGAGUUUAUUUAUACUUUCAUUAAGUAUAACAUAAGAUUUUGUGGUAUCCACUUCUGUAAAUAUUCUAAAUUGACGAUCAAAUUCAUUCAUUGUAUUAGUAUAGGGUCAAGGAGUGUAGUUGUAAAAAAUCAUCAAAAUCGGAGUUAAAAUAACCGUUAAAUCGUGAUUUUUUGUUUUAUAACCGUCGAAACGUUUUGUCUCAUUACUUGAUCUCUGAAUGUUUGUUUUUUGUGAUUUUUGGCAUAUACGAUCUCGAAGCAUAUACAAACAAGUUUGAUGGUUGGAUCGUUGAAAUUAGUUUCAUAGAAUUUGUAUCUCAUCAAAACGAUAAAUUCACUAACACUUAGAGUUUAUUUAUACUUUCAUUAAAUAUAACAUAAGAUUUUGUGGUAUCCACUUGUGUAAAUAUUUUAAAUUGACGAUCAAAUUCAUUCAUCGUAUUCGUAUAGGGUCAACGAGUGUAGCUGUAAAAAAUCAUCAAAAUCGGAGUUAAAAUAACCGUUAAAUAGUGAUUUUUUGUUUUAUAACCGUCGAAAAGUUUUGUCUCAUUACUUGAUCUCUGAAUGUUUGUUUUUUUCGAUUUUUUGCUGAUGCGAUCUCGAAGCAUAUACAAACAAGUUUAACGGUUGGAUCGUUGAAAUUAGUUUCGUGUAUCCCAUCAAGUUCAAUGGUGUGUGUAUAUAUAUAUAUAUAUAUAUUAUGUAGAUUUAAAUCUAUUUAUUUUGUACGUAUAAUUAUUAUAGUUUUUAGGGGUAUAAAUUUAAUUUAAAACUUAAUAUAUAUAUAUAUAUAUAAUUAUUAUUGUUAAUUUAAUAUAUAUAUAUAUAUAUAUAUAUAUAAUUAUUAUAGUUUUAAACUUGUUAGGGGUAUAAAAUUGUAAAAUUAAUAUAAAUAAUUAUUAUAGUAUUUUUUAGGGUUAUAAAAUUAUUAAAUUAAUAUUCUGCUUAUCGCGUAUCAUGUUACCCACGUGUAUACCCGAACCAACCCGCUAUCUUAAUAGGUGCUUAUCGGGUUACCCGAUAACACCCGAUUCGUUAUCGUGUUGACCCGAACACCUGUUAAUUUCGUGUCGUGUCGUGUCGGGUUAUCGGGUCGUGUCAGGAAUUGCCAGGCCUAACUGAACGCCAAGUGUCAAUAUGGGUCGACUUUAAUAUUAAAAAAUUAGAAAAAUACAAAAUUAUAAAAAUUAUAAAUAUAUAUAUAUAUAACUUGGGUUAUCUCCUACCUCCCCCGACCCACCCUCCCUUCUCCCUCCAUUUUCUCCUCUUCACCCUCACUCCUCUAAUCCCUCCAUCCACCUCAUUACCGCCCUACCAAACCCAUAUCUUCUACACCCUCACUCCCUUACUCCUCUGAUCCCUCCCUCCACCUCACCGCCACCCUACCAAGCCCAUAACCAGUUUUUGCGCCCCCUGCCUCAGCUAAUGCCUCGCAGGCCUCGACUCCGCCAUCGCAGCUCAUCAAGAACCCUUCACCCAUAACCCUCAUUCUGGGUAUGAGCUCCAGAGAAGCAAGUUGUGUUCCAGAACGAGACCCGAAUCGUCAUCGACCAACGCCCUAGACUCGACCCGGCGCAAGUUAUGCAAUGUCAAGGCCCGGAACACUCUGAGCUCUUUAACAUCGACAACGACCGCAAAGGAGUGUCGAGAAAGUUCCAUGUUGAAUUGAGAUAUGGGGAUAAGGACGACGGUGGAGAUGAAGCUAGGGUUUUGGAUUUGGAUACAGAUGCAGAUUCGGAGUUCAAGACGGGCGAGGGUAGGGAUUCGAAGGAAAUUGCAGGGAAGAUGAAGAAGGCUGAGCAAAAAAGUGAAGCAAUGGCGGCGGAAGCAAAAGACGAAGAAGGCUGAGAACGAGGGUUUCGUGGCGGAGAAGAUGAGGGAAACCCAGUCCGAAGUGGGAGAGUGCGCAUUCUACGGUGGUCAAGCCCAGCAACAGUUCCGCCUUCCAGUCCUUCAAAAUGAUAAUUUGGGCGUCGAGUCGGGGUUUUUGCAUUUAGGUAGAAGACGGGUUGCAGAAGGAAGAAGGGAAUGAGGGGGUUGGGGGAGGUAGAAGACGGGUAGGUGAUUUUUAUUUUUAUUUUUUUUGUAUUUUUUUAAUUUUUUUAAUAUUAAAGUAGACCCAUAUUGACACGUGUCGCCCAGUUAUUGUUCACGUGGGUGCCACGUCAUCAGUUAACAGAAGUUCUAACGGAAAACUUAACGGAUGUGUGAAACUAUCCCAAAUUUAAGACUUGAGGUACGACUCUGGGAUGAAAAAAACUUCAUGUACCAAAUGUUGAAAACCACGAAACUUCAGAGUAAUAAACAGAUAUUAACCCUAAAAUAUUAUUGGAGGAAAAUGAAGAGAAUGUGUUGUUUUUAAUUACACGUGCAAGAAAAUUUUGGUACAAAUUAGUUAAUUUGACCACAAAGAAAUGUUGAAUCAUUGAGGAAUAGUUUGGAUCAAAUGAUAUCACUGCUGACAACUUUUUAUCAUGCAUUAGUUUCAAAAUCUUCAAAAGUUUGAAUCACCAUCAAGACCUUUUCUGGUAAUAUAUAUAUAUAUAUAUAUAUAUAUAUGAGAAUUGUUAUUAGCACUCCAAAAAUCUCAUUUGACAUUCUAAAUUUUCUAUAAUUAGAAAGAAAAAUAAAUUUGUGAGAAGUGUAGAAUGAGAUUUUUGGAGUGCUAAUAAUAAUUCUCAAUGUAUUAAGAUGUUUUAUCUUGCGUUUUGUGUAGCAGAUGCAACCUCACUAAUCUGUGGGGUUUUACUGUUUUAGCAGUUGAUUAAUAACAUGAUUUGUUAAAAAAAAUUUGAGAUUUGUUCAUUCAUCUGCUAAUUAGAAUUCAGAUAAAACAAAUAGAAUGAAUGCAAAUAUGGGUAUAGCCAGGUUAGCGAGAGUUGCGUGCUCUCUUCUGCACCAAGUUCGAAUUACUUACGUAAUUUAAUUUAAUUUAGUAUAAACUAUAAAUAAAUAAAAAAGAAAUAGAAUGAGUUCAGUUAUAAUAGUCCCAUGGGUUACAAUUACAACCAAAACUUUUUAGCCAAUUGACCAACAAAAAUAAUGAAAAAAAUGGGUUAUUAUACAUGAAUUCUACCGCAGGGAUGCUAAUCUAGCUAAACAUUAUUCACAUUUUGAACUUUAUAACAUCUGUUGCUCCCGUUUCUUAGUCUCAAUAGUGCCGGCCGGAACGUUAAUUCUCGGUAUUAGUAGGGUGAGGAAUGGCAUGGCCAAGAAGGCUUCAUGCACUAAGUGGUAAAGCUAUUUUCAUCUCAUUCAGGUGCAAACACCUGAGCUGCGGCCGGGGAUGUGGGUGCUGGGAUUAGGGCCAGUUGGUGGCGGUCGACCCAUCUGGAGGGACCGAAACACAAGUACAACACCAUGGUUCCUAGCCCAUUGUUCUGCCUUCAAUUGCCUCAUUUCUCCAACUUUCAGGCAAGAAAACAGAACAAGAACAACAAAAAGAGUUGAGAACAAAGUCCUCCUGUAACAGAACCUCAUCUUUGAUACCCAUAUGGAACUUUACGGUUCGUGUGGUAACGUUUUACAGACCCAUUUUCGAGAAAAUUGCUUUGGAAAGUGAAAAUGAGUUUUCACAGUAGUAUGUAAUAAGGAAAUGGAAUCUAAGAUGAAGUGUGGUGGAGGUAAGACCUGUUAUAUACAGCUCUCUAUAAAUUUCAAAUUGUUCAUGCCUUCGCCUAGUACCUAAGCUAUAAUAUUAAUUCGGAGCUUGAGAUUGACUUGGGCCAGUGGAACUUGAAGGUUAAACCAUGGCAUGGUGGUCCAUAUGUAAUGAAACAAUACACGCUAACUUGAACGCCAAACAGUGUCGCACAGUGUAGUUUGGGUGUAAAGCAAUUGGUCAAGUUUUAAUAGUUGUCUACGAGAAAGAUAUGAUGAGCGUUAUACUUAGACGGAGAAUACACCCGACAAGGACAUAUGCAAGAAUCCGCCUUGAAUUACAAGGCAAAUAGAACCAAAGAAUUAAAAAGUGAACUUUUUGGUGGUUGAUGCAAGCCCUGAGGAAAGCAUAAUACGGAGAGUCAAAUUCAAACAAUAUUUUUAACACAGUAGGCGAAUAGGUGUCACUCGUUGUAGAAAAAUAAUAUAUGGCUGAAUUGUAUAUUCUCAUUGAUACGUGAAAGUAUAUAUAUAUACAAAUACAUUUCUUGAGCAGCAAGGAUUCCUCGUACAAGUUAGGAGUACAGUUACAAUUUAAGUCUAACUACUUUCCUAUUUGUCUAACACUCCCCCUCUAGUUGGAGAGUGAAUGUCAAGAUCGCCCAACUUGCGUAACAUGGUUGAAAAUUUCUCCUUCCCAAGAGGCUUCGUAAAUAGGUCUGCCAACUGAUGUGCCGUACCAACAUACUUGGUAGUUAUAGUGCCAUCAACAAUCUUAUCAUGUAUAAAAUGAUAAUCCAUCUCAAUGUGGUGAGUACGUUCAUGAAAAACAGGGUUGGCAGCUAUAUGCAAUGCUGCUUGAUUGUCACAAAAUAGAUCAGAUGGACCGGUUAAGCACUACUAGAAAAUAUUAUUUUGCCGACAAAUUCUAAGCCGACAAAGUAAAAUUUUGUCGCCACAAGACUCAUUCGCCGACGAAAAUUUUAAUUUGUAGGCUCAUAAUUGUUGAACUUGUGCCGACAAUAUUUUUGUCGGCGAAAAAUAUUUAUGCCUACAAAUAAAAUAACCCUCGGGAAAGCAUGCAGGUUUGUCGACAAUCAGAAGAUGGGAACAGACUAAUUUAUUCUCGCGCCUUUUGUUUUUUGGUCUUUUUGAUUCACCCGCUUCUUCUUUUUAUCGAAAAAUUCCCCCUAUAAAAAUCAUUGUAUUUUCAUUGAACCCUAAUCUUAAUUGUCGAUAGCCCACCCCUCCCUUUCUCUUUGAAAUCGUAACUUUCUGUCUUCCAAUCGAGCUCCAUCGACAUCGCCAUCGCUCCGUAUGCCCGACAUCGCCGUCACUUCGUGUGCUCGACAUCGCUGUCGAUUCGUCUGCUCGCGUUACCGUCGAAGUGCCCGACCAUUCUAGUUUUGAAAUUUCUAAUGCCGGGUGCUUCUCUGCAUUUCGUUCUCUAAAACUUUGGGUAAGUUCUCAAUCUCUAUCUACCCUAUUCUUUCCCCGUAGCUUUUUGGUUAGUUUCAAUUUUAUGGUGCUUUUCUUAGAUUUGUUCUACCACUGUAAUUUUGAGGGAUUUUAGGUAAUGAAUUUGGUUGAGAAUCUAAGUUAGGUUUGUAAUUUCUUUCUGGGCUGCCUGGGUUUGAGGAUGAUUAGUCUACUUUUUGAAUUUUAAUUACUUUUAACUUUUAUUUCUGAGAAACUGCAAUCAAAAUGCAGUUAUGGUUUUAUAGUCAUAAUCAAUUGUGAGUCUUUGCACCACAUCAAUCAAUUCCUAUGUUUAAUCAAUUGAAAUUAGGGUCAUGUUACUAAUGAAGUUGUCGGGUUAAGGUUAUAUGAUAUUUUGCUUCUAGGAUUUGUGUUUUUGUUUUUUAAUCUUUUUCAUUUUUUGUCUAUUAUUAAUUCCUAAACGAGAACAUCAAUUUGGCAAUGCUUAUGUGGUAUUAAUUUAUCUUCUAUCUUCAUUUUAUAUAAUUUGCUUCUGAUUUAUGCGUGUUAUUUAGAUUAUUGAUCAAAUCAACUGUGUUGGAGGCUAGGAUCUCAAAUAAGUAAGUAAAAAAAAUCUGAAUUGUCCCUCUAUUGUGCAGAACACUAUGAGCAAUGAGCUUUCUGCAGGUAAGUUUGAUUGUGAUGAGAAUAUAUUUUAUAUUUUGUUUUCCUCUGCCUUAUGUUUAUCCUAAAUACAUUGAUGACAUCCCUUGCAUUUUCUUGCAUGUCGGAGUAGUUUGAUUAUGUCUAAUGCUAGACAUGAGCAAGAAUCAUACUAGAACAAUGAGCACAGAUUGGCCUACACCUCUGAGAUCCGCACCGCCUCUGAGGGUGACCGCUAUGAGAAAUCGGUCAUUUUCCCAUUACUCUCCCUGGUUUUUAUUGCUUUUAAAGUUCCAAUAUUUAAUCAAAUUAAUAUUCUAGUAGUAGAUAUCUCUACAACUGGGCUGUAUAUUUCAUGAAAAAUUUGAUAUGUGGUCCAAUUCUUCUGUUGCAAUCCUUUAUUGUUCUCGGGGUAUAUUUUUCUCGUUGUUUUGACAACCACCAGUCAUUUGGUACAUGAUUCAUUUUCAAGUCAAUAAUGUUUAGUAACUAUUUAACUUUCUUUCAUCAUUAACUGGUUAGAUUUUAAUCCCAGCCUGUGUAGAAAUGUUUAGUAACGGCACACAUUCAGUUUGGUGAUUUGGAUUCAUUUUUCACUGGUGUUUCUUUGGCAUUAUUUAAUCUUCCAUAAAAAUAGUACUUGUACAGAAAGAGCUUGGGAGGCAAACAAUGCCUGCUCUAUGCGAAGAAGCGCAAGAUCAAAGAAGCUCUAGAAGGUUCGUUAUCUCUCUAGUCUAUAACGUAUAUAUGAUCAGUUAUAUAUGAAAGUUACUUUUUUCUUUUGUUUAUAAUGUAUCACUGUCGUAAAGUCUUGUGUAAUCUGGUGAUAAUUUGAACAUGUAAUUGUUUAGUUUUUCAUCAAGUUAUGCUGUUGAUUCUUCAUGGCUUUCAUUUCUGAAUCUCAGUCCCAAGGUCACAUCAACAAUACGUAUGCAAACGCAUCUCAAAGAGACCCGAAAAUUUUGAUGACUACUACCUGGGACCCGAGUGCUCCACUAAUACAAUUUGCAAAGGUUGGCCUAGCCUUUUUCCUUACUUAUCACAUUAUUCAAAUCAGUUUUGCUGCACUCUUGUGUUCAUUUUGGUGGUAUCAUGCUGUGUUGGUUAUUGAUUGUCGUUUUUGUUGCACGCGUGUCCAUUUUGGUGAUAUUAUACAAGGCGGGUGUUGAUUAUUGAUUGUCGUUGAAUCACACUGGUGCAAGAACUGAAACUCUUUUUUCCCAUUGCGCUACAAAUGAAUCGUGGUGGCCAGGUUGGUGCACAUUUUCAAUGAGCCUUCUAACUAUUUGGUUAUUGUUUGUGUUUUGUAACAUUUACUUUGCACCUAUUUGGUUAUGUUUGUGUUUUGUAACAUUUAUUUUGCAGGUGCAUGAUGUUUUGUGAUGCUACAUGGCAGCCAAUUUUGAGGAAUGACAGUAGGAUAAUAUUAUUGUGUAACAUAUGCUUUCGUAUAAGCACUCUAGAUGUACAUUAAAAAUUUAUCAAUCAAUAAAGUAUUAUUUCUUAACAACUGUGUAUUGUAUUUUGACAUGUUUAUGUAGUUGUUGAGCAUUAAAGUAAUUAUUAAAUUUUUUUUUUAUAAAUUAAAUGUCCUUCCCGACGAAACCAGUUUUGUCAAGACAGAGAAGACUAUGCCGACGAAAUAUCCAUGGUGACAAACAUAUUUUGUUGGCUUAAAAGUACUUGGUCGGCUAAAAUGCCUUUUACCGACGAAAAUAUUUGUCGAGACACAUGGAAAUGCCGACAAAAAACUGUUUGUCGGUAAAAUUUGAACCUUAGCCGACAAAAUACCACAAUUUGUAGGGAAAACUCUUAGGCGACAUGCUUUGCGAGACAAAAUGGCCGACAAAUUUUUUCGUCGGAAAAGACUCUUUGCCGACAAAUUUUGGCCUUUGCCGACAAAGUAGUUUUGUAGGUAAAGUCAAAAUUUGUAGUAGUGAAGGGAACGUUCAAAUCUUUCAAUAGAAAGCGCAGCCAAAUUAUCUCACAACAAGCACCCGACAUAGCUCUAUAUUCCACUUCAGCAGAAGAAAGUGACACAGUUUUCUGUCGCUUUGUCCGCCAUGAAAUCAAAGAAUUUCCCAAGAAAACACAGUAGCCAGUAGUCGACCGAAGAGUAAUAGGACAACCCGUCCAGUCAGAAUCACAAAAAGCAGUCAACUUGAUUUGAUUGUUAGAACGGAAUAGUAAGCCUUGACCCGGAGUAGACUUCAAAUAACGAACAACUCGAAGUGCAGCAUCCAUAUGAGGAGUACACGGCUCAUGCAUAAACCGACUUAGAACAUGCACAGGGUAGGUGAUAUAUGGGCGAGUUAUUGUGAGAUAAAUUAACCAUCCUACUAGACGCCGAUACUUUUCAAGAUCCUUGAGAGUUCCCCUUUGUCAGAUAGUUUUGUAUCGUCCAUAGGAAAGGCAAUGGGUCGUGCUCCCAGGAAGCCAUAAUCUUUGAGAAUCUCUAAUGCAUAUUUACGCUGAGAAAUAUAAAUGCCAUGUUUGGACUGAGAAACCUCGAUCCCCAGAAAGUACUUUAAAUCACCAAGAUCCUUAAUCCGGAAGUGAUUGUGGAGAAAAAGUUUCAAAGAAGCAAUUGCACCCACAUCAUUGCCUGUUAUCACAAUAUCAUCCACAUAAAUGAGCAAGGCUGUAAAAGAAAUACCUGACUUUUUCUUAAACAAUGAAUAGUCAGCUUUGGAUUGUUGAAACCCAGCAAAAAGAAUGGCAUUAGUGAACUUGGCAAACCAUUGACGAGAAGCCUGCUUGAGACUAUAAAGAGACUUGUGAAGGCGACACACAAGAUUCUCCCUCUGUCGCCGAAGACCAAGAGGAUGAGACAUAUAGAUUUACUCAUCUAAAUCACCAUGCAAGAAAGCAUUAUUGACGUCAAGUUGAUAAAGAGACCAAGAUUGACUAGCAGCAAGGGCAAAAAGAUAGCGUACAGUGAUCGACGCCAGUUAGGAUCAAUGGCAGCCUCUGCAAAAGAAGAUGGUUCGACACCCCAACUCAUAGAGUAGAUAUAUGAAAGAUGAUGUGGAGAUAAACAAUGAUAAGAAACAUAAUUACAGAGGGGAUACCGCGUACCUUUGACAAAACCUGGUGGCGAAAACGAGGACGGGUGUGGGGGCAAAAUCACCUGCGAGCAAACGUAGUCCUUUAAGUAAGGUGGGGGUGCAUGGGAGCAGGAAGACACACGGAGAGAUGGAGAGGGUGUAUAUGAGGGCAUGGAUGGGGGAGCGGGUGGGACCGUGGGUGGGGGAAGGGAAUCAUGCGGGGCGGUGCUGGGAAUUGGGUCAGAAGGGGGGAAAAUAAUAGGUAAUGAGGGAGGGGGUGGUGGUGUAGGGCCCGGGGAGAUGGGAAAAGGGACAUCCAUUAAGGGAGGAAUGGGUAGGGAGAUGUUGUGGGAUGAGGGGUUUAUGACAGGUGUAGUGGGAGGGGAAGCAAAAGGAAAAGAGUCCUCAUGGAAGAUGACAUCCUAACUAGUGAAGGUGCGAUAUGUGUCAAGGUCAUAGAGUUUAUAAGCCUUUUAACCAGCAGGGUAACCAAUAAAGAUACAACGAUGAACCCUAGGAGAGAACUUAGUGGUCGGAAGAACGGAUGUGGCAUAGGCUAAACAACCGAAAACACGAAAGUGAUCAUAUAGUGGAGGUUUAUUGUGGAGGACUUCAAAAGGUGUUUUGUUAUUGAGAAGGCGGGUAGGAAGACGAUUGAUGGUAUAGGCGGCAGUGAGUAUACAUUCGCCCCAAAACUUGAAGGGAAGGUGUGAUUGAAACCGAAAGGCCCGAGCAAUUUCAAGGAGGUGCCUGUGUUUGCGUUCAACAACGCCAUUUUGCUGGGGUGUGUAUAGGCCUGGCAAACGGGUCGUGUCAGUCGGGUUCGUGUCGUUUUCGUGUAACACCUGUUAUCUUAACGGGUCAUGUCGUGUCACACCUGUUAUCUUAACGGGUCCUUAAUAGGUCGGGUCACUUUACCUAACGGGUAAAGUGACCCGACCCGUUAUGACCCGUUAAGAAAAAUAUUUUUUUUUUCUUAAAUUUGCACAUACCACACAUUGUCACAUAAAUAUUACUUCAAAACAUUAAAAUACAUUUGUCGUUUAAGUAUUACAUCUACACUCGAAUAUAAGAGCCUCAUAAAAAAUACAUCCAUACACUAUUAAUCUAUUACAAAUAUUAAAUGUGCAAGGAUAUGCAAAAUGAAAGCGUUUUUGUUUUCAAGGUUGUGAAGUCUUUCUCAAAAGUUUAAACCUUGCCAAUGGAACUCAAAGCUUAAUGAAAGUGACCCACUAGUGUGUUUAUUCGUAAUUUCAUUAAGUAUAACAUAAGAUUUUGUGGUAUCCACUAGUGUAAAUAUUUUUAAUUGAAGAUCAAAUUCAUUCAUUGUAUUCAUAUAGGGUCAAAGAGUGUAGUUGUAAGAAAUCAUCAAAAUCGGAGUUAAAAUAACCGUUAAAUUGUGAUUUUUCGUUUAUAACCGUCGAAAAGUUUUGUCCCCGUUACUUAAUCUUUAAAUGUUUGUUUUUUUCAAUUUUUGGCGUAUGCGAUCUCGAAGCAUAUACAAACACGUUUGACGGUUAGAUCGUUGAAACUAGUUUCGUAAAAUGCAUAUCCCAUCAAAACAAUAGAUUCACUAACACUUAAAAGUUUAUUCUUACUUUCAUUAAGUAUAACAUAAGAUUUUGUGGUAUCCAAUAGUGUAAAUAUUUUAAAUUGAAGAUCGAAUUCAUUCAUUGUAUUCAUAUAGGGUCAAUGAGAUUAGCUGUAAAACAUCAUCAAAAUCGAAGUUAAAAUAAUCGUUAAAUCGUGAUUUUUCGUUUAUAACCGUCGAAAAGUUUUGUCUCGUUACAUGAUCUCUGAAUGUUUGUUUUUUGCAAUUUUUGGUGUAUGCGAUCUCGAAGUAUAUACAAACAUGUUUGAUGGUUAGGUCGUUGAAACUAGUUUCGUAAAAUGCGUAUCCCAUCAAAACAAUAGAUUCACUAACAUUUAAGAGUUUAUUCAUACGUUCAUCAAGUAUAAUAUAAGAUUUUGUGGUAUCCACUAGUGUAAAUAUUUUAAAUUGAAGAUCAAAUUCAUUCAUUGUGUACAUAUAGGGUUAAGGAGUGUAACUGUAAAAAAAUCAUCAAAAUCGAAGUUAAAAUAACCGUUAAAUCGUGAUUUUUCGUUUAUAACCGUCGAAAAGUUUUGUCUCGUUACUUGAUCUUUGAAUGUUUGUUUUUUGCAAUUUUUGGUGUAUGCGAUCUUAAAGUAUAUAUAAACAUGUUUGAUGGUUGGAUCGUUGAAACUAGUUUCGUAGAAUGCGUAUCCCAUCAAAACAAUAGAUUCACUAACACUUAAGAGUUUAUUCAUACUUUCAUCAAGUAUAACAUAAGAUUUUGUGGUAUCCACUAGUGUAAAUAUUUUAAAUUGAAGAUCGAAUUCAUUCAUUGUAUUCAUAUAGGGUGAAGGAGUGUAGCUGUAAAAAAUCAUCAAAAUCGGAGUUAAAAUAACCGUUAAAUCAUGAUUUUUCGUUUAUAACCGUCGAAAAGUUUUGUCUUGUUACUUGAUCUCUGAAUGUUUUUUUUUUUUACAAUUUUUGGCGUACACAAUCUCAAAGUAUAUACAAACAUGUUUAACGGUUGGAUCGUUGAAACUAGUUUCGUAGAAUGCGUAUCCCAUCAAAACAAUAGAUUCACUAACACUUAAGAGUUUAUUCAUACUUUCAUCAAGUAUAACAUAAGAUUUUGUGGUAUCCACUAGUGUAAAUAUUUUAAAUUGAAGAUCGAAUUCAUUCAUUGUAUUCAUAUAGGGUGAAGGAGUGUAGCUGUAAAAAAUCAUCAAAAUCGGAGUUAAAAUAACCGUUAAAUCGUGAUUUUUUCGUUUAUAACCAUCGAAAAGUUUUGUCCCGUUACUUGAUCUUUGAAUGUUUGUUUUUUUGCAAUUUUUGGUGUCUGCGAUCUCGAAGCAUAUACAAACAAGUUUGACGGUUAGAUCGUUGAAACUAGUUUUGCAAAAUGCGUAUCUCAUCAAAACAAUAGAUUCACUAACACUUAAGAGUUUAUUCAUAUUUUCAUUAAGUAUAACAUAAGAUUUUGUGGUAUCCACUAGUGUAAAUAUUUUAAAUUGAAGAUCGAAUUCAUUCAUUGUAUUCGUAUAGGGUCAAGGAGUGUAGCUGUAAAAAAUCAUCAAAAUCGGAGUUAAAAUAACCGUUAAAUCGUGAUUUUUCGUUUAUAACCGUCGAAAAGUUUUGUCCCGUUACUUGAUCUCUGAAUGUUUGUUUUUUGCAAUUUUUGGUGUAUGCGAUCUUGAAGCAUAUACAAACAAAUUUGACGGUUGGAUCGUUGAAACUAGUUUCGCAAAAUGCGUAUCUCAUCAAAACAAUAGAUUCACUAACACUUAAGAGUUUAUUCAUAUUUUCAUUAAGUAUAACAUAAGAUUUUGUGGUAUCCACUAGUGUAAAUAUUUUAAAUUGAAGAUCGAAUUCAUUCAUUGUAUUCAUAUAGGGUCAAGGAGUGUAGCUGUAAAAAAGUAUCAAAAUCGGAGUUAAAAUAACCGUUAAAUCGUGAUUUUUCGUUUAUAACCGUCGAAAAGUUUUGUCUCUUUACUUGAUCUCUGAAAGUUUUUUUUUGCAAUUUUUGGUGUAUGCGAUCUCGAAGUAUAUACAAACAUGUUUGACGGUUGGAUCGUUGAAACUAGUUUCGUAGAAUGCGUAUCCCAUCAAAACAAUAGAUUCACUAACACUUAAGAGUUUAUUCAUACUUUCAUCAAGUAUAACAUAAGAUUUUGUGGUAUCCACUAGUGUAAAUAUUUUAAAUUGAAAAUCGAAUUCUUUCAUUGUAUUCAUAUAGGGUCAAGGAGUGUAGCUGUAAAAAAAUCAUCAAAAUCGGAGUUAAAAUAAUCGUUAAAUCGUGAUUUUUUGUUUACAACCGUAGAAAAGUUUUGUCUCGCUACUUGAUCUGUGAAUGUUUGUUUUUUGUAAUUUUUUGUUGAUGCGAUCUCGAAGCAUAUACAAACAAGUUUGACGGUUGGAUCAUUGAAAUUAGUUUCGUAUAAUUUGUAUCCCAUGAAGUUCAAUGGUGUGUGUGUGUAUAUAUAUAUAUAUUUAUUUAUUUAUUAAGUAGAUUUGAAUCUAUUUAUUUUGUAUGUAUAAUUAUUAUAGUUUUUAGGGGUAUAAAAUUUAAUUUAAAAUUUAAUAUAUAUAUAAAUAUAAUUAUUAUAGUUAAUAUUUUAGGGGUAUAAUUAUUAUAGUAUAUAUAAUUAUUAUAAUUAUUAUAGUUAAUUUAAUAUAUAUAUAUAUAUAUAUAAUUAUUAUAGUAAUUUUUUAGGGUUAUAAAAUUAUUAAAUUAAUAUUCUACUUAUCGUGUAUCGUGUUACCCACGUGUAUACCCGAACCAACCCGUUAUCUUAACAGGUGAUUAUCGGGUUACCCGAUAACGACCCGUUUCGUUAUCGUGUCGACUCGAACACCUGUUAAUUUCGUGUCGUGUCGUGUCGGGUUAUCGGGUCGUGUCAGGAAUUGCCAGGCCUAGGUGUGUAAACACAAGAAGUUUGAAAAACAACCCCAUGUUCAGAGAAAAAAUGGCGAAGAGAAUAAAAUUCCCCCGCCAUUGUCGAUACGUAUGGUUUUAAUGGUGGUGUUAAAUUAGGUGAGAACAUAGGCAAAAAAAUGUUUGAGAAUUUGUUGAGUAUCAGAUUUAUGCUUCAUCAUGAAGACCCAGGUAAAACAAGAAAAGUCAUCCACAAUAGUAAAAAAAAUAAUGAGUGCCAGUAAGAGAAGGUUGACGAUUUGGACCCCAAAUAUCACAAUGAAUUAAGGAAAAAGGAAAAGUCGAUGAAAUUGAACAUAAACCAAAAGAUUGACGAGUUUGUUUCGCCAAAGGACAAACAUCACGAACAUGACUAGAACCCAAAGAACAUGUGAGAAUACUAGAUGUUGAAACUUGUAAACGAGCAAAAGAGGGAUAACCGAGGCGCCUAUGCCAGAGGGAGGAGAGUAUGGUGAUGACGUUGCAUAGAGGUUGGCGGAAGGGGAGAGAGGCAAAGGCCACGAGGUAGUAAAGGUUGCCACGUCGCUUACGCACACCAAUCGUCGCUUUCGAAACCAAGUCUUGCAAAAUGUACCAAGACGGGAAAAAGGUCACAGAACAAGAUAAACCAUCUAUAAGCUUACCAACGGAUAAAAGGUCCACUUUAAAAUUAGGAACAUAUAAAACAUCCUUCAAGUCAAUUGAGGAAUUUAAGCGAAGAGUGCCAAUUAAAGUGAUUGGAGCCGUGGCACCACUAGGCAAGGAGACGGGCGACAAAGGUGAAGCAGAAGUAUGAACCAAAUUGGAAGAUGAGGAAGUAAUAUGCUUGAGGAGAAGACGACGAGGCUGCGGAAUCAUCAAGGGCAACAAGGAGACGAGUGUAUUGAUCAGUGGAUAUAUUGGGCAUGGCUAACUACAGGUCGUGAAGGCUGGGAGAGAUGUGCACCUGAUGGGCAAAUGGUGAAGAGCGCGGUGUGAAGGUGCUGGAGUUACUGCCUGAAGAGAGCUGGAGGCUCCUAGAAGGCCGUGAAGGCAUUGGGGCGCUGCGGGCAAAAGAAGCAGCAGUGUUGCUGCGAGAGAAGCUGCCAGAUGUGGAUGCGCGGCGUGGUGGGUGCUAGGGUUGUCCAUGAAGAAGGUGGCCAACGGGAUAACCAUUCAACUUAUGACAGGUCUCACGAGUAUGGAAAUCGUAGUUGCAAUAGGUACAAUGGAGCGAAGGUCUGUCUGAGGAGGUGCGGGAAGAAUUGCGGACAACCAUGGCAGCGAGAGAGUCGGUGGGACGGACAGAGCCCAAAGAUCUUUGUUUCUCGGCCUAAGAAACAGAAGAACAGGCUUGAGGAACAAUAGGUAAAGGAUUCAUCAAGAGGAUUUGGUCACGAACAGCAGAAAAAGAGUCGUGAAGACCCAUGAGGAACUGCAUAAGGUGUUGUCGUUCAGACUUGGUGCCACAAGAGCACGUGCAGCCGUCACUAUAAGAGGCAAGCACAUCCCAAAUAACUUUGAAGCGAGUGAAAUAAGCAGAGACAUAAGAGGAUCCUUGAGAAAUUAUAGCAAGCUCACGGUUGAGUUGGAAGAUGCGAGGCGCGUUGCUCUGAGAAAAUCGUUCAUGAAGCUCGUCCCAUACAUCCUUAGCAGUGGUGUUAAAAAGAAAGGAUUCUUGUAGAUCAGGUUCCAAGGAAUGAAGAAGCCAAGAAAGAAUCAUGUCAUUGCAACGACGCUAAGCCGCGUGAGCAUCAGAAUCAUCGGAGGAAGAAGGUUCCUGAACAUUGCCAUUGAUGAAACCAAGCUUGUUCUUGGCACUCAAGGAAAUCUGCAUGCCACAAGCCCAAGAGUAUAAUUAUCACCAUUUAAUUUUUUGGAGACAAGAACAAGGUUUGGGUGGUCUGAAUGAUGAAUGUAAAAGGGGCCGUCGGAGGAAGAAGAGUUGGCCAUAAGGAACGGCAGAGAUGUCGGCCGAAAAAAAAAAGGAAAAAAAAAAUAGAGCUAGGGUUUUGAACCUACUCUGUAUACCAUGUAGAAAAAUAAUAUAUGGCUGAAUUGUAUAUUCUCAUUGAUACGUGAAAGUACAUAUAUAUAUACAAAUACAUUUCUUGAGCAGCAAGGAUUCCUCCUACAAGUUAGGAGUACAAUUACAAUUUAAGUCUAACUACUUUCCUAUUUGUCUAACACUCCUCAGCUGGUUUUAACAUGACUGAAAACAAAUUCCCUUUGUCUUGAUUUUGAUUGAGCUGUUUAUGAGUCUUGACUUGCAGAGAAGCCAUGACCAAAGGUUCCCCGCAUCCCCAAUAAAAAGGGGUACAUAUUUAUCAAUCCAACCCAAUUCCAUUUAAAUUAUGGAGUUUGAAUAGCAAAUCGUAUGACAAUAAAAACUUGGGUGUAACCAUGAUAUAUCCACAUCACCGUGUAGCACGCAUCACUUGACCAAGUCACGUGUAGGAAUCUCCCCUUACUUGAGGGCUGGCUCUGGCCAAUUCAUAUAAACAUGCAUGCAUAAACUGUAAAACAGUAAACUCAGAAGCCUUCCAAAGAAAGCGACGUAGAGAGAUAAAUCCAUAGCAACCAUUCAGUGGAUCUUCCAAACAUGUUCAAAAUUACAAAGAGCUGUUUUUCAUAUAUUAACAAAUAACUUCGUACAAUAAUAUGAAUUUGAAGUUAUAUAACAAAUCGUCACGGGAUAAAGACACUCUAUAGUUACUCGACAACAAGAAAACUCACGUUUAUAUAGGGCAGAUGCAUAAAGAUACAUGUAAUAACUUACGAAACAACUUUACAGUCAGAACAUUUCGAUACAGAGGCCACCAGCUUCUCCUUUAAUUGCUCGGCAUCACCGCCUUGAGUUUGAAUCGAGAAUGUAUGAAUAACCUUAUCGUUGUCUGUUAUGGAAACGUUAGACUCUUGAGCUACAAUUUUAUGUACCCUAAGUGUUCUAGGUUUCCGCUCAUCAGUUUGUGUCGAGGACUCAUCCUUGAGCAGCUCCGAACUUGAAACUCUUGUCUGGACAUUGAAACUGUCAACCAUUAUUUGGUUCAUUUACGGAAACAGUUUUACUUCACUAUCCUCACUUCGACAUCCAUUUGAAGUGCCUUCUGUUUAGAAUUCAAACGAUUCCAGCGACUGGAUUUGAUCAGCCACCUCCGUGUCUAUGUGGAGACAUUUUGUGCUGAGAAAAUUCCUUGACCAGAAGAUUUCAACCUUCACCGUAAAGAUCAUUUUCCGGCACCUUCGUCUCUACGUGAAGACAUGUUUUGCUGAGAAAAUUCCUUGACCAGAAGAUUUUGACCUUCCCCGUAAAGACCAUUUUCCGGCACCUCCAUAUCUACGUGAAGACAUGUUGUGAUGAGAAAAUUCCUUGACUGGUAGAUUUCGACUUUUCCCGUAAAGAUCACUUUUCAGCACCUUCGUACCUAUGUAGAGAUUUGCUGCGCCGAGAAGAUUCUUGACGAGUAAAUCCGAGUCGUUGAAGAUGAACAACUUGGAGUUCUUCUUGGAUUGAUAUACUUUGCAAAACGGCAGUCUUCUUUUCCAAAGUUGACGGCGGUCCUCUUCUCAGGAAAACAGCAGCACCAUUUUGGUGCACUUUAGCGCAGCCGUCUUAUCCAAUGCCGGCAACAUUUUUUGUGGUUAGCAUCCGUCAGCUUUUUUUCUUCUUCUAAUUGGUCGGAGAGAGAACUUUUCCAGCGACUAGAUUUGAUCUGCCACCUCCUUUUGAUGGAAAACAUAAUUAAAUUAGAGCUAACCAUUAGGUUUAACGUCUAUUACGAUCUUAUACAACAUCUUCAAAAAAUUUCACUUUCAUACAUCACAUACUAUUUUAUUUCAAUAUAAAACCUCUAUUACAUUUUUUAUUCAUUAAUCUGUUAAAAACUGAUGUGAUUGUCAUAUUUAUGCCACGUGACUAAACACUUAAUAAAAAUUUUAAAAUAUUAAAAUUAAAAAUAAAAAACUUAUCUUUCUCAACCCAUCUAACGCAGGAGGUUCAUCCUCUCCCACCCCUGAAGAAAUCAUGCACCACUCUGAUGAUUUGAUUUUAAUCAAUUUGUGCUUACAAAUUUCUCAUACCCAAUUCUUCUGAGCCGCUCCUUUUUCUGUGCUGACUUUAAUCAAUUUGCGAACUCGGUGGAGGAGCUGGAGCCAACAAAACCUUCUACAAAAAUCUCUGAAUCGAUGCCGAAUUUCCAAAGUUUAUCGAGAUCCAAGCCGUUGGCUUUAAGGAGGGCGAUGGAUUCUGGGAAAUUGGGGUCAACUUCCUCGUCAAAACCCCGGAAGUCGAACUCCCAGGUGCCGCCGACGUCGCCACUUUCGGUGAUACCGCGGUGGAAUCGGGGACUGAAAUGGGGACGAAGUCGAUCUCGCUUGACUUCACCUACGAAAUGGGGACGAAGGCACCGAGUUUUUCUCAGCCAUUUUCUCGAACAGCUUGCCUACUUCCACCAUAGGCAGUCUGAGAGCUUAAAUUCUAUUUCUGAGUUCUCUCUCUCUUGAGGAAUGAGGCUCUGUUGGGGUUUUUCACCAAGGAUUGCUGCGUAUUUUUUGCUUAAUUUUGAGUUUUGAUUUCUAGGUUUUUGCUGUUUUAUCUUGGGCCUUUGGAUUCUAUACCCGAAACCCGUAUAUUUUCAGAUCCAAUUAGUCUCUCUCAAGUUUUUUAGAUCGAAAUCUGAAUUUAUUUUUUUGUUUCUGCUGAGAUUAUGUGUUGUUGUUUAUGCCACGAUGAGCCACCACUUGCAGAGAGUUGGGGAGGUGAAGAGAAAUUGGAGCUUGGAGAAGAUGGGUUUUAGGGAUUGGGAGGGGUGGUGCACUGGUGGUUAUGGAGAUUGGAGGAGAUGGGGGGUCGGGUGGAAGACGAAGGGUGCUGUUUUUUUAUUUUUUUAUUUUUUGGGUUUUAGGGAUUGGGAGGGGUGGUGCGCUUGUGGUUAUGGAGAUUAGAGGAGAUGGGAGGGUUCGGUUCGGUGGAAGACGAAGGGUUCUAAUUUUUUUAUAUAUAUUUUUAAUUAAUUAACUUAAUAUUGUAAAUUUUUCAUUAAGUAUUUAGCCACGUAGCACAAAUAUAGCAGUCACAUGACACAAUCAGCUUAUAACGGACCAAUGAAUGAAAAAUGUAACAGAUGUAUUAUAUUGAAAUAAAAUAGUAGGUGGGAUAUGAAAAUAAAUUUUGUUGAAGAUGUUGUAUGAGGUUACAAUAGACCUCAAACCUGAGGUGUUAAAGUAUAAAAUACCCUUAAAAUGAACAUUUUUUGGAUCUCACGAAAUUAUAUAUGAUCAUAGUAAAAAUGAGAAAUGAUCAAUUCAUUUGCUUGCUCCGCUAACUGAUCGAUUAGAACUGAGAAGUAAAGCAUGGUGGGAAGCGUUUAUAAGGAUCUUGAAAGUUUGAAUGUUUAAAUUUGUUGUAUUUGGGUAUGCAAACCUUUUACACGACAUGACCUAUACUCGGACAAAAAGUUGAAUUUUAUCUUUGAUCACUAAAGUCCCAUUUAACCUUGAAAUAAUGUAUCAUGCAUUAUAAGGAGAAUAACUUAGUGCCGUAAAGUAUAAAUUAUGGUGUAAAAAGUCCUCGUUGUAAAUUUUGAAAAUUUGUUAAUAUGAUCAUAUAUAAGCAGUUACUAAAUUUAGUGAUGUCCCCUUUUUUUUUUUUUUUUUUUGCCAAAGCUUGAGAUAUCUCACAUUUCAAAAGGUAGGACUAAUUUUUAGUGGAGCCCAAAAAGGCUAAAAGUAGUCCAGCCUAUCCCUGGUCACAGUUAAAUACCACACUUCCUCCAAAAGCUUUUAAUAUUAACCAUAAAAUCACUCGUGUUUUUACCAGCUUUGUGCCUCGAACUAGAGACCACAGAGCAUACAUGUUGAAAUUUUACCAUGUUUCUACUUGACCACUUGCCGUGGUUGUUGUUUAUACUAUUAUCAAGAAAACAAACUUGGUUGUAAUUUUUUUUUUAAAUACCACAUAUGUCUCCACAUUUUAUUCUAUUUUUCCUUAGUGGCGAUAAAUAACCUUUAUAUAACAAGACUAAAAUAGGAAUUUUGUGGAUUUAAAUUAUUAAAUUAAAUUAGAAUUCUUCCACGUUUUUCUCCAUCUUUUUUCAAUAUGUUUCUCCCAUAAAACGUUUGAAUGUUUGUAGUAUGCAAACCUUUUUUUCACGACAUGACAUAUACUCAGACAAAAAUUGAAAUUUAUCGUUGGUUGCUAAAGUCCCAUUUGACCUUGAAAUAAUUUAUCAUGCUUUAUUAGGAGAGAGAAUAAAGUGUCUUAACGAAUAUAAAUUAUUAUUUAAUAAAUCCCCGUAAAAUUUGGAAAAUCAUAAGGUGUUACUAAUUUAAAUGUUGUCUAUAAAUAUGUGUGUGUGUGUGUCUACAUAUAUUUUUUUUGCCAAAUUUGGAGGUAUCUCACAUCCCAAAAGAUAAGAUUAAUUCUUAAUGAGGCCCGUAGAAACUAAGGCAUUUCACCUAACUUCUGGCUUCAGUCAAAUAGCAGACAUCUUCCUAAAGCUUUCAACCAAAAAAUCAUGUGUUUUUACCAGCUUCGUACCUCAAACUCAAGACCACGAAGCAUACAUGGUUUGGAAUUUUACGACGUUUCUACUAGACCAUUGAUUCUCUUGGCUACGACACUAGUUCUAUUCAAACUGUUAACUAUGAUUCGGAUUUUCUGCCAAACUUCAAGUUCCCCCUGCGUCCUAAAAGCGAAAAAGGCAAGUCGAAUUCCCAGGCCAAGGGAAAUACCUUCAUUCAGCUCGGAGCGAUUCUUUACUAUUAUUUAGAGCACACAUUCUGUAAGACUCUUUUUUUGUUUUUUGAAAAUACCAUUUAUGUCCCCACAGUCCCAUUUUUUAUCCUUAGUUGCAAUAAAUAACCUUAAUAUAAUAAGAUUAAAAUAGGAUUUUAUUUAAAAUUCUUCCAUAUUUUUCUCCCACUUCUCUUUUGAUAUGUUUCUCCUACAUACAUAGCAUGUGUGAGAUUGCCAUUAUAACAAAGAGUUGAUUAGUAAUUCAUGUCAAGUGGUGAUAUAACAGUUACAUUAAAGAUCUUCUCAAUAAUUUCGAGUAAUGUAUUGUGACAAUUUUUUUUUAAAUGAAAAUGAUAAUAUACCACUCUAAGCUAUGUACACUUAGAAAUAAAAAGAGUUUGAUCUAAAACACAAUGAAUCAAAGAGAAAGACUGUUCACCAAAGCAAAUUCAUCACUUGAAUUGUGACACAACUUUUCUGACAUGCAACUUUUCCUUAUUUCAUUACAUAUCAUCUCUUUUCCAUGUAAAUUUUCUUGAUAAUUUCCAAAUUUUAAAAUGAUGCAAAACAACAUUAACUAGUUUAAACCCAAACUAGCUCAAUGAGGAGCAAGGGCGAAGCUACAAAGAAGCCCCUCCCCUUGUCCGAACUCAUGCACAGGAACGGUGGUUCUGCCCCUCUGGUCCUUUCGGAAGUUCUGGGUUCCUGCAGUUCUUCUGGUUCUGGGUUUUCCUUCCCUGGUGAUGCGCAAUUGGGGUGGAGCAUAUGAAUUGUAUUCAAUUAGCGCACACCAAGUGUUUGAUAUAUAUUUUGAUGGUCCACAGGUUUAUCGUUCAUGAUAUUGCAUGCCAUUGUAAAAAGAAAACACUCGCAUGACUCACGUCAAUGCAUAUUAAUUUUAGAUCUCAUGUAUAAUUAAAAGGGUUUUACCAUACCGAAUGAGUAAUUUUUUCGAUGUGAUAGUUAUAUUGUCACGUGUGUUACUUAUCCAUCAAGUUAUAACGUGCAAAAUACUAACACCAAGCGACAGUGGAGCCAUCUCACUCCAAGAUUGGCCUCAAGGGUGCAUUUUAAACCAGAUGCAGAGUCUUCACUAUGCGCAUACACACAUAUAAGGUAUAAUACGUAUCUCUCUGCAAACAUUGUUAGAGGUUUUUGCAGAGCAGGUAAUAUAUUUUCGCAAUUCUGCAGUUUAAUUUCUUGUCAAUAAAAUAACAAUUACUUUUAAACUCACUGUUAAAUUAAGGAAAGUGAGCCACACAUUUUUUAUUAUCUCUCACAAAUCUUUCCUAAUUCUGGCCGUCGAAUUAAAAUAAAUUGAAAAAGAUUAAUGGACAAAAAUAACAAUGAUAUGUUAGAGGUAAAAAAAUGUGUGUGAAUAACACAAUCCUAAAUUAAAAGGUAUAAACUCAUGCUAGAGCUACAGAUGCAUACAUGCCCAAAAAAAAUAGUACAUAAAUAAUUUAUUCUAUACUUCGUUUUAUUCAGUCAACUUCAUAUGCAUUGUGAAGCAUACACUUUAUUUUUACAUGCAAGGAAAAAUAAAAAACCUAUAGCUAGACAGGCAUUCUCCUGUACUCAUUCACUGCUAAGAAAAUAUAUCAAAUGUAAUUUGAUUUAAAGUUAAUUCUGCUAGUGCUUUUCGUUGAUGGUUGCACUUCGAUGUAGAAUCUUUGGAAUUGGUACUAUUUCAAGGUGUGGUCGGAUUAGGACCUCCGGACGGGGUACUACCCCUAAGUAUUUGCCUGAUCAAAGGGAAGAAGGGACGAUCCAUCUGAUGCAAAACAUCAUUCUUCAUCUGAUGCAUAAACUUUUCUUCCCCAUGCAACACUCUGCAGGCUUCGGACGAUUGCAUGUUCAUAAGAAAAACCACUAAAAACACUGCCACCAAAAAUAUUUUUAGAAACUUCAUUUUGUUGGGCAAACAAAGAUUAUUUUGCUUCUUUUUAAUUUCGGUAGAAGAAGGAAGGAAUGAAUGAAAGAAGAUACAGAAAAGGUUUUGUAGGGAAAUCAAAGAUUUUGCUUCUUUUUUCUGUCUGUCAAAAACAGAAAGGAUUGAAGGAAUGAAUGAAUGAAUAGAUGGGGAAUAUGGGGCUAUUUAUAUGCAUCAAUUUUGACCAACUUUCGUAUGACUUUGAUUUUUCAAUAUAAAUCUAUUUGUUUCGUUGUUUUGACUGUUAAUUGAUGAUUAUAUGCUAAAGACUUGGAAUUGAAUGGGUCGUCAUAUCCGCAAGGGUUUUGGUUUUAGGGUUUAACUAUAUUGUGGACCAAAUGGCAUACAAUGGUUCAACUCAUUUUUAUCACCGUGUAAAAAUCCACUUGCCAUCUAUAGUUUUUUUUUAAAAUUAUUUUUAAGAAAACCUCGACGUACAAUACAAGCGAAAUUUAUUGAUAUGAAAAAAAAGUUAAACCUAGUCAGGGAGACAAAAACCUUACAUAUCAUAAAGCAAGAAAAACAAAAUACAAGAAAACUAACCACUUGUUAGAGGUUAUUCUAGUACAGUAAAACCUUUAUAUAGUCAUGAUGUAGGAACCAAAUUGAUUUUAAAACUUUAGGGAGAUUAUUACUUACUAGAUGUGUAGCUAUAAAUAUUUUUUUUACUUCGUUAUCCUUAUUAAAAAUUGUAGAAUACAAAGAACUAUUAAUGGAGUACGUCAAUAUCCAAGGUGUAGCAGUAAAAAAAACACCCAAUCUUUAAAGGGUAAAAGACUGUUUACUAUCCUCAUAUUUUGUGGUUUUCAACAUUUAGUACAUCAAGUUUUUUUCGUCUCAGAUUCAUACCUAAAGUGUAAAUUUUGGGACAGUCUCAUACAUCCGUUAGUCAAACUGUUAAAUCUGCCCUUAAUUGUGACGUGGCGCCAUGAUUGGGCACCACGGGUCAUCCACGUUUUUUUUUUCAUUUUUUUCUUUUCUUUUCUUCUUUCUUCUUCUUCUUCUUCCUUCUUCUUCUUCCUUCUUUUGCAACUUUUUUUUCCUUCCUCCUUCUCCUUCUUCCUUCCUCCUUCUUCCUUCUUCUUCUUUGUCCUUCUCCUUCUUCUUCUUCUUCUUCCGAAUCUGGGGAAGUUUUUUUUUUUUUCUUUCUUCUUCUUUCUCUUUCUUCCUCUUUCUUCUUCUUAUUCUUCCACCGACUGCAGCUUUUUUUCUUUCUUCCUCCUUUUUCCUUCCCCUUCUUCUCCAUCUUCCUUCUUCUUCCUUCUUCUUCUUCUUCUUCUUCUUCCUCCGAAUCUGAGGAAAAUGAAGGUUUUUUUUUUCUUCCUCCUUCUUCUCCUUCUUCUCCUUCUUCCUUUCCCUUCUUCUUCUUCUUCCUUCUUCUUCUUCCUCCAAAUCUGGGGAAGAUGAAGGUUUUUUUUUCUUUUUUUUUUCCUUCUUUCUUCUUUCUUCUUCUUCCUUCUCCUUCCUCCUUCUUCUUCCUUCUUCUUCUUCUUCCUCCAACUACAACUUUUUUUUUUCUUCAUUCUUCUUCUUCCUCCUUUCUCCUUCUUCUUCGCCUUCUUCCUUCCUCCUUCUUCUCCUUCUUCCUUCUUCUUCAUCUUCCUCAAAAAAAAAAAAAAUCCUUCAUCUUCCCCAGAUUCGAGGAGGAGGAAGAAGAAGAAGAAGAAGAAGAAGAAGAAGAAGAAGAAAACAAAAAAAAAUAAAAAUCCUUCAUCUUCCCCAGAUUCAAGGAGGAAGAAGAAGAAGAAGAAGAAGAAGAAGAAGAAGAAGAAGAAGAAGAAGAAGAAGAAGAAGAAGAAGAAGAAGAAGAAGAAGAAGAAGAAGAAGAAGAAGAGGAAGGAAGAAGGAGGAAGGAAGAAGGAGGAAGGAAGAAGGAGAAGGAGGAAGAAAAAAAUAAAAAAAAUUGAUGUCAGAGGAAGAAGAAGAAGAAGAAGGAGAAGGAGAUGGAAGAAGAAGGAAGAAGGAGAAGAAGGGAAAGGAAGAAGGAGGAAGGAGGAAGAAAAAAAAAGUUGCAGAAGAAGGAAGAAGAAGAAAGAAGAAAAAAAAAACGUGGAUGACACGUGGCGCCCAAUCAUGGCGCCACGUCACAAUUAACGGCAGAUUUAACAGUUUGACUAACGGAUGUAUGAGACUGUCCCAAAAUUUACACUUUAGGUAUGAAUCUAAGACGAAAAAAACUUGAUGUACUAAAUAUUGAAAACCACAAAACAUGAGGGUAGUAAAUAGUCUUUGACCUAUCUUUAAAAUAUAGUGCAUGUAUGUAUGUAUUCUCUUUAAGUUUAAAGCAUGGGGCGUGAAGCUAUAGAAACAAAAAGGCUACUUAGGGCUAGUUUGGUAUAAAUGUGCUUUUUAAAAAAACUGCUUAUGUUGUGCUGUAAAAAUAAUCAGCUGUAAAAUAAAGCAGUUAAGUGUUUGAUAAACUUUUAUUGUAAAAGUGCUUUUAACAAAAAAAAAAUGUUCAAAUGUUUGGUAAACUUUAUGUAAAACUGAUGUAGCUAUGUUAAAUGACUAAAAGGGUAUAAUAUUAAAUGUGAUAUAAUAAUUUGUUUUAUUUUUUAUUUAUAAUUUCAUCUUCAAUCUUCAUCAUUUUCGGGUCACAGCUCAAAGAUCCAAAUCCCUCCCCUCCAACCCUCUGUUCACUCCCUUUACCAAUCACCAAAAUCUCCGGCGGAUUUCACAGCUCAAGAUCCAAAUCCCUCCCCUCCAACCCUCUGUUCUCUCCCCCUUCCCAAUCACCAAAAUCGUCGACCCUAAAGAGAGAGAGAGAGCAAGAAAUUUAGAGAUUUCGAAUCUCUCCAACUCUAUAAUCGGAUUCCAAUCUGCCAAUCCAUCCAACCAAUUUUGAAAAAACUCAGGAAAAAUAAAAGAAAAAGAAAAAAGGGGGAAAAUCGAAGUUUUUGAAUUUCAGUUCAAAGUAUAUAGCCACAAAGAGAUUCGAAUCCGUAGCUAAUGGACGUAGACGAAAGAAGAAGCUAAUGGGUCAUCCACAUUGUUUGGAUCAAAACUUAAACUUUGGGCUCGGGGGAAGUUGGCCCAAAGAACAGCCUAAAAGGGAGAGGAACCCGAAGGCCCAGUCAAAACCCAGCCAAAGUCUAGAAGACAGGAGAAGCCCGUUUCUGACUAGGUGCAAGCCAUGCAGACCAUUUGCUCACCUACCCAAAGGCCAAGUGGUAUAGACCAGCCAGCUAAUCAGCCCAAAAAGUACUUUUAAAUGGCAGUACAAGUAAAUAGCUGAUGAGUCACUACCCUUCAAGCUGCAUUCAGGCAAGGUUGCUGCUACAGGAGGCCAAGCCAAGGUGUCUAUAAAAGGAGAAAGAGAGGUCAGAGCCAAGGACACUCAAACAAACAAACAAAAGCACAAACUCUACUCAAAAGCCAGAUUUGCCUUCAAAACGAAGCUGUAGUCAGCCCAAACCUUCAUCUCUUUCGGGAUAAACCCUUUGUAAUAGCUCUGUUACCCUGCUCAACGCCUGCUGUAGUAUCGAUUUUCUUUGUGCAAACUCAUUUCUCAACCCCUUUUCCAAGCCUUCAAACCUUCUGUUAACCCACAAACAUAGGAAGUUGCAAGACGAUCAGCCUUGCCCAACAAGGUUAAACCUUGCCCGACCUCAUUUGUUUUUGUCUUUUCAUUCAUUAGCCUAGAAAUAUGUUGUAUACUUCAAAUUAUAUCCAAGUUAUUGCUAGUAAUAUGGCUUUUAAAAGACUCUCUCAGCGCUUGGAUCCGAUUUGAAUAUGUCUUCACAAUUCAAGCCAGAUCUAAGUUCUAAGCCUUCGGGCAUAUAAGAUUUGAUCACCCUAAAAGUCAUUGGCCUCAAGGCAUAAAAAAGAACCUGAUGUGGACUUAACCCAUCCACUACAAGCUUUGGUAACAAGAAGUCCGAAGUUACUUGGGGCACAAGUAAUCGACCUACCACUUGGUUUUAUUUCUGUUAUAUUAUGAUGACCGUAUAACGUUCGAGUACGGGAUGAAUUCUGAUAGGAAGCCUUAAGGCCUACACCUAAGGCUUCACAAAGGCACCUAUUUGGAUUCAUUCUGUUCAUCGGGCAAGAACAUUGAGUAUAGAAGGGGUUCUGAUGGGAAGCCUCAAGGCCUAUUCAAGGCCCCACAAAGGCACCUAUUUGGAUCCAUUCUGCUCUUUGAGCUCAGGUAGUCAGAAGUAUAAUGGUUAUAAGAACCAUAUAACUCACAAAAGGAACCUUAUGUGCUUGAGUACUAAGUUAGUUACUUACGGGAAGCCUCAAGGCCUACACCUAAGGCCCUACAAAGGCACAUGUCAAUAACUAACAGUCUCUCGAACACAUAUAAUUAAAACUCAAACAUCCGUUAUACAUCUACCAUACUGAAGAUGGUAGUGGCACGCCUGAGCAAUUCAAAGUUAAUCUUGAUCGUGAGCCUCAAGGCCUACACCUAAGGCCUCACAAAGGCACAUUUCAAAGUUAAUUUUGUCCUUCUCUUUCAGCCUUCCCCGACAAGCCUUGCCCGACAGGCCUUGCCCGACAGGCUUUGCCCGACAAAGCCCGCCAGUAAAGCAGAAGCCCGACAGAAAAGCAUCACCCGGCGCCAACCUCUCGGGGAGCUGUGUGCUCGUCGACCAGGAAACAUUCCCCAAGGAAAUUCCCGCCACGAACAUAGUUUUGGCACGCCCAGUGGGAUACAUUGAUCAAAGCAAUAUAUGUCAAAAAGAUCUGAAGAUCUCCAAACUGCUUUGUUGCACAUGCUGCAAAGACUGGAGAACACUUCUGUAGGCUCGAGAAAAGAAGAUGACCCGGUUUUAAGACCACCUAUUCCUACGUCUUUACCUCAUCUUGGGGAAGAAAAUGAUUGGGAAGAUGGGGGCCUUAAAACCAAUCACCUAGAAGAAGCUGCGGUGAUGGAUGAACAUACAGAUCCCUUCUCACAGGCCCCUAUAAAUAUGAUCAGUAUGACCUGGGCGGAGAAGGGAAAAAGAGAAGAAGAAAGAAGACUGGUUGACAAACCCAUAAAAGGGGUGGUUAACUUGCCCGAAUAUCGAAAAGCCGCCAUAUUCAAAGGAAGGGUGCUGUGCAGUAAGUGCCAAUGCGAGUGUGAGCUCGAAAUACCACCCACAUGAGCCUUCAUCGAUCAUGAACUAAUCAGAAGGAAUGAAGAGCAAAAGAGAAAAGAGGCACAAGAUAAGGCUCGGCGGACUGUAGGAAUGGAUACCUCACGAAGUGUCUUUCAGUGGCUAGGAGUGAUUCCCAACCAAGGGCUUUAUCAGAAAUAUUUCGUAACCAUGAAGUUUCUGAGGAGGCAGAAGAUAAAGAGGCCAAGAAGCCAAAAGAGAGAAGUGUAGGGCACUCUCAGUACGGCCAUAUGGGAAGAGAGGUCAGGCGGAAUAACAGGAUAACAAACCCUGUUACAAAAGAUAAUCCUGCUCGCCUCGGGCGAAAAUGGCAUGUGGUCGGGAAGAAUGGACAGCCCGUUAAGCAAAUAGGAGCCUCCAUGGUCAGAAGGGUUCAGAGGAAACAUAAAGCCUACAUGAAUUCCUUGAAAACCCCAGCAGCGUUGGAAGCUUCCAAAAAUCAAAAGUUAGAGAAAACAUCGUCUGGGGGGAGCAGUUAGCUCCGCUAGAGAAGUAAGAAGGAGGUGGAAAGGGCUAACAGCAAGAUUGAAUGCGAAGGAAAUCAUGUGCCACAAAGCCUGCACCCUGGGAAAUAUAGAAUCUUGACGAGAGCUCAAGAAGAUAUGGUUAUGGUGCCAACUCCUGGAUGGAAGGCAGAGCAGCCUAUUUGCUUUGGAACUAUCUCCCUUGAGAAAAAACAACCUUCUUCAUCAUUAGGGGAUCCCUUCGGGGAAGUUCCAAAAUAAACACCAUGUCCAUAUGUGAAUCAACUCAAGGGGGCACCAGAACCACUGCUUCCACCAGAUGUUAUGGCAUGGUUGGAUGAGUUCAUGGACCAGAUUGGGAGCAAAAAAGAGGAAUUGCCAGAGCCUAGCAACUUUCAUAUAAACACGGUAUAUGUGCUAUCUGCUAUGUUUGUUGCCCAACCUGAUCAGCCCGCCGCCAUGGAAAGGGAUUAUGUAACAACUGAGCCAAUGAUGACUCAUAUUAAUAUGAAGAUAGCGGAAGAAUGAGAGUCGGGAAAAGCUGCAUCAUCUGAAGCAUCCAAAGAGGGUUCUUUAAGGAUCUACACAGAUAAAAUGGUGUUCAGCCACCCGACCAUUUCACUUGCCAAUCAUCUGAAACCCAUAUAUGUGACAGCUCAUUUGGAGGGGGUACCCUUUAGAAGGAUUUUGAUUGAUGGAGGGGCAGCUGUUAAUGUAUUACCAGCUAAGCAGAUGAAAAAGUUGGGGAGAGGCACAGAGGAUCUUAUUCCUACAGACCUCACAGUUUCUAGUUUCUCGGGCGCUAUCACCAAGACUCUUGGGAUAUUGCCUUUGGAAGUAUAUCUGGGGUCUAAACGGAUCAUGCUGGCGUUCUUUGUGGUGAACUGCACCUCUACCUAUAGAGCCUUACUUGGAAGAGAUUGGAUCCACCAAAGUCUUGUUGUACCCUCCACCCUACAUCAACAAGUUGCUGUGUAUCAUGAGGCAAGCGCAGAAGAGCCAGGUUUUUGGGAGAUGGUAGAGGCCGAAUCACGGCCAUUUCUUCCCACAGCCAAUAUAGCAGAAGCAAGUUUCUACAAUCCCAACGUAGGAAUCUUGAAGUGUUUAGGAGCAGAUGAGAACGGCCGCCCUACCAAGGUGACGGCCCAAAAGCUUCUAGAACAAGAGAUGCUCUUUACUAGAGAGGAGUGGGAUAGACCUUUUAUUAUCCCAACACCCCUACACCAUCAAUGAUAGAACAAAAAAGGAAAGAUCAGUUAAUGGCAGUCAGAUUCCUGAUUAAACGACUGUUGGUGUAUAGGAAAGAAAGAAGACAAGAAAAUGAGCUCUUAGACAGAGAAGAGCAGAGAAUGGCUUGUGGGAGCUUCAACCAGCCAUGAUAAAAGCAGUGAGGAAUCUUGUCAAGAGGAAUUGGAAAGGGCCAUUCAAAUGGCUGAGUGUAUAUAUGACCUGGAUGAACCAGACAACUUGCCCGAGAGCCCAAAGCUAGUCAAAUUUUUGUGUACAGAACUUGAUAAGCCACCACCGGAGGUCCAAGAUCCUCUGGAAGUUAUUGAGCUAGGAACAAAGGAGGACCCAAGACCAAUACAAAUCAGUGGUUUAUUGGAGAGAGAGGAUCGGGCACAAAUUAUCUGUCUCUUGCAAGAAUUCAGAGAUUGUUUUGCUUGGCAUUACACUGAGAUACCGGGUUUAGAUGCAACUUUGGUGGAACAUAGAAUGCCCAUCAAUGAAGGAUAUAAGCCGGUUAAGCAAGCACCACGAAAGAUGUCGAAUUAGAUAGAAGAAAAGGUCAAAGAAGAGAUUGAAAGGCUCGUAAAAGCCGGAUUUAUCAGGCUAGCCAAAUAUGUGGAGUGGUUAGCCAACAUUGUACUCGUUUUAAAAGCUGUAACAAAAGCAGUAUGAUGUUGUGUUGAUUACAAAAAUAUUAAUGGCGCUACACCUAAAGACGAAUAUCCUAUGCCUAUGGCAGAUCUUUCCAUAGAUGCAGUAGCAAAAAACAAAGUCUUAUCUUUUAUGGAUGGAAAUGCCGGGUAUAAUCAGAUAAAGAUGGCUCCGGAAGAUAUACAUAAAACAACUUUUAGGUGCCCUGGGCAUGUGGGGGCAUAUGAAUAUCUGGUCAUGCCCUUCGGGCUCAAGAAUGCUGGUGCAACCUACCAAAGAGUGAUGAAUGCCAUCUUUCAUGAUCUGAUUGGCCAUAAUAUAGAGGUGUAUAUUGAUGAUAUCGUGGUGAAAUCCAAGACGGAAGAAUAACAUCUGAUAGACCUCAGGCAGGCCCUGACAAGAAUGAGGGUCCACAAAUUAAAGAUGAAUCCAAAGAAGUGUGCGUUUGGAGUAAGAGCGGGCAAUUUCUUGGGAAUCCUAGUUCAUCAACGAGGGGUAGAAGUGGACAAGAAUAAAUCUCAAGCAAUAAUGGAGUUGUCUUCACCCACCAACAAAGUGCAACUUCAAAGGCUGCUGGGCAAAAUUAAUUUCUUAAAAAGAUUUAUUGCCAACCUGGCAGGCAAGAUCCAGCCGUUGACUCCUUUAUUAAGACUGAAGGAUAAGGAGAAUUUCGAGUGGGGACCACCGCACCAAGAGGCCUUCGAUGGUAUCAAAGCGUAUUUGACUUCUCCACCAGUAUUAGUACCACCUCAGAGGGGAAAACCCUUAAAGCUAUAUAUCUCCGCUUCAGAUAAAUCAAUUGGGAGUUUGCUGGCUCAAAAUAAUGAAGGCGGGAAAGAGCAGGCAGUGUACUACCUCAGUAGAAUUCUGACCGAGGUAGAAACAAGGUAUUCCCCAGUAGAGAGAUUGUGCUUGGCUUUGUAUUUUACUGCCAAUAAGCUGAGACAUUACAUGUUACCUUGUCACGUGCACAUCAUCGCCAAGACAGAUGUGAUAAAGUACAUGUUGUCAAAACCAAUGUUAACAGGAAGGAUUGGGAAGUGGAUUCUAGCAUUAUCUGAAUUCAGCUUCCAGUAUGUUCCCCAAAUGGCAGUAAAAGGCCAAGCAAUUGCUGACUUCUUGACGGAGCAUCAAGAAUCUCGAGAUGAGAUAAUCAACAUACCGGGAACCCUGGAAGUUACUAAUGUUUGGAUCCCGCCAGGCAAGGGGAUCUCGGGCAAAGAAGAGUGGAUCCAGCAGGAGAUAAGAAGAGUGGUUAGUUUAUGGAUUACUCAUUGGAAGCUGUAUUUCGAUGGUUCUUAUACUCAGAAAGCUUCAGGAGCUGGGAUUGUAAUUAUCAACCCUCAAGGGAUUUAUCAUUAUUACUCAUUUUUCUUGGAUUAUCAAGGGAAUACCAACAAUCGGGCAGAGUAUGAGGCCUUAAUAAUUGGUUUGGAAAUCUUGAUGGAUCUGGGGGCAAUGGAAGUUGAGGUGUUUGGUGAUUCGGAAUUGGUAAUAAACCAGCUCAAUGGGGAGUUCAAGUGCAGACAUAUCACCAUAGCUAGAUACUAUUUGGCGGCCACAUAAUUGUUGAGUUAUUGGGAUUCUGAGAUAUCGGUGAGUCAUGUUCCCAGGGGAGCCAACCUAGCAGCCAAUGAGAUGGCGCAAUUGGCCUCAGGCAUACCAAUACAGGAGAGAAUGUAUGGGAUGAAUGUCGAGAUUCAGAGGAGAAAUCUUCCUUCCAUUCUGGAAAGGGGAUUCAGCCUGGAUGUAAUGGUUCAAGAAGCUGAGAUUGAAGAUUGGAGAUCGCCCAUCAUCCAUCAUUUGAAAGAUCCCUCUUCACCCACCAGCAAGAAAAAUAGACAGCAAGCAACUAAGUAUGUCUUAUGGGCGAAAGACCUACUAAGAAAGACUCCAAACGGGUUACUACUGAAAUGCUUAGGCCAAGAAGAGUCAAUGAGAGUGAUGGCCAAAGUACAUGAAUGAGUAUGUGGAGCCCAUCAGGCCGGAACAAAGAUGAGGUGGUUGCUCAGAAGGUAUGGAUAUUUCUGGCCCGACAUGGAAAAGGAUUGCAAAUCCUAUGCCCGAGGCUGUGAAGAGUGUCAAAGACACGAACCUCUCCAGCAUGUGCCCUCAAUACCUUUAAAUCCAGUGGUUAAACCUUGGCCCUUCCGAGGAUGAGCGAUGGACUUCAUCGGGCAGAUUUACCCAGCUUCUAGCAAGGGGCACACUUUUAUCAUUGUAGCAACGGAUUACUUUACCAAGUGGGUAGAGGCCUCGGCGGUGAAAUCCAUAACCUCAGCCACCGUCAAGAAUUUCAUUGAGACCAAGAUUCUGCAUAGAUUUGGGGUGCCCGAAACUAUUGUGACUGAUCGAGGGCCAUCUUUUAUCAAAAGAAGUUGAAGAAUUUGCAAGCAAAUACAAAAUAAAGAUGAUCCAGUCCAGUCCUUACUACCCACAAUCAAAUGGCCAAGCAGAAUCCAGCAACAAGAUUUUGGUAAACAUUAUCAAAAAAGUGGUGAUGGACAAUCCGGAGAAAUGGCAUGAAAAGUUGGGAAACACUUUGUGGGCAUACAGGACUUCCAGGCGGGCAGGAACAUGCACAACUCCAUAUGCUUUAACCUUCGGGCAAGAUGCAGUACUUCCCAUGAAGAUCAAUGUAAGUUCUGUCAGAAUUCAGAAUCAGUUCGGGUUACACAGUGAAGAGUACGUUGAAGCCAUGUGUCAAGGAAUUGAAGACUUAGAUGUAGCCCGAAUUGAAGCCUUGAAUUAGAUUCAAGAAGGGAAGAAAGCUGUUGCUCGAGCUUAUAACAAAAAGGUGAAGAUGAAGUCUUUCAAAGAGGGAGAUUUAGUAUGGAAGACAGUCCUCCCUCUAGAAGCUCAGCUUAGGGGCUUUGGAAAGUGGAGCCCGACAUGGGAAUGUCCUUUCACUGUUAGUCAAGUAUUGAACAAAGGGGGAUACUACUUGGCAGACCUUGAAGGGAAGGGGCUGAAACAUCCCAUUAAUGUUAAAUUCUUAAAAAAAUAUUGUCCGACAUUAUGGGAUGUUAGAGACUGUUACAUUAAGGAGGAUGCAAGGUAAAGCCGACUUCGGGGUAUCAAGGUGCAGUGUAUGAUCACCAAACCAUUCAAAAGAAGACAGAAAAAACAAAAAGUUGCUAAGAUAAUGUUUAUUUCAUUUCGACAAAUUGGUGAUAUUUACAAACUAAUCCAAGUCCAAAGUACUACAUUCGAUUCCUUCUACAAUGUUAUUUUCAGCUGGUUUUCCGAUGUCUCCCUGGAUAUGACCCGAUCAGGUGAUCGGGUUGUGCGGCCAAAACGCGCCUGGUAGGGGAUCCUUAGGCAGAGUUACCACUAUGUGUGAUGGUGAAGCCUGAUUUAUCACGACGGCAAGCAGGAAGGCAAGCCUUCGUGAGGAAACCGUCUGACCAAGGGUGUUGGAGAUAGCGGGGUGUUUGACCAAAGGUGUUGGAGAUAGUAGUUAUCUGACGAAAACUCUUUUUUCUCACGAACAGGGAGUUUUAAGAAACCCCACAUAAAUUCUGAAGAACUCAUUUCAUAGUUUUUUGGAAGAAAACUAAGGAAGCAGAAACACUUGAAGUAGAUAAAAGAUAAGAUCGAUGAUGGUUUGUGGGGAGAACCAUAAUUUAUAGGAAUAGCAGAAGGUAGUUCAGGGGUCGUGGGAAGAUCGAGAGACUCCGGGUGACGUUAAUCUCAAUCAAAAGAUACAAGUUCCGAGAGCAAAGGCGCAGACGCAUGCAGCUAUUCAAUUAAUAUUGGCGCCUGGAAUUCCAGGCUAAAUAUCAAUUGAAGAGGGCACUGUUUGGAUCAAAACUUAAACUUUGCGCUCGGGGGAAGUUGGCCCAAAGAACAGCCUAAAAGGGAGAGGAACCCGAAGGCCUAGUCAAAACUCAGCCAAAGUCCAGAAGACAGGAGAAGCCCGUUUCUGACUAGGUGCAGGCCAUGCAGACCACUUGCUCACCUACCCAAAGGCCAAGUGGUAUAGACCAGCCAGCUAAUCAGCCCAAAAAGUACUUCUAAAUGGCAGUACAAGUAAAUAGCUGAUGAGUCACUACCCUUCAAGCUGCAUUCGGGCAAGGUUGCUACUACAGGAGGCCAAGCCAAGAUGUCUAUAAAAGGAGAAAGAGAGGUCAGAGCCAAAGACACUCAAACAAACAAACAAAAGCACAAACUCUACUCAAAAGUCAGAUUUGCCUUCAAAACGAAGCUGUAGUCAGCCCAAACCUUCAUCCAUUUCGGGAUAAACCCUUUGUAAUAGCUCUGCUACCUUGCUCAACGCCUGCUGUAGUAUCGAUUUUCUUUCUGCAAACUCAUUUCUUAACCCCUUUUCCAAGCCUUCAAACCUUCUGUUAACCCACAAACAUAGGAAGUUGCAAGACGAUCAGCCUUGCCUGACCUCCUUUGUUUUUGUCUUUUCAUUCAUUAGCUUAGCAAUAUGUUGUAUACUUCAAAUUAUAUCCAAGUUAUUACUAGUAAUAUGGCUUUUAAAAAACUCUCUCAGCGCUUGAAUCCGAUUUGAAUAUGUCUUCACAAUUCAAGCCAGAUCUAAGUUCUAAGCCUUCGGGCAUAUAAGAUUUGAUCACCCUAAAAGUCAUUGGCCUCAAGGCAUAAAAAAGAACCUGAUGUGGACUUAACCCAUCCACUACAAGCUUUGGUAACAAGAAGUCCGAAGUUACUUGGGGCGCAAGUAAUCGACCUACCACUUGGUUUUAUUUCUGUUAUAUUAUGAUGACCGUAUAACGUUCGAGUACGGGAUGAAUUCUAAUAGGAAGCCUCAAGGCCUACACCUAAGGCUUCACAAAGGCACCUAUUUGGAUUCAUUCUGUUCAUCGGGCAAGAACAUUGAGUAUAGAAGGGGUUAUGAUGGGAAACCUCAAGGCCUAUUCAAGGCCCCACAAAGGCACCUAUUUUGAUCCAUUCUGCUCUUUGAGCUCAGGUAGUCAGAAGUAUAAUGGUUAUAAGAACCAUAUAACUCACAAAAGGAACCUUAUGUGCUUGAGUACUAAGUUAGUUACUUACGGGAAGCCUCAAGGCCUACACCUAAGGCCCUACAAAGGCACCUGUCAAUAACUAACAUAGUCUCUCGAACACAUAUAAUUAAAACUCAAACAUCCGUUCUACAUCUACCAUGCUGAAGAUGGUAGUGGCACGCCUGAGCAAUUCAAAGUUAAUCUUGAUCAUGAGCCUCAAGGCCUACACCUAAGGCCUCACAAAGGCACCUUUCAAAGUUAAUUAUGUCCUUCUUUUUUAGCCUUGCCCGACAGGCCUUGCCCGACAAAGCCCGCCAGUAAAGCAGAAGCCCGACAAAAAAGCAUCAACCGGCGCCAACCUCUCGGGGAGCUGUGUGCUCGUCGGCCAGGAAACAUUCCCCAUGGAAAUUCCCGCCACGAACACACAUACUAGAUGGGCAGCAAUUCAACCCGUCAAAGAACCAAAAGGUAUGCUAUCAUUGGAGGGCGAGCAAGUGCAAUCAGCACCCUUGCCUUUUUCUCCACAGAGAGCUUCCGGCGCCAUCGUCGCAGCAAGGUCUCAAUGGGACAGCCUCGACUAAGCGCCAUCACUCCUUCACUGCUAACACUAACGGUCCAUCAUCCCGGAAUUAGGGUCUAAAUAACUUUAAUGGCGGGGCUUCUUCGACGUGGGGCGUCGGAAAAGAAAUUGUUGUUCGGAUCUGCAUGCUCCAGGCUCGAGAUGAUGAAUUUGACCUGGGUUUUCACAAGCUGUCUCUCUAUGACAAUGAAUGGAGCUCUCUGAAUUCGACCUUGGUAAUCAACAGUCAUUCCUUCAUCCCGUAUAUCUUCAGCUUACAUCAAGUGCCAAAAUCGACUCGCUGAGGGACCUCGUCCUCUCAAACAAUCGGAUUCGAUGAUUUGAUACGAUGAGGGAAGCGAGAAAGAGAAAGAAGGUAUAAUUGGGUUUAAGAAAGUUUCAUUAAAUUUUACUGUUCAUCCGCCUUCUUUGAAAAAAAAGCUGGUUUUGAGACGCAGCAAAAUGCUGCUUUCAUUUUUUUGCUUAUUUUGACUGAAACUUUAAAAAGAAACACUUAUUUUUACAUUUAUCGAACACAUUUUACACCACAACUUUUUUCAUAGCUGCUUUUUUUAUAAUUUCAGCUGUGCCAAACUGGUACUUACUAGCUUUGCCUGCUUGGUUGUGCAUAGCUACUAAAGCAAUGCUAUUUUGCUAUUCUACAGCUUGAAAAUAUGUAAACAUGCUUGAGAAGGUAGAAACAUUAGGGCUUCAAGAAAUUGUUCAUGUUGACGAGUUAUUACGUACUCGUAACCUCAAAGAUGUGGUAUCAACUGUAAAAAAUCAAACAUUGUCUCAAACAAUUAUAGAAAAAUAUUUUAGUUCAUCUUAAACUUUUAUUUGUGGCAUUGCAUAUUUUUAUACUUAUUGAAAAUUAUUAUGAUAUGGAGGCGAGUUUCCUUAAUACAAGACUUAUAAAAAUUAUAACAUAUUACAAUCCAGAGUUUAUUAAUAUACAUAAUUGGCCCCAAGUUGAGACUAAAUUUUUUUUUUAGUAUAAGAAGGUUAUUUCUAUAUAGAGGAUUAUUAUAAGGAAACCUUUAAGGGAUGGGAUCUUCAUUUUUUUUAUAAAAAUUGGGAUUAGUUGUGGGUUCCACAUCACAUCGAACUUUAACGAUCCGUACUGUCUAUUUUUCAAAUUGCACCUCAUAGAUCAUUUUUACAAAAUAUUAGCCAAAUCGAAAAUGUUUAAGACAUCUAAUUGGGUUCAAAGAAAUUAACAAAUACUUUGUUAUAUAAAGAACAAUGAAAUUUUAUCUUGCUAAUUAAAUAGGCAAAUAGUUUCGAAUUCAAUUGAAUUUUUGCAAGAAUGAUCUAUAAAUCAAGACUUACAAAAUAGACGUUCGGAUCGUUAAAGUUCGAUGUGAAGUGGGCCCCACACCUAAUCCCUAUUUUUUUUUUAAAUGAAAAUCCCUUUACAUAAAUAGUUUGAUUAUUAUAAAAAGGUUUUACUAUAUAUUUUUAAUUAAGUUGUCCUGAUUCAAUUUUUUUUUGUUUUUCUCUUCUAUUAACAUUACUAAUACUUUAAAGGUAUUUUGACCAAUUCUUGUCGAGUUUUUGUUACUAUUUUUUUUUUCAUCGCAAUUUUGAACUGAGAUUUGGAGUUUGGCAUGCAAGUAAAAGCGUGUGCAAGGCCUUUGAUGUUUGAACGUUGACUAUUUUAAUUGAAGUUUUAGUCGUAGCUAUAGUAUUAGUAUCGGUGUGUGCUAACCUUUCACACGACAUGAAUAGUUUAUCACACACACACACACACAAUUGAACCAUAUUGUGAUGACUCAAGUCUUAUUUGACCUCAAAUGUGUCCAACCGUGUUUGUUUGAUUAACUAAAACAUCUCAAAACUAAUUGAGUCCUCUCUAAUUCACUAGCCAGACCUAAGUAUUGUUUUUUCUCUAAGUUUUAUAGGACAAAAUUGAAUAAGAAUAAGUCUUAAUGUCUAGAAAUGACUGUCUUUUUUAUAAAAAAAAAAAUGAUCGCCUAUAAAAUUUGAACUUGUAUCUUCACCAAAAAAAUGAAAAAUCAGGUUCCGUUAAUCCAAAACGAUAAUGAGCAAACAAAGUGUAUUAAAAUAUUAUUGGAGGAAAAUUAAGAGAAGGUGUUGUAAUCAGUACCACAUGCAAGAAAAUUUUGGUAGAAAUUAGUUAAUUCGGCCUCAAAAGAAACGUUGAAAUAGGAAUUGAGGAAUCAUUGCUGACAACUUUUUAUCAUGCAUUAGUUUCAAAAUCUUCAAUAGUUUGAAUCACCGUCCAGAGAAAGAGAGAGAGAGAUAUUAAGAUGUUUUAUAUUGCAUUUUGUGUAGCAGAUACAACAUCACCAAUCUGUUACAAUUACAUGGGUUACAAUUUUCAUUAGUUUUCCUUCUUUGAAGUUAUAAUAGUCUCAUGGGUUACAAAUACAACCAAAACUUUUUAGCCAAUUGACCAACAAAAAUAAUGAAAAAAAAAAGGGUUAUUAUACAUGACUUGUACUGCAGGGAUACUAACCGCAGGGAUACUAAACUAGCUAAACAAUAUACACAUUUUGAACUUUUUAACAUCUGUUGCUCCCGUUUCUGAAUCUCAAUAGCACCGGCCGGAACGUUAAUUCUCGGUAUUAAUAGAGUGAAGAAUGCAUGGCUAGGAAGGCUUCAUGCAGAGUGGUAAGCUACAUUCAUCUCAUUCAGGUGCAAAUACCCGAGCUGCGGCCGGGGAUGUGGGUGUAGGGAAUAGGGCCGGUUUUGGUGGUGGGUGGGUGGAUGGGUGGGGGGGGGGGGGGGGGGGUUGGGGCGCGACCCCUCUGGAGGCACUGAAACACAAGUCAACGCCAUGGUUCUUAGCCCAUUGCUCUGCCUUCAAUUGCCUCUUUUCUCCAACUUGCAGACAAGAAAACAGAACAACAACAACAAAAAGAGUUGAGAAUAAAGUCCUCCUGUAACAGAACCUCAUCUUUGAUACUCAAAUGGAACUUUAGGGUUCGAGGGACGGAGCUAGAAAUUUCUUCUAGUGGGGGCAACCCGAAAAUCAACUAAGGAAACCUUAUUAUAGUAUGGCUUAUACCCAAUAUGAUAAGUGAUAAGAAAAAUAUUAAUACAUGAUUACGUAAGAGAGAGGUUUUUCAAUCUGAAUGACAGAACAAGAGCACUUUUACUCAUAUAAUAUUUGAUAUGGAGUAUAUGCAGUAUGAAGGUAUGUUAGAUAUUAGUUACAUAUAUUUUCUUCAAAGAUAACGCGUGUAUAUUAUAUAAUUGUAGUCUGCAACUUAAUAAACGAAUCACUUGAGUAGGAGCAUAUGCCUCCGGUGAGCCUUCAUUGGCUCCUUCCACAUGUGGUAACGUUUUACAGACCCAGUUUCGGGAAAAUUGCUUUGGAAAGUGAAAAUGAGUUUUCACAGUAGUUUGUAAUAAGGAAAUGGAAUCUGAGAUGAAGUGUGGUGGAGGUGAGACCUGUUAUCUACGACUCUAUAAAUUUCAAAUUGCUCAUGCCCUUGACUAGUACAUAAGCUAUAAUGUUAAUUCGGAGCUUGAAAUUGACUUGGGCCAAUGGAACAAGGUUCAACCAUGGCAUGGCGGUCCAUAUGGAAUGAAUCAAUACACACUAACUUGAACGCCAAACAAUGACACAUUGUAGUUUGGGUGCAAAGCAAUAGUUCAAAUUUUAAUAGUCGCCUAUGAGAAAGACAUGAUGAGCUUAGGUGGGGGAAUACACCUUACAAGAACACGAUGAUUGUUAUACUUAGACAGGGAUGUAUCAUAUAGCCGCCGUGACAUAUGCAAGAAUCCGCCUUGAAUUACAAGGCAUAUAGAAGAAGAAUUAAAAAGUAGACUUUUUGGUGGUUGAUGCAAGCCCUGAGGAAAGCAUAACGCAGAGAGUCAAAUUCAAACAAUAUUUUUAACACAGUAGGGGAAUAGAAGUCACUCCUCAGCUGGUUUUAACACGACUGAACAAAUUUCCUUUUUCUUGAUUUUGAUUGAGUCGUUUACGAGUCUUGACUGGCAGAGAAGCCAUGACCAAAGGUUCCCAGCAUCCCCAAAAAAAGGGGUACAUAUUUAUCAGUCAAACUCAAUACCCUUUAAAUUAUGGAGUUGGAAUAGCAAAUCGUAUGACGAGAAAAAAUUGGGUGUAACCAGGAUAUAUCCACAUCACCGUGUAGCACUCAUCACGUGGCCAAGUCACGUGUAGGAAUCUCCCCUUACUUGAGGGCUGGCUCUGGCCACUUCAUCUAAACAUGCAUGCAUAAACUGUAAAACAGUAACUCAGAAGCCUUCCAAGGAAAGCGACAUAGAGAGAUAAAUUCAUAGCAUCCAUUUUGGUUCUUCCGAACAUGUUCAAAAUUACAAAGAGCUCUUUUUCAUACAUAAACUAAACAACUCGUACAAUAAUAUCAAUCUGAAGUUAUAUAACAAAUCAUCACGAGGUGAAGACACUCAUCAGUUACUAGACAACAAUAAAAACUCACGUUUAUCAGGCAAAUACAUAAAGAUACAGGUAAUAACUUACGAAACAACUUUACAGUCAGAUCAUUUUGAAAGAGAGGCCACCAGCUUCUCCUUUAAUUGUUCGGCAUCACCGCUUUGAGUUUGAAUGGAGAAUGUAUGAAUAACCUUAUCAUUGUCUGUUAUGGAAACGUUAGACUCUUGAGCUACAAUUUUAUGUUCCCCAAGUGUUCUGAAGACUUCAGAAACCGGGUGAGAAUCCAAUGGGCAGUUCAUCCUCACAACUGCAUCCUCGAGGCGUUCCUGAAAAUCAAUCUCUGGAACCGGCAACUGCUUUCCCUUGUUGUUUACCAUCUGCUUUUCAGUUUCCAUGAGUCUGAUCUUCAUCUGGAGAUCGGUGAUAUAGGUAAUGGCAUCACCAAGAAGAGAGGCUUUAUCCAUCUUCGAUAUGUUAGGAACAACAGCUCUUAGUGCAUAGAACCUCUGGUUAAGCUUCUCGCGCCUCUGCCGUUCUGCUUCCACAUGAUUCAAUGGUUCUUCUCUCCCAUUGGCAGGCUUUCUCCCUCUCUUUCUGGGUUUCCGCUCAUCAAUUUGUGCAGAGGACUCAUCCUUGAGCAGCUCUGAACUUGAGACUCUUGUCUGAACAUUGAAACCGUCAACCAUCAUUUGGUUCAUUUGCGGAAACAGUUUUACUUCACCAUCCUCACUUCGACAUCCAUUUGAAGUGCCUACUGAUUGUAAUUCAAACGAUUCUGGAGGAAAUGCAAAAUCUUCUUCUAUUUUUGGAGUAAAGGAAAUGUUCACUGAUUGUGAUUUUGGACCCCCGAGACUUAGUUCACGUCCAAAUAUCAUUGGAAAUGCCUUUGCCUGAAUAGGAAUAGAUUCCCCAAAUGCACUUCUGACCGUAUCCACAUAACUUUGUUCUUCCGGAGUUGAUUUGACCGAACCGAGUUCCACAACUCCUGAUUUCAUUGGUACAAACACCACUGUCUGAAACCCAGCCAAUCUUGCUAAAAAUGACCUCGACUGGUAAUGAUGUAAACAACUACCGGCAUCCGAAACCCAUAUCAAUUUUCCAGACUUGUACGACUCUCCUGGACCACAGUGUGAGAUCGAAUCAAGUUGAAAUGCAUAAAACAUUGAACUGAGAUGAAACAUCUCCAUAUCUGACACCCCAUCCAACCUCCUUGCAUAAUUAUCCCCAUUCAAACCGCCAAAACACGCGUGGAGCUUCUCAAGCACCCACUUCUUCACCUCUUUUUUUUUCUGCAUUGCCUCCGAACUACUAUCCCGAUUAGAAUUCACGUCCCCAGCUCCACCGCCCUUGGUGUCUCUGCAAUGCCCAUCACCCCAAAUCAAGGCAGGUCCACCAGAUUUCGAGCUAACAGCCUGCCAGAAAAUGGCAUAAUUCCAAUUCGACCCAUUGACAAGCUGGCACAGCCCCUGCUGCACGCCCAAUUGACCCGGUGGCCUAAUCAAUUCUGACAAAGCAUUUUCGGAAGCCAGUG
RNAcentral lists this long non-coding RNA (134714 nucleotides) under Malus domestica (apple). Its description in RNAcentral is "long non-coding RNA (MDOM_LNC005126)". Lineage: Eukaryota; Viridiplantae; Streptophyta; Magnoliopsida; Rosales; Rosaceae. The record is from RNAcentral.